Molecule: long non-coding RNA, 99199 nt
Filed under: Malus domestica (apple)
Lineage: Eukaryota; Viridiplantae; Streptophyta; Magnoliopsida; Rosales; Rosaceae
Source: RNAcentral
AAAAACAGUGCAUUUAAUUUGAAAAGAAGAGAAACAAUGGCAGAUCAAUUGACAGAUGAUCAGCUGAACAUGCUCAAGACUAAAUUCAAUACCUUCGACCCAGAUGGCACUGGUUAGAUCCCUCUUUCCAUAUGUACAUGUAUAUGAUGUGUGUGUGUGUGUAUCAUGUCAAGUACGUACUGCCAGGGACGAAGGCAAAAUUUCAAACCUUACUGGGCUGAACUUAUCUUGCGAUCUAAUUUUUCAGUUGAGUACACAUAGGCUUAGCCAACACCAAGGAAAAAGAUGAUUAGCAAUCCCACACAUUCUUACCUUAUUAUGUUAAUGUUGUUUAUUGUAAAUAAUGGUAUAGGUAACAUAUGAUAAAUCUCCAGCCAUGGAGGGGCUAAACUUUGCCCCGAACUAUUAUGUUCAGGGAUGAAGCCAGAUAUCUAUAUGGAUAGGGGCAUCCUCAAACAACAAAGUCAAAAAUUGAAAAGCUCAAGAAUUUAUUGAACAAAACACUUAAGUUUUAACCGAUAAGGUUUGUUUUUUGUUUUUUUUUGUUUUUUUUAAUACAAUAUAUUACAAUAUCACUUGACGCUUUCUUAAUUACCAAUACCAUCAAAUAUCUCUUUAUAAAAAGAAUCUGGUAUUACUUAUCCAUUGAUCUCCCAACCAAUUUUUCAAUCAAUUUAAAAAAAAAAUUUAUAGUUGAAACUGCUCUAUAACAUGAGAUUCCUAUAUGCAUUAUGUGCAUUUUUCCCACCCAAAAGAAUGAGUGGGGUCUGAACCCAAGGUGGCUCCGUACAUGAUUAUGUUGAUGUUGUUUAUUUUAUUCUACUAUGAAUCUGAUUCAAGUAAGCACAUAUAAGAAGAGAUUAAUUCAUCUUACUAUUUAAUAAUUCGUCAAUUUUUUUUGUUUUUUCAGGCAUAAUCACUAGGGAUCAGUUGGCCGAUGUGUUGAGAUCGUUAGGGCAAGAUCCCACCGAGGAGGAGUUGGAUCAAUUCGUGCAGCAGCUGGGCAGUGAGGAUGGGAAUAUUCACUGGGAUAAAUUCGUCGAACUCAUGGCCCAGACAAUAUCUGCAUUAGCUGGGCAGUGAGGAUGGGAAUAUUCACUGGGAUUAAUUCGUCACAGUCAGGGCCCAGAUUAUCAACCCCAAGUGACCACUCUCACAUUAUUCUAGUACAAUUGUCAAUUUAAAUACUCGCAUUUUUGUCAAGUUAUUGACGAAAAAUAAUGUGUCAAUAUUUCUAAGAUAUAAAGAUAUUUAUUUCUUUAUAACUAAUGUGUAUAAUAAAAGGGUAAGUUUAUCCUCCUAUAAAGGUUUAAUGCAAUUUUGUAUUCCUCCAUAUUGAAGGAUUAUGAUUCAGCUUAAUUUUACACAAAUAAUCUUUAAGUGAAUAUUGUAAUCAUUUCAUUUUUAGCUUCAGUUAGAAAUUGUACCCGUGCGUUACUGCGGGAUUGAAAAUUGUAUGAAAUGUUAUAUAGCUUGAUUCUUCUCAUAAAACGAAUAUAACAGAAGUUUUUGAUAAUUACAUAAUGGAAACUGGGUACAAAAGUGGCAAAGUAAAUGUCAGUGGUGAGAGAAGCUAUCCUAAUUAUGUCCCUAAUCAUUUUUAUUCAACACGGCCUUGAACAAAGAAGCAAUCAUUUCUACUUUGGUGAUUGAGCAUGAACUUCAGCUCGGUAAUUAGAAACUGAGGGCCAUUUCCUCGAGCUGGCUACCUACAAAAUCUCCAACUUAAAAAUACAUGACAUGAUACAGCAACGAACUUUCUAGGUGACACCAUGUAAAUGUUGCCCAAACUCCUUAGUGUAAUAUUGCGGAAUAGAAGAUGAUUUUAAAACAUUCAGUUUACCCACCAACCCAUUGUCAGUCUUCCUUUCACGUAUAUUGACACACCCUGACCUAAAUCAGGACGUGCUGGCCGUCACUUGAGGGUGACGUAGCCAUGUGCACAGUGCGGAAGCAACAGAGAUAAGGAAUUACGAGUAAACAAAAACCAAAUCAACUAGAGUACUAACUAAGAUAGAGUGCUAGUGCAAGAUUAAGUGUGAAAUACACAACCAGAGUAUAAAUAACCUAAGUGCAAUCAAGCAAGACAAGUGCUAAUUAUACAACACCCAAGUGUGAUCCUACAUUUAUGAUGUUCGGUCAGAAUCACCGUCGAAAUCCCUGCGAUCCACCAUAGCAGUUCUACCUAAAACCUGGAGGGGCACAAAACAGAAGGUGUGAGUGGGCAAAAACAAAGCUUUUCAAAUCAUUUCAUUUCUCAAAAGUUCUAACCCCUCGUCGUAAAACCUGUAUAAUUUCCCAGAAAAUAAUAAUAAUAAGCUGUAUCAGAAAUCAUACUCAAGAUGAAAAUCCAAAGAAGUAUACCAUGCCAUAUCUCAAUGCAAUGCUAUAAGUAAUCCAGGCAAAAUAUAUCAAGGUCAAAUAUCGCAUCAGCCAAAUCCUUCUAACUCAAUCUGCAAGGCUGAGUAUAUAGCUCAUAACCAAUCUCAAUCAUAUCAAAUCAAAUCCUACAUACGAGUCGGAACCACCUAAAAUGGUCUGUAUGACAAGACUAGGUGUAAAAUAAAUAUCCUCUAGUGCUACGAUCACGUGAAGGCUGUGCGAAUAAUCGUGGGUCACCUAUGAGUCGGAACCACCUAAAAUUGUAUGUAUGACAAGCCUGUGCACCUAACUUAGAUCCAAGGUGAGCAUAUGGUGUGGGAGGUGAACAUCAUGUGAAGGAUUGUGCCCUAACUUUGGGUGGGAGCACUAACACGGGGUGCAUGCUUAUGAGCUCUCAAUACAUCACAUCAUAUCUCGCAUAACUGAAGCGAUCUCAUAUCUUUAAUUUAUAAACUUACCUGGCACUUACCUGUGCGUCCAGCACCAAUCAUAAAUAUAUAUGCAACUACUAAUGCAUAAUUAAAAUAGAGAAAUACUUUGCAUGGCAUUUCAAAACGUAUAAUCAUUCAAAUUCAUUUUCUGGGAAAAACUCAAGUAUAUAGGUAUAUACGGAAAACCAAAAGCCCAUUCACUGAUAUGUCGAAGGGUCGUAGCCCCUGAGCCUCGAUUGAUGGUGCUCGUCCUCAAGAUAGGUCUCACCUAUAUGCGAAAUAACUGAAUAAACGUUAUUCAAAGCAUUUACACAAAACUAGGAAAUAACUUCUCAUACAAAGCUCAAAUAGUUCCAAAGCUUUUUGAACUUAAAAAUUAUGGUUUUGUGGUUGUUAGUAGCCCAAAACUGGACCAUACACACCACUCUCGUUGACUUCUCUCUCCUCCCUCUCGGAUUUCUUGCCAUUUCCAUACAACCUGUACCGACAACCCUCAAAACCCUUUCAAACUUCACAAUCUACCACGGUUACAAUCCGUGGUUAUAUUGCCUUUGACAACGGGCAUAGUCUGUAGUAGAAACUGAGACUUUUUAUCACAUCUAGAAUAUUAACGGGCACAGUGUCUGUAGUGGAUUGCAAUUUAUCACGGGGAUUCACCGUGAUAGAUGAGCUUUUUUCUUCUAGUGUAGAUUAGUCUAACACCCAACUCAAACCACAACACUACACCAUAUACUCAACACCCAAGGGUAUUCUAGUCAAUUCAUACCAUCGAAAAAUAUAUUUUGGGACGGGCUGUCACAUAUAUGUCCUUCCCAAAGUUUCCCAUAAUAUGUUCUCAAACUACUACAUCGGAGUAUGUCGUAUCUUUCCAAUUUCUAGAUCAUCUUCUAAAUUCAUGAAAAGAAAAUAGAUACAAAAAUAAACACACUUAAAAGAGGGUAAGUAAACAUUUUAAUGAAGAGGAAAUGCAGAAGUAUAACCAAAUAAGCCACAUUCCAACUUUCACAAUUUAACAUUAGAAAAAUAAUCAUAUAAUCAUGAUUGGAAAGCUCAAAUUUAAAAAUGGUGCAGAAUUAACACUUCAAAAUAUUCAUUGAAGAAACUCAACAAGGGGUAGAAUGUUUCUAAUAUUUAUACUUUAUACCAAAAAUUACUCUUCUGAAAAAACGACAAAACACAAACCGGAACCUGAAAUAUAUAAAAUUCGAGUAAUAGGUCAAACACAGAAAAGUCAUUUAAUGGUGAUUGUUCGACCAAAUUUUGUUAAGGAAUCGCAUGGAUUAUGCAUGUGAUAAUAAGUAUCAUGUAGAGUAAUGUCUGGCCCAUAAUUUCCUAGGACUAGUCUAGUGAGUCUUCCUAUGGUGAACAAAAAGAUGAACCCUAAGCCAAAGCUAGAUGAUUGUAACAGUCAGAUAGUAUACUCACUGGAAUGUUGAACUUCAAUGACUCAGCUAUAUACCAAAUACUUAGACAAAUAUAUAUAUAUAUAUAUAUAUAUAUAUAUAUAUAUAUAUAUAUAUAUUUACUGAAUACAAAUAUAAAAGGGCAAGUUAAAGAGUCCAUGAAUAUCCAUAUUGUGUACCAAGUUUGUAAAAAUAUACUCCAACAUGAUCAGCUCAAAAGAAAGAGAUUGCUUCACUCAAUAUAGUAGAGAAACAAUUUCUUACAUAUUUCAAUAUAUCCAGAAAAAUGGUUCUUACACUGAUUCAUAACCUUAGAUCAUCACUGCAAAGGACCAGUGCAAAUUCGUUCCAUGUAUUACGUGUGUGGAUACAGAGACUAACCCAAAAUUAAGACACUUUACCUGACCACCGACGAAACAAAAGGCUCAAAAAUAAGAUUUGAACUCGGAUUUAAAUGAUGACUACUACCUCUCUCUGAGCUCAAAUGUGUGAACAUGCACUCAUCCAUUUUAACAAAAGAUUAAGAGAUUUAAUAAGAUGUAAUACCUUGUAUAAAUCUGGAUCUAAAAAAGCCAACCCUUCAAUUGUGACCUUCUUCGCUGUCUGCAAGAUUUGAGCUUCACCGGUCUGUUUUGUAAAAGGUGGCCGUAUUUCUAGAGGUUCUGUGCAUUUGGAAAAGCUGUAGAGGUUAAAACAGAACAUUUGUUCAUAAAUUUUGUGAGAAUAGCCCUUCUUUUAUUAUAAGAACAUAUCAUUUUUUUUAAACAAAGUAAACACACUUACACAGAUUUGUAUGAAUUUACUUCUGGAAUAUCUAGACCAAUGAAGAAAAGUGAUGAAGCAAUGGUGUUCAAGACUAUCUUGUCUGUGUGUUGAAAAAUUAAUGAAAAAUUGCAUGUCAAAAAACUGCUAAAUGUUGAAGGCCUAUUGGAUUGAACGAUCUAGGGUUUAGAGACAGAGAGGGGGCCAACACUUAAACAGAAGAGAGAUUGAUUUAAUUGUGAGGUGUGUUUGAUUCACUCCAUUGUGCCUUUAUUUAUAGUAGUAUGAUAGGUAAAAACCUUUCCCUUUAGGUUUACAACAUUUAAUAGGUAAUCAACUCCUAAUAGGAAUAUAAGAUACAUUCCCAAAUCUACUAGGAUUUACACAAUCACAUUAAAUAUGACUGCAACACUCCCCCUUGAGUGUGUAAAUACUCAACAAACCAUUGCAUCAGAUCUUUAGCAGAUAAGGUAGAAUAGUUGAUGAAGUCAUCGGCACAACGGGUGAUCCCGAGUCUCAAAUUUAAUUGAAGUAUGCAUUUGUAGUAAAACUCACAAAACCUCGCUAAGGUAAAACCCAAGGCAUGGGGGAAACCCAUAGAUUAAGGAGGAAAGUGAGAAGUAUGCAUAAUGUCUUUAAACAAACGUCAAACAGGACGAAGGUAGUGAACUCAAUAGAGUAUGAUCAUCCCAUAGUGGGUGCCUCAUUAAAACCUCGUUAGGUAGCAAAAACCUAGUGGGAAAAAUGCUCCUAAUCGUAUGAGAAAGAGUACAUUAAGAUCAUGUAAGUAUACUUCUAGAUACUCCCCCUGAGUUAGACAUAACUUCUAAAUAAGAGAACUACAAGCGAUUCAACUUAGAUAAUUUAUGCAUACCGAUUCCUUGGACGAGCUUUUAAAAUGUAGACUUGGGAAACGACUUGGUGAAGAGAUUGGCCAGGUUGUCCUGGGAACAGAUUUGCUUGACUUUAAUGUUCCGAUGCUGUUACUGCUAGUGUGAGUAUAAGAACUUCAGCGAUAUGUGCUUGGUGUUGUCUCCCUUGAUGUAUCCCUUCUUUAACUGCUCGAUACAUGUUGCAUUGUCUUCAAAGAUCGUCAUAGGAAAGUCAACGACUGAUGUAAGACCACUAGUGCUUCGAAUAUGUUCCAUAACUUCUCUCAGCCAAAAGCACUCACGCGAGGCUUCAUGAAAGGUGAAAAUCUCAGCAUGGUUCGACGAAGUUGCAACUAGCAUUUUCUUGGUAGACCUUCAAGAUAUAGUAGUGUCUCCAACAGUAAAGACAUAACUCAUUUGAGAACGUGCCCUAUGUGGGUAAGAUAGAUAUCCAACAUUUGCGUAACCAUCAAGGCGAGAAUCAAUCUGAGGACCAUAGGGGCGGCAACACUCGAAGAUUUGUGGGUAUAGAACAAGCCCAAAUCCGUUGUACCCUUGAGAUAGCGGAAAAUGUCUUUAACACCAUUCCAGUGCCUGUGUGUGGGCUUAUUUCUGUAUCUUGCCAAAAGAUUAACAGCGAAGGAGAUGUCGGGUCUAGUGUACUGAGCUAAGUACAAUAAAGCCCCAAUUGAACUUAGGCAAGGGACUUCGGGACGGAAGGGAUCUCGUUUAGCAUUUAGAGUCCGAACGACGAUGGGUGUACUCGAAGGCUUUGCUUUAUCCUUAUUAAAACAUCUCAACACCUUUUGGAUGUAGUUCGAUUGAUGUACUAGGAUUCCAUCCGAACAAUGCUCGAUCUCCAGGUCGAGAGAAUAUCGAGUUUUCCUAAGAUCCUUCAUCUCAAAUUCCGAUUUCAAGUGUGCAAUUUCCUCAAGCUCUGCAGGAGUCCCAAUGAGGUUCAUGUCAUCGACAUAAAGUAUAAUGAUUGCAAAUCCAGAAUGUGGCAUCUUUAUGAACACGCAUGGGUAUAAUUCGUUGUUCACAUAACCCUAACUUGUCAAAUAUUCACUUGGACGGUUAUACCACAUCCGCUCGGAUUGUUUCAAUACAUAGACUGAUAUCCUUAACCUAAUUGAGAGAGUGUUUUAAGGUCUAGAACUAUUUGAACUAGCCAAUGGAAGUCCUUCUGGAACUUUCAUGUAUAUUUCCGUAUCUAGAUCCCCAUAAAGAUAUGCGGUUACCACUUCCAUAAGUUGCAUAUUCUUUUUUUCAGAAACUGCCAAACAGGAACGUUAUAACAUCCUUUACGGGGGAAUAUAUCUCCUCGUAAUCAAUUCUAGGGCGCUGAGAGAAGCCUUACUCUACGAGGCGUGCUUUGUGUCGUACUAUUUCAUUCUUCUCAUUACGCUUCCUCACAAAAAUUCACAUGUAGCCAACGAGCUUCACGCGUGGUGGUGUAGGAAUGAUAGGUCCAAAUACCUUAUGUUUUGUGAGCAAAUAGAGUUAGACCUGGAUUGCUUGUUUCCAGUUUAACCAAUUGGUUCUACGUCAGCAUUCAUCGAUGAAACGUGGUUCAAUGUCAUCGUUAAGCAUGAUGUCAGUAGCUACUGAGUACGCGAAUGUAUCGUCGAUGAUCAUCUCAUUCUUAUUCCAAACCUCAUUCAAUACAGCGUAGUGGACCGAAAUCUCACAAUUCUCGGGAAGCCGGCAUGUUUCAUCUGAAGCAUCACCGUAAUCUAGAAUAACCUCAUGCAUUAGAACAGAUGAGUGAGCGAUGGUCGGAUUCAAACUAGGGUCACUAGAUGGUGCCAUUUUCCUCUUCUGGGGUUGUGAAUCAUUUGAACCAAGGGGUCUGCCAUGCUUCAGGGUCGGAGCAGAUGAUUAGUUAGCUGCCAAUGUACCUUGCCGUGUGGAAGGUGCGACCUCGCCACCUUCGGGGACGGUCUGGCCUUCCCAAGCUGAUUAUUGACAUAUGCGGGGUACAUCUAUCCUUGCAUGUGUGUUUACAGCAGGUAUAUGUGAUCUUGCCACCUUUGCUAGAUCAUUAAAAGCAUCCAGAAUGCUUUGAGCAAUGCUCUGAAGAUCUAUAAUUCGUUGCACCUCAGUUUCAGAUUGGGCAAUGCGGGGAUCUAAAUGAGACAUAGUGGAAGCAUACCACGACAAUUUGUGGUUUUCUACGGGAAUGUUAGCACGCUUAUCUCCCCCUAACGAUGGGAAUACUAUCUCAUCAAAGUGACAAUCCGCAAAAUGUUUGGUAAAGAGAUCUCAUGUCAAGGGUUCUAAGUAGCAAACAAUUGAUGGUGAAUCAUAACCGACAUAGAUUCCCAGUUUUCUCUAAAGAGCCAUUUUAGUACGUAGCGGCAACGCUAUUGGCAUAUAAAUGGCGCACCCAAACACGCGUAAAUGCGAGAUGUCAAGCUUUUAUCCAGUGACCAACUGUAACGGUGAAUAUGGUUGAGUAGCAGUGGGCCUCAGGUGGACCAACCAAGUUGUGUGCAAUAUUGCAUAGCCUCAAGCAGAUACCAACAUUUUGGUUCUCAUAACCAAAGUUCAAGCUAUCAAUUGAAGCUGCAUUAUGAAAGCUUUUACCAAGCCGUUUUGGGUGUGAACAUGGGGUAUGGGAUGUUCCACAUCAAUCCCUACUGACAUGAAAUAAUCAUCAAAAGUCUGUGACAAACUCUUCAGCAUUAUUCAAUUGAAUCAACUUAAUCGGAUAAUUAGGGUGGUAAGCCCUUAGCUUAAUGAUUUGAGCUAGGAGUUUAGCAAACGCGGCGUUGCGUGUGGACAACAGGCAAACAUGUGACCAUCGUGUCAAUGCAUCAACCAACACCAUAAAGUAUCUAAAUGGUCCACGUGUUGGCUAGAUAUGUCCACAAAUGUCACCUUGAAUCCUCUGACAAAAUUUAAGGGGGUUGUGAAUGAUCUUUGUAUGUGAGGGUUGAGUAUUCAACUUUCCUGAAGAACACACUUUGCAUGGCGGAACUCUGACAUUGGGAUGUAACUUAUGCCCGUGUGAUGAUUUGAGGAUAUGACGCAUAAUGCCACAUCCAACAUGUCUCAAAUGGUCAUGCCAAAACAACAAAGUGUCCUGGAACUUAGGCAUAGGGCCAGCCACAUUGUGGGCUUCUAUGCCGCGAAUAGUUGUGAUAUACAACCCACUCGGCAGACGUUCUAACUUCUCGUGAAUAUGCUUCUGGCCAUAUUGGUAUGAAGUGAUACAAAGAAAUUCAGAACCAUUAUCUUCAUUGGUUUCAAGAUGAUAUUGAUUAUCUCGAAUAUCUCUAAAACUCAGCAACGUUAUUCAGGAACGUGGAGAAUAGAGUGCCUCCUUAAUGGUCAAAAUUGUACCAUUAGACAACAUGAUACGUGCCUUUUCGUAUCCUUCAAUUAGGUUGGAUGGGCCUAAGAGAGUUGUCAAAUGACCUUUCUUGGGUAUUAAGUUAGUACAAUAGUGUCGUUCACUCAAGAUGAUGUACGUGGUUGCACUUUCUACCAGACAACUAACUUCCCCACUAGACAUACCUAGAAAUAAAUUGAUUAAAUUGGUCACAUGCAUAAAUAUAAGUCCAUUCAUUCAAUUAAGCAAUUUGAGAAAAUAAUAUCCAUUCAAAUAACAAUCCAUGAUUCAAAAUAGCCCAUAAUCUAUCACCACGAUUUCAACUUGUUGAAGAGUAGGGAUGCUUAAGGGAGCGGCCUAAGCCACUGCCCUUAUCAUUUGGUAAAAAGAGAGAAAAAAAUUGGUAUGUUGUAGGUAUAAUUUACUGAACAAUUAUGGAGGCCAUAGGGAGAGAGAAAGGUGCGGCAAUAGUAAAGAAAAGAGAGAUGUGUAAUUGUGGGUGUGUGUUAUUCCAACCCAUUGUGCCUUUAUUUAUAGUAGUAGGGAAGGUUAAUUCCUUACCCUUUAGGAUUAUAAUAUUUAAUAGGUAAUCUACUCCUAAUAGGAAUAUAAGAGAUAUUCCAAGAUAUACUAGGAUUUACACAAUCACAUUCCUAAUCUAAUAGGACCGCAACACUCCCCAUUGAGUGUGUAAAUACUCAAGUAAAUGGCGCAUCAGGUCUUCAGUGAUAAAGUAAGUACAGUUGAUGAAGUCGCCAGCACAAUGAGCAAAUACGAGUCUCAGAUCAACAAAAGAAUGCAUAAAAAGUAAAACUCACAAAAACAUCGUUAUGGUAAAACCCAAGGUGGGAGAAACCCAUAGAUUAAGGAGGAAAGUGAGAAGUUGCAUUAAGUCAAAACUAUACAUCUUUUAGACACAAGUAGAAGAGCUCACAAGUGUAUGAUCAACCCAUGAUGGGUGCCUCGUUAAAACCUAGUUAGGUAGCAAAAACCCAUUGGGAAAAAUAUUCCUAAUCGUAGGGGAAAAGAGUACAUUAAGAUCAAGUGAGUAUACUUUUGGAUACUCCCCCUGAGUUUGACAUAACUUCCAAAUGAGAACUACAAGCAUUGCAUAUGAAUAGUCAGGCAUACCAAUUCCUCGGACAAGCUUCUGGAAGGUUAACAUUGGCAAUGAUGUCAUGUAGAGGUCGACAAGGUUGUUUGGGAUCGGCUUGCAUGACUUCAAUCUCCUAAUGCUUUGCUGAUGUAGAUGUAGACGCAAUAUGUCUUGGUGUUGACUUCGUUGAUGUAUAAUGUCUUGGUCGGGUUGAUACAUGCGGCAUAAUCUUUAUGGAUCAUCGUUGAGACCCAACAAUGGAUGAAAAAUACAGCAAGUACUUCGAAUAUGCUCAACAAGAACUCCUAACCAUGUCUCACUUGUGGAGUAGAGAAGUGAGGUGAGUCUUGGAACGAUUCAAAGAUUUCGCAACUAAGGUCAUAUCGUGGACCUCAAAGAUAUUGCGAUAUCCCUAAUGGUAAAGACAUAACCAUUUGGGGAUUUUGCCUUGUGCAGGUUUAAUAAGUAACCAGUGUCAGCAUAACAAACAAGGCAAGCAUCAGUUCGAGGAUCAGGGGGGUUGGAUCCGCUAGAGAUGCGUUGGGAUUUGCCCUUCUUGUAACUUCAGGGCACGUCUUUAAUACCAAUCAGUGGUUACGUGUAGGCGCGAUGCUGUAUCUUUAUCAAGAUCAACAACGAAGGAGAUGUCCUAUCUAAAUACAAUGAGCUAAGUACAACGAAGGUCAAAGUUGAACUUUAGAUAUGGAAUUUUGGAUUUCAUAACCUCUUUAAAGGUCUCAUUUGCAUAUAACGUAUGGACAGCCAAAGGUAUACUCAAAGGUGACAACUUCAGGGUAGAGUUCGACUGGUAAACCAAAAUACCAUCAGAACAAUGCUUCAACUUUAGGUCAAGGCAUACAUGAGUUUUCCUAAGAUUCUUCAUCUUAAAUUUCGUCUUCAGGUGCAAGGCAUUUUUCUCAAGCUCUUCCGGAGUCUUAGUGAGAUUCGUGUUAACGACAUAAACUGUAACUUUAGCAAUUCAGAAUAAGACUUCAUAGGUUAACACGCAAUGGCAUAAUUCAUCCCUGACUGAUCAAAUAAUCACUUAGACAUGUAUACCACAGCCGUUGGAUUGUAAGUGAACGCCUCAAACAGUUAAGAGAGUGUUUCGUGGUUUUGGAACUAUUUAAACUAGUCUAUGUAAUUCUUCGGGAACUUACAUGUAAAUCUCCGUAUCUAUAUCCCCAUGGAGAAAACACUAACCACAUUUCAUAAUGCUGCCACCAAUCACAUGACAUUUAAGAGAAACCUUGCACCGUAAGGCAUGCAUCAUAUCACACUAUUUCAUUCAUCUCAUAACGCUUCCUUCCGCAUUUGUAACAUAAUGAGGUUACCUUAGGUAGUGUAGGAACAAUAGGUCCAAAACACACUUUGGUAAGGAAUUUGACCUAGAUUGUAACUUUAGUUGUCCAAUCAGUUCUACUUUGCCACUUAAUCAACGGAACAUAGUUCGAUAUCGUCGCUUUUCAUUUAUGUCGGUAGCUACCAUAUAAGUGAAAACAUCAUCGAUGGUAAUCUCAUUUCAAUUCCAUUUUACUUACCCAAACUAGUAUACUGGACCAAGAACUUCAAGUCUCGGGAGUAAUCCAGAUUAAUCUCAUGAGAUGGAAAUGAUUUGAGACAACAAUCGAGUUUAGAUUCAUUGUUGUGCCCUGUCUUCCUUUUCUAGGGAAGUGAAUCCUAUGAACCGAGUAAUUUGUCAUGCUCCAAGCUAAGACAAAUUGAUUAGCUAUCCACUAAUGUAUCGAACCGUCCAACAGGAGCGGCACACUCUCCAAGGAUGUUGACUCGACGUCUGUUAAGUACGUCUAUCCUUGUAGGAAUAUUUGCAGCUGGUAUAUGAUUUAGUCACUUUAGCUAGAUCAGAGGAAUGCGUCUGAAGCAACAUUCUAAAAGCUAGAAUUCAUCGCACUUGCUUAUCACACUUAUGUGGUAUGGGGAUCAAGAUGAGACAUAGUGAGCAACAUCCACGCAAAUUCGUGCCGUUCUAUAGGAACGUUGACGUUCUUAUCUCCCCAUAACGGUAGGAAGACUGUCUUAUUGAAGUGAUAACCCGCAAAUGAGUGGUAAAGAGAUCGAGUGCAAGGGCUCAAAGAGAGCUAGUGUGAAGGAUAAUCAUAAUCGACAAAGAUUCACAUCCUUCGUUGAUGACCUAUAUUAGUACGUUGCGGCGGCAUAACUUGGCACAUGGAAUGCACACCCAAAUGCUUGAAUACAAAAAUCGUCAGGGUCGUUCCUAGUAACGAACUCUAACGUCAUAUAGGUUAGGUGGCAAUAAGCGUCAAGGCGGACCAACAUAAUUGCGUACAAGGUUGCAUAACCCUAGGCAGAAACCAAAAACUUGGUAUGUUUACCAAAAUACGGGCGAUCAUUUAAAUUACGUUGUAUGAUUGCUAGGCAAGGCUAUUUGGGGUGAACAUGGGAAUUCGAUGUUCAAUUAUAAACCCAAAAUACAUGCAAUACUUUAUCGAAAACCGUCGAUAUAAACUCUCCGGCAUUAUCCAGUCUCCCAGACCUUAAGGGAUAAGGAAGGUGGUGAGCCCUUAAUCGGCCAUGAGGUUUAGCAGUAAUGUGUGUGGACAAACAUGUGACCAGUUUGUCGAUUCAUCAACCAAAACCAUAAGUAUUUAUAUGGUCCGCAUUUUGGUUGGAUUAGUCCACAUAUAUUCCCUUGAAUCCACUGUCAAAAGAGAGUUGUUUCGUAUCUUUGAUAGAAAUCAAAUUUCUUAAUGAGCGGGCUUUGGCAAAGUGUGCUUGUAGGCACAAGAUCCUUACUUUGGGUAAGGAGAUGCAUUGUAGCAUCAUUGUUUGACUUGAGUGUCCCAAAAGGUCGUACCAAAACAAGUAAACUGAUCGAAUCACCCGACUCCAGGCCGGCCACAUGUGGUGUGUUUCCAGUUAGGAGACAACUCAUUGGCCUCAAAUCAAAGUUUUGGGCUCAUUUUUUGAAGGUGGUGCAAAGAUAUUUCACUUUAUUUUCUUCAGUGAUUUCAUUUAUGAUUAUUGUCAUCUCAAAUAUCCUUAAAAACUCAACGACAUGGAGAAUUUAAGGUCCCUUAAAUGGUGAUUCAGUAUCGUUCAUACAAUAAGUAGCGUACCAAUGCUUUUAAUCAGGUUGGAUAGACCUGAAGUCGUUGUUAGAGAUGUGAUUUAGGUGUAAAGUUAGUGUGUGUAGUACGCAUUCAUCCAGACAACUAACUUUCCCACAUUCCUACCUAAUCACGUGUUUAAUUGAAUCAGUCACAUGUAUUAGGAAACAUGAUUCAAUUAACUCAUAUUCGAGGACAAUAUCAAUAAGAUUAUUCAUAAAUAAAACAUACACCAAACUUGAAUCCAAGAACAUGGACAAAUGUUCACAAAGUAAAUGGUUUACUAAGGGGAUUUGGCCAACAAGGCCAUCCAUGUCAAAAUUAUUCUUUUCCAAUGAUGUUCGAUGGAGCAAAAUUAGUCUCACAUAUUGACUACUAGAAUGGUAGUUCUUAACGACAUUGGUAGAGGCACGAACAGGUGCAUAACCAAUGAUCUAUUCCAUUGAGAUGGAAGUAGAUUCUGCUGGGUUGAGGUUUGGGAAUAUUAUCCCUUAUUGUUGAAGUUUUAGGUCUUAGGUGCCAAGGAUCACGCUUCGGGCAUGAUGCCACACCUUGACAGGCCCUGAUUCUACCAUAUGUUUGUAGUAGUCAUCAGAUCUGAGAAUUUGGUAAACUUCCACUUUCUACACAGCUGCUUCAAGGGCGAGUUAGAAACAUGGAAGGACGAGAAAAGUAUUAUCUAGUCAAAAUUUGAUCGGAUUUAUAAACAUUAGAAUUGUACUCAUUUAUGGACGUAAUAAUGAUGUGAUUUAGGUAAUGUCUUUCAUGAUUAGACAGUCCGUAGGAGUGAGUCAAAUAGCCAUGGAAUCAUCAUUCGGGAGGUAUUUCCAUUUGUAAUGCUUCGGGCAUAAGUCUUCGAAUGAAGAUCAUGGCGGAGGCUUAUUUAGCUCUUCCUUGCCAUUGUUGGCUUCAAUGGUGUCUUAGCUUCUUGAUAGUCAAGUGGACAUUCACGUCUUGUACUCCACAUAAAGUGGUUUCUAUAAGAAACAUCCAAAUCAGGGAAAUCAAACCUGUGACGGUUCGACAAUCCAUUGAAUUUAGAAGGAACAAGUUUGUGAUUGGUGCUAUGGGAAUGAAUCAUCCAGAAGCAUCAAAGUUAGAACAUUCGGGUUCUAAGAUAUGGUUAAAUGAAAAACGUCUGGUUUUCAUUGGUGUAUUGUUUUAUGAAAACUUCGGGUUUCAAAGGCACUAAAUUUGAAACUACAUGUUCGAUUUAUUUUAUGAACGUUUAGUUCAUAAAAGAGAGGUUCCUGCAGGAACACAUAAUGCAAUAUGCUGAUUUAAGUGUAGUGGAUUUAAGGUUCUCCGGGAACUUAAGUGUGAGUGCUUCGGGACUACGAAAAGAUGUCAAUUGUUCAAAAAAGAGAAAUAAAUUAUUGAAUCGUUAAUGUCCAAAAGUGAUCUUCAGGUCAAUAAUUCUAGAGUCAUUAUUAGAUUAAUCCAGCAGCCUUGCGCUGCUAGCUUUAGGCCUUGUCACGGUGAAGCCUAGCAGUCGCUUUCUAUAGGUUUGGUACAGAACAAGCCCAACAAGUAUAGGCUUGCUGGCUGGUGGGUUGAGGGCUGCAAGCCAUUAGAAGGAAACCCACAUGGUUCUCAUGCACAUACAACAGGCCUAGAGAAAAAAAAGGUGUAGCCUCUGCAUGCUUGGAAGGGCAGUGGGCUCAGCAAGUCAAACCCAGGCCUAGAGCCUGGUUGACACACGCAGCAAAGCUACUGCUGUUUUACGGUGCAGCUAUUUCCUUUUUUUUUUUUUUUUUUUUUUUUUCAAAUUUUUAGGGUUUUCAGAACCCAAAAUAAUCAUACUUCUAUUUUAUUUCGAUUCUUUGACUCACAUAUUCCACAUAGCAAAAAUUGUGUAAUGCAUGAAACAAAUAUAUAUAUAUAUAUAUUGAUAGAAUAUACGAACAUAUAAACAAAGGGGGGUUCAUGUAUGAAACAAAUAUAUAUAUUGAAAAGAAAAUAUAAACAUAGGGGGGGUUCAUGCAUCAUGAGAAAUGUUUUCAUGCUUCAAGGUUGUUUCAAAUAUCUUCCUUUAUUUUAAGCGUACCUGAUUGGCAGAAAACAACAAAAACCUUUGAAUUUGUAGAAUCCUUCUCGGAAAGGCGGAAUUUCAUCUUUAAUGCGUUGUAUCACGUUCAAUAAAAAAAAAAUUAAUAGUAUGAAGAUCAAUUCAAUAAAAUAAUAAAUUAAUCAUAAAAAGAAUGAUUAAAAUGUAAUACUCUCCUGAUUAAGAAUAAACUCUCUUUGGCACAGGGUCAAGAACAUGCUGAUAACGUGUUGUACAUAUAAUUUACUAAACAAUUAUGGAGGCCAUAGAGAGAGAGAAAGGUGCGGAAAUAGUAGUAGGGAAUGUUAAUUCCGUAUCCUUUAGGAUUACAACAUUUAAUAGGUAAUCUACUCCUAAUAGGAAUAUAAGAGAUAUUCGAAGAUAUACGAGGAUUUACACAAUCACAUUCCUAAUCUAAUAGGACUGCAACAAUAUGCAUUAUUAUAAACUACCAUUUUUUUAGGGAACUUUAAUGAAAAACUCUCGGUACUGUUCAUUUUAACGAAAAACCACAUUUUUACACUAAAAAGUUAAUCCUGGUACCAUUCACUUUACCCUUUAUUUGUCCUUAUCGUUAAAACUCAAAGUUUUCAAACCCUUUACAUUAGUUUUCCUUUUUUUUUUCCACAUUCAUAGCAAAACCUCAGCAAUCAUGUUUACAUUUUUAUAGCUGUUAAGUCAAACCCAACUUUUGAAUUAUUUCAAAAUGGGAAAUUUUAUUUAAGCCCAUUUAACCGCUUUUUACACCUAACUAAAAUUUUAAAUGUUAAUUGUCUAUUUUACCCUAUUGCAUAAUUACUAUUAAGUACAAAAUGAAAUUAAUAAUAAAACUCAAAUUUAUCAAUAAACCUAAACACUAUAAUUAAACCCUACGAUCACUCUUUGUUUAUUCUAGGUUCAUAAUUACCCCUUGCCCACAAUCGUUGUUAAGACUUGGAAAGUGAUUAGAGGGGUAGUUUUCAUAAUAAUUUCAAAUGGUGACCGAAGUUUAUGCCAAGGGCUCUAAGUUCUACAAAUCCCAUCCCCUUUGACUCAGCCUAAUCCACCCGCUAAUUAACCCUUUCCUUUCAACUUACUACACAUUUUGCUUCAUUGAUCUUUAAACUCAAAGCUACACAAAGGCAAUCUAGGAUAUAUGACCACGUCUUAUAAUUCCCUACCUUCUCCGCCUAACUUUCGCCUCGGACAGAGUUUUGCUUCGUUCUUUUCCAUAAGUGGACUCCUUGUUCGCCACUUUUAUACUAAGAGUGCGUUUGUUGCACCGGACUAAAUUAGACUAGACUAGCUUCAGGAACUAAGCUGGAUUGACUUGGCAUGGACUAAGUAGUAUAAGAAUAAUGAAGCGUUUGGUACAGUGUUUGACUAACCUAUAGACUAAAUUAUUUUCAUAUACAAAUAAUCUUUUCAUUAUUUUCUAAUUAAUUUAUUAGUAUAUUAUUAUUAUUAAUGUCACUUUUUUUUUGCUGACUACUCUCUUCCCCUCUCUCUACUUUCCUUUUCCUUUUCUUUAUCUUCUUCGCAUCCAGAGAAUUCCUUUCCUUUCUCUUCUUCAACCAGCUUCAAUCCCCGCUCUGCCGUCCUUUUCCUACUUCAAUCUCUCUUGGUUUGACAAAAAUUCCAACUGUUUUGAUCCCUCCAGUCCUAUCCAUAAACCAUUCUUCCUAUUCAUGUUAGAUACCAAAAGACCCUUCGUGCUUGACGAACUUGCACUAGGGGUGGGUUCCGUCUGGCAGCGUUGCGAUUGACGAAGACGAUGAACUCCUAAACCCUAGACCUUUGGAAGUAACCGAAGUGGCUGAUAUCAAAGGUGUUGAUGAUAGGGUCAGAUUCGUGUGGAUUUCACUUGAGGACCAACAAGGCCGUGAUUUUCAUCUUCAUGAUUUUCUAUACACAAGUGUAAUCACAUAGUCUGUACGCUGGUGGGGGAAUUAGGGAAGAAACUAACCCAUUAUUAGGAAAGAAAUGAAGUAGGUGUUGGGAUGUGAAGGAGAGGAAGCAAAGGUCUUAGUAGUACCGACUUUUUCGGGGGCACUCGCUAAGACCUCUUAGUGAGCUACUUAGUCCACACAAGUCUCGUUUAGUACCAUUAAACUUGGCCCAUGAACAGAACAAAUGCUGGACUAGACUAACAACUAGUCCAAUCUAGUCCAGUGAAAGCUAACGAGGCCAAACAAAUGCCCCCUGAUUGUUUUAAUUGAAAGUUCAGUUUCUUAUGGCAUUUGUAAUGUUAAAAUAUGCUCGAAUCCAACACACUAUUGAUGCAUGAAUGAAAUCGUUAAUUAAGCAAACACAAGAAAUUAACAUGCUUUUCUAUUUUAGAAGUUUCAUUUGUAUACAAUUUUCAUUGGUACGUUAUAGGGCUUGUGUUAGUGAGGUGAAAAUUGUGCGAGUUGACACAUUCUCAACAAGUCUAAGUGCACUUAAAACCCGUUAGACGUGACACCAAUUGAAUUCUUAUUGAAGCACUUAAAGCCUCUAUCACUAGAAGCAAACCAAGUAAACUAACUCAAUAGCACAAGUCUAACCGUUAAUUAUGGUACAAGUUAUCUAUGUAGUAGCUUCCACGCUAUAAGAGCGGUACUCCACUCCAUUAGAAAAUUAGGUAAGCACUUACCCGAACGCAACCCGUCACCACUCCCAACAGGUAGACUUCUCCAGUUUUUGUUUAUGUGUGUACUAGCUUUCCCCAUUGGGGUGGUAGCCCUCUCUGGCCUUUUCCCAGUUAUGAUCUCUGAUGUGAAAUUAACUUAACACACAAAUUUAACCCUUUUUUGACAACUGUAGUAUAAGUAUAAGUAGGGAUCGUUCUGGACCGGGGAUUAGGAGGGCUUGCUAAUAACCUCUAAAUUGACUCAAAAACAUAAAAUUAAACUUAAAAAAAAAUACUUAACAAGACUCACAAGACUCAAAGCAAACUUAAAAUACUCAAAACAGCUUAAAACAACUAAAUAAACUUAAACUAGACACUAGGAAUGACUUUGGACAAAAAUUGACUUUUACUUGAAUCAAAACAUUUUAAAAACACAAAUUAAAACAGAUUUUAACUAAUUAGACACACUAAAGUAAAGGGGGAGUGAGUUUUGGACGGAGUUGAAACAAACAAACAAGUAUGAAAAACUAGACAGAUUGUAAAACAAAUUUGAGAAAUAAGAUGAUGGAUGGGAUAGCUAGAGGCUUUUUCUCCACACAUGAUAUGUAUGCAAACAACUCGAUUUCCAGUUACUACUUCAUUGAAUUAUGAACGACAAUGCUCCAAAUUAACUAUGACAUCACUAAUUAACUCUCAGAUUUUCCUUGUUUUAUUGGAUUGGAUGACAUCAUUCGACAACCCAAAACAUUAUUCUAAAGUUCCCUACAUGACAUCAUAAUAGAGAUACAAUCAAAGAUCAUUACGUUUAAUGAAAAUCAUAAGCAUUGACAAAGCACUUGCAACUAUGACAUCAUGUCACUCAUGUUAGGAAUUCAACUUAACGCGAUCGUUUAUAAGCGACCUUCACUACAUGUGAAUAUAAGUUUGUAACGAUUAUGUGAAACUUCCUUACAUUCUAGCAACGGAUUUAUGCAUGCGAAUUAAGUGUCGACCCUUAAUUAACAAAUACAAAUAAGUUAUCAAUCAAAUAGUUAAGCCAAUUGCAUUCACGAUUCAAGAGUUCAUAACUGGAAUUUAUCAAAUUAUAUUGCACACAUAAUCAUGGCUUUGAAAUCACCCCUAGCCAAGAGGGGUUUAGCCACUCAUAUUUACAACAAAACGAAAGGAAAUGAAUUUAAACAUUAGAAACAAAAGAAAGAAAACACCUAAACGCUCCAACGAUCCAAGUUGGACAGCAAGCACGUCCAAGCACUUUCCUUCCCUUCCUUUGCUACGGCACAAGGUGUUGGUGAGUGUUUGAAGGUUUGUUUGUAUGGAGGAAUGGAUGUGUUUGGAUGAAGGUUGUGUUGAAAUGGGAGUGAAUGAUCUAACAAAGUAUGAACUCAAUUUAUGUUACACACACUUCCCUUUAUAGAGGAAGUGCAAGGCAAAGCAUGGGUAAAAUGGAGUGGUGUUGAAAUGAUUCAAAGGUGAAAGUGAAGUAAUGAUGCAAAGCAUGGGUAAAAUGGAGUGGUGUUGAAAUGAUUCAAAGGUGAAAGUGAAGUAAUGAUGCAAAGCAUGGGUAAAAUGGAAUGGUGUUGAAAUGAUUUAAAGGUGAAAGUGAAGUAAUGAUGCAAAGCAUGGGUAAAAUGGAGUGGUGUUGAAAUGAUUCAAAAUGGAGUGGUGUUGAAAUGAUUCAAAGGUGAAAGUGAAGUAAUGAUGCAAAGCAUGGGUAAAAUGGAGUGGUGUUGAAAUGAUUCAAAGGUGAAACUGAAUUGAUGAUUGAUGCAAGAAUUAAACAUGGAUGGAGUGCACGGCAAAGGUUUAUUAUGGUACAAGGAACCCUUAAUUUGUGUCCUAAAAUGCAUGUGAAACCUUCAAUGUUGCUGGAACUUAGGGACAUUUAGGAUUUAGGAAAGAUCAAACCAAAAUAGGAAACCUUGGCUUAACUUUCCUACUUCAAGUAGUAAUCCUCAUCUUUAGGUCUUCAAUUUCAUCCAUUCCUUUAGUUCCAAGCAUGUGAUAUUUAUUCCAAGCCCAAAAUUUCUCCAAAAGGCUCCAAAAUGCACAUUUUUGCAUACUUUGUCCUUAGAACUUGAAAUUGCACAAAAAUGACUUUAAACACUAAAACAACUAAGGAAUAACAACAUAAAUGCAUGAGAACAAGCUAACUCAGUCGCAUAAAUAUGCUCUUAUCAAAUUCCCCCACACUUAGCUUUUGCUAGUCCUCGAGCAAAACAGAAGAAACAAAUGAAUCAAAACAAACAGAACACAACUUAACCUUCCAACAUUUGCCUCAUGGAUUUCCAAUGCACAUGACAUGUUAAAAAUCAUCAUUCCCACAGCUUUUGGUCAUCUUCACACUUGAGCACAUACUUAAUUACAGUCACCACUUACUAGUUUGCAAUUAACCAAUUAAAACAAUAUUUUGAAUGUAGUAACAUGCCUUAGAGAAUUUGCUCAAUUCCUUACAAGAUACUCUCUAUUUUCACAUACAUUUUCUGACUACACACCCUACACUAGUUAUAUGUGAGCAGAAUGAUGUAAACAUGGAAGACUAGUACUCACAUAUGUUAUAACAAAGAAAGCAAUUUCUGGAGUUAAUAAGCAUGUUUAGAUAUGAUCUCAUGAAUGGAAUGCUACCACUUAGAUGUGAGAACCAGUGACACCAUAUGCUCAUACCAAUUUCAAACUCCACGAAUUGAAACACACAACACUCAAGAUUGAAGUCAAGGGUUGUAACGGGGCUUGGGGGGUAAUGGCUAAUAAAGAAAGGAUAGCAAUAAUAAACGUUCUUAAAGCGAUAGCAAGCAAAGCAAUGAAAUAGACACUUGGAAUUCACUUUAGAAUGCAGAAUCAACUUUUAAAUACAAAGGGAAGAUUCAUGCAACACUUAGGGCCGAAUUCAAUGUUUUGGACCCUUUUUUAACAAACUUUUUUCUUUUCACUCUUUUUUUUUUUUUUUUUUUUUUUUUCUACCCAUGCCUUAUUAAGGACUUUGGUACACACACACACACACACACACACACACACACACAAGAAUCACUUCCCCCACACUUGCUUUCUGCAAUACAUUGAUAAAAAAGGAGUUCAUUUUAAGUUAUGCUUUACUAUGCUUCAAGAACAAGGGUAUGGAUGCUCCUAAAACUAGGCUAGGUAAGGAUAGUGUGGAUUAACAAAGAACAUAGGCUUAACAAGGCUCAACGGGGUUAAACUUAAACACAUAAUGAAAUAGGGGCACGAAAAUUUGGCUUUGGUGGUCACUACACAACUUCAUCUUGAAUAUGUGUUAUGCAAAUCAAUAGCAUGCUUUGAAUGAAAUAGGCAUGAGUUCUAGCAUUUGGAACUAAAUGAUGAAACGCCUUCUAAGUAGCAACCAAGCAAAGAAUAAUGAGAUCAUGCAACGACUUUGGAAAACAAUGAUGCACAAAUUAUUAACUCUCCAAAUAAACGUUUAGGCUUAAGUCUCACAAGGUUGUAGCGUUCAUUUGAGUUCCUUCCUUCAAGCAUGUUACAAAACUGAUUUUUCCUUUAUGAUUGCAUGUGAAUUCAUAAAUUAUAACCACAACCAAGCAUACACCAAAGACUGAAUCAAAUUUUCAUCCGUGUUUAUAACUCUCUUUAACAGUCAUGUAAUUAAAAACCAAAUCCUCAUCAUUGUGUUGGAAGGUACCCUAAGACACAAAUAAACACACAAAAACAACUCUUUUUGGGUUUUUCAAAACAAUUUUUCAAAUUUUUAUGAGAUUUUCGGAUUUUUAUGUCAAAACACACUAAAACGCUCCAAAACAGCUUAAAACACUUAAAAACAGCAAGGAAUAACACUAGAAGUAAUGGGUGAUAAACUCCUACGAAUUUCAUGCAAAUCAAUUUGGUUACCCCCCCCCCCACACUUAAAUCAUACAUUGUCCUCAAUGUUUCAAGCAUAAACUCACACAAAAACAAGCAAAGAAACAAACAACGAAUAAACAUGACAAGUUUAGCAAAGUAAAAACCAGACAUAGUAGAGUUUAAGAACGCAAAUCUGGUUUUGGAGAUAGAUGAUCUUGUUGACUUUCCAUAGCUUUGAUCUCGAACUGGUUUGGAAUUCUGAGUGAGGAAUAUCAGAGUUCCUUGGUUGUGCAGUCUGCAUUCUUCUCUGCUUGUUUCUUCUGUAUGGCAGGUAGGCACGAGGUAGAGGUGAUGGUCUGUUUCUUUCUUCAAUCUUUUCGAGUGCCUACCAUUUGCUUUCUUUCUCCUUGUCCCUAGCUGAGGAUGAAUUAGCACAUUGUCUCCACAUGCUUCGAGGUAUCAUUUUCACUUCCUUUAUUUGUUCCCCAAGCAGAAGUGGUAGACGAAGAGGAAGCAUAAGAUGUCGAAGAUGAGUACUCGAGAGCAAGGCUAGGUAAGCAAUCAGGAAGGGAUUCUAGGCAUUCGGUUCCAGAUCGGAAGAUUGAUACCAAGUGCUGGUUGAUUGCUCUCUUUCUCUUUGUCCCACAGAUGAUAACAACGACAAGGAGAAGGAUAGGGAAAAAGCAUGAUAUGAGAUACUCUUGCUUUCAACCUUCAUGAUAUGAAAUACUUUUGCUUUUGAUGGGUUGUUUGCAGAGGUAUCCUAGGGAAUAAGGAACACUGAGUGACUCGAGAGGCUUUGUUGGGAAGGCAUUCUCAGAGAUGAAGAAGGGUUAUGUAUGUCUGCCUUGCAAUGGGGGGUGAAGGUCGACAUUUAUAUGAAUUAAUAACUGGUACUAUUCUUUCACUCUUGUCGGCAACUGUUGGAUGAUUGAAUAGUAAUCUUCACGUGCUUCCUACGUCACCAGAAAUCUUCGACAGAUUGCCCGUAAUUUUCGCAAGGCUGAGUGUGCAUGUGACAGAUGCUGACACGUCUGGAAAAGCAAAUGCGUCUUCGAUAUCUGAAAUCGGCGCUUCGACAAAUUGCCCGUGAUUUCUGCAAGCUGAGUAUGCAUGUGACAGAUGCUAACACGUCUGGAAAAGUAAAUGCCUCUCCGAUUUCUGAGCUUGCCUCUUCGAUUUCUGAGCUCUGUCGAGUGCAGAGGUUGCAUGUGACAAGUGCGGCCAAAUCUAGAAUAGAGGAUGGCCCGUGGUUUCUGAGCAAGCCCAGCUUUUGAGAAAGCUAACGCCUCUUCGAUUUUUGAAUUGGCCUCUUCAAUUUCUGAGCUCGCCUCUUCGAUUUCUGAAAUCUCGUUAAGUGCUGAUUUUUAUAGAGGAUAAGCAGUUCGUUUCUAAGCACACUUGAAUUUCUGCCCAUAAAAACUCCCUUCAUUGCACUUCUUAAGAUCUCGAUUUGUUCAACCUCUUUUUUCUUCAACACCUUUGAAAAUGUUUGGCCCCUUCGACCGUCGUUUUGACUUGAGAAGGCAUGGAUGCCUCUUCACCAAGGUUCAAGUCAAAACGACGGUCGGAGGGUCCAGAUCUUUGAGCAUUGGUGUUCAGCAACAUAUGCCCCUCCGACCGUCGUUUUUAAGAUGCCACAUCUUUUCUUGGUUAACUUAUUCUCUUGCCCUUUUGGGUUUUGAGGUAUUCCCGCUUUCAAUAUAGUGCAUCCCACUACUUGUCUCUAGGUGAAAAAGUCACUUUAUCAUAUUACCAUGAGAGAUAAUAUGACCAUUCAAGUAUAAAGUGUAACUCAUUUUGUCAAACAAUACUGAGUGCCUAUCUCGCAAAAGCAUAGAGAUGGAAAUCAAAUUCUUUAUACAUGAAGGAAAAUAUAAACAAUUUUUAAGUUCCAAGACCUCCCCAAAGGGUAGUUUAAGCAUGUAGGUGCCUUCUUCUUUUUGCAGAGAUUUUAGUGUUGUUCCCAACUUGCACAAUCAUCUCCCUAUUGUGCAGUGUCCUGCUUCUUGUUAGUCCCUGCAAUGAAUUACAGAUAUGUUGAUUAGCGCCUGAAUCAAAUAUCCAGGAAUUGGAGCUUAUUGUGAAAGCAGUCUCUAUGACAGAAAUAGUCCCUUCAAAAGUUCGUGUCAUAAGGCUCGCAAUGAGCACCCUGUAUUUCUUCUUCCAAUGUUCAUUCUUUCCACAAUGAAAGCAUGCUCUUUUGGAUUUUGUUGCCUUUUUCUUAUGCAACCUUUUCCUUGUGAUUGCAUUUUCACUCCCACUGUCUUUUUUGAAAGUUUGUUCAAACUCACAGCACAUGUCAAUCAUCUCGGUAAAAGUAUGAUCGAAUCCAUUCACUUUAUAGUUUACUAUAAACUUAGUGAAAUCAUCCGAGAGAGAUGCAAGGAAAAAGUAUUGGGCCAUUUUCCCAUCGAUGGAAGUUCCUAAACUCUCAAGAUCUUGAAAGAUCCUUUCCAUCUUUUGUCCAUGUUUUUGGACCGAUAUCCCCUUUGCCAUUUUGGCAUUCAAUAGACUACAAACAUUUGAGAAUCGUACGUUACUUGUCUCAAUGUUAUGCAUCUUAUGUAAACUAUCAACCAUGGCACAAGAAGUGUCUAUGUGCUCAUGUAGCUUCUUAAGCUCCUUACUAAGUGAAAUGAGGAUUAAGCAUUUGGCUUGUAAGUCAUCCUCAAGGUGUCUAGUAUAAUUUUGACACUCCUCCUUUGAAGCUAGCUUUGUAGGAGGUACAUGAGGAUGGGAUUGCUUGAGCACAUAUGAUAUGUCAUUCAUCUUUGAGACAUUCUUAAUGUGAUGAUACCAAGCAAGGAAAUGUUGGCCCCUAAGGCCCCUUUUGUCAAGUAUAAUGGUAGGUGUAAUUUUAGGCAUAUCGUUAACUACAUAACAUAACAGAAAUCAUAUUAGAUUGUUGAUUUUAAAACUACUUGAUUGGGUCUUAAAUCAAAUAGUAACCCACUAUUUUUGGCAAAUUCCACAUCCCUCAAUGGAGUCCGAGAGUUAUGUUGAACUCUUAGCGGGGUAUGAGAGGCUCACCAUUACCAAGCCCACCGCAUAAUGAUAUGAUGUUGGUUAGGAACAAUAAUGAUGAGAGAAUAACACUUUAGUCAUUUACAACUCUUGUAAUUACCCAUCUAGUUUGGCCUCUAGAGAAUAAUGCCUCACAAUGAUAUGAUGUUGGCACCAUUGCACUUAGUUAAGUCAUUCCCACCAUGCUAGUUGGUGUAGGGGGUUCAAGAAUAGCCUCACAAUGAUAUGAUGUUAGCCAUCCUCGUUGCUUACCUCACCACAUCAAGUAUGUUCAUAUGGACUACUCCUGAAUGUAAGCACAUACUUUGAACUUCCCCAUGAUAGGGUGAAGCCGUUGUUUGAGUCACAAAUGAUUGGAGCCCACCACGGUGGAAGGCCUACGAAGAGAUGUUCAAAGCAUCUCUCGCUUAUCAACUUAAUAUUCGUUUUGUUGAGGGAGUAGUGUUGGGCUACAUCAAUUUCAUUUUAAUCUUAUUAAAAGAACUUGGGCCUAUCACAACCAUUGGUCCAAGUUUAAAUGAAUUAGUAGUAUAUAAUACUCCCACUAUUUCGAUGAAACAAGGGAGACUAUAUGGAACUACUAAUGAAUGCAUAGCUUCCUCAUAUGGACUGCAUAGUCAUCUUAGGCUUAGGAUGAUUAUGAACCGUUUGAUUUGAUCCAACACGAGCCUUGUGUUGGACCUUGGGUCUAAGGUAGGUAGUUGUUGAUUUUAGUUACACGUUUAAUCUAAUUAAACCGUUAUUUCCUAUUGGGCGUUGGACCCAAGUAUUCCAAUUUGCAUGCAAUUAAACAAAAAGGAAUAAUUGAAAUAUAGAGAAGGGAUUAUGCCCUUUUACAACACAUUGAACUAAUCAAAUUACAUUCAAAUCUAAAUUACUUAACCCAAACAUUCAUAAUGUAAAGCGGCCAAUCACAUAUAGCUCAAUUAUCGAGGCAUUUGGUUCAUAAUCACCAUUUUCUUAAUCAAUCACAUUAACUAAGAAAGCAACUUAAACAAUUGGAUUCAUAUAAUUGAUCUAAAUGGAACUAAAUGAAAUGAAAAUCCAAUUCUCAUUAAAGAAACAAAAUCAUCUUGUUCUCAUCAUAAUUUGGGCCGAAAAUGCAAUGACAACAACUAUUGGGCCACAACUCAAAAACAUAAACUAUUGGGGUCACUUUGUAAAAACAUAAAAGUCAACAACUUCAUGUAAUUACAACUAGAAUCUAAAAAUUUCAACCAUUACAUAAACUUCAUUAAAAGUAAACUUUUGAGUCAAAGUGGAACACACAAAAGUAUCAAAACUUUAUGUAAUUGCAUAAAAUCCCCAAAAAUACCCCCACUAAGGGGUGGCCGGUUUUGGUAGUUGAGUGAUGGUUGGUUUUGUUGAAAAUUCAAAAUUUCAUAAAGUGUGUUGAAAAAGUGGAAGGUAUGGGUUGAAUAGUUGAUUGACAUGGUUGAAAAGCUUGAUUGGUAUGGGUUGUAAGAUGUAGAUGUUUCAAACAAUAAAGACACAAUGAUCCAUCACCAAUCAAUAGCAAACCAAAACUUUAUGAAAAACAAUAAACACAUUGAAUCAAAAAACCAAACCUUUUUGACUUUAUUUAAUGGGUUAAUUGCCCUUUUUUUUUAGUUGUCAUACAACUUAAACAUAAGGGACCUUAUGGACCAAAAACCCAUUUCGACCCCGAGACCCGAAACUAACUUAAAAUCCCAAUACGAACCUUUCGUAUAAUUAAUUAACUAAUUAAUUAAUCUUGACCAUUCUCAAUUAAACCAUUUAAUUGCUUAUCCAUCUCAUUUAUAUUUCUUCACUUUCAUCCUUACUCGGUGUACGAUCCAUUAGGUUCCAAUUAGCGAGGUAGUGGGCGAUUAUUACUCUUAACAAUCGAUUGUGAAUUGAAACUACAUUUCAAUUCUCCCUUUGAUGUAGAUUAGUGUUUGCUAAUCUUCAGGGUUUCCACAAACCAUGAGUGGCACCAACAAUAUGUGAUGGCUACCCAAGCUAAGUAGAAGUGGUUGGAGAACCUAUCCAGUUACAAUUACAAUGCAAUACGGUCAUUCUCUAAUACAAUACUCUUAAUUACAUUGUUUGAGUGAUAGUUUGUUUCAUGUCAAUUAUCCAAUAUGAUACUUCUCUAUAUGAUUCAAUUGAAUAUGAUUUGGAACAAACUUCCUAAAUCAUAUUCGUAUGCUUUGGCCAAAGACACUUGGAUCAUAUCUCAGAUUAUUCUCCCUCCACCAUGGAAUGUUAGAAAUCCUUUGUUGUGCAUUCAUAUGCCUACAUGACUUGAAAGCUUGACCCCAACAAUGUCAUGGAAACUCUCGAUAGAAUGCCUUUGACAUGAUCAAAGAUCAAGGACCUAACCAUUAAACAUCUAUAAUGCCUCAAGUCAAAGGAGUUCUUACAUGACAUGUAUGUUCGAACUCUGUUUUGAUCAUUGUUCAGUGUACUUGAUUACCUUUUGAGCACCUAUGUGUUUGUUUCAGUGUCCAACACUAAAUGGCUUGAGACUAGUCAUACUCACGCUUGAGUUAACAUAACACAUACUAACCUUAGCGGAUUGUCAAUGCCCAAUUGGCAGUUCUAUGGCUAGGAACGUUUUAGGAAUGAACAUAAGAGAAAUGUCUUGUUAAUCUAACUUACUUAGAUCACUUCUCUCUUAGAUUAAAUACAUUCCUUGGAUUCCCUUAUUGCUUAAACACAUAAUACAAUAAAUAGUGAUUAACAAUAAGCUUUGCCCUUCAUUAAACAUAUAAUAGUUUAACACAAUAAGCAUUCCAAAAGCUAUUACAUCAAAUGAGUGGCUUUGUGGGCAUACUUCCAACAGAGAAAGCCUUUGCUAGUCUCUGUGUGAGCCAUUGAAAAUAAUUAUAAGGCUUAGGGGAUUAAUUCAAACUAAAAGAAGGUUUUGAAAGCUAAUUUUGUAGAAAACUCUUGGGUAUGGCACAAAAGACUUAGGUUUCUCAAGCUUCAUAGUUUAAAGAGCUUGCAGAAGUUACAACUGGUGAGUAGUUUUAUUGAGUUACAAGAAAAUGAAGAACCUUGUGAAAGAUGUAUAUUGGGAAAGCAUCACAUAGACGCUUUUGAAACUGGAAAGGCAUGGAAUGCUAGUCAACCUAGUGAAGUUCCUUGAAAUAUAGUAAAAGUUUUUCUCUAUAUAUAAAGCUCCAUAUUAAAAAAAUUAAAUAAAAAAAAUUAAAUAAAUUGACAAAGUAAGGAAAACAAAAUGAAACAUUUUUUUUUAAAUAAUCAAUGUGUAAAUGAAUAGGUUCCGCUGUCACCUUAACAAUCCUAAAUAGUUCUCUCAAUUUACUUAUGAAUUAUCCAUGCAUAUUUUCAAGGUUCGAUUUUCCUAAAAUGUUCUACUACUUCCAACCUAGAACGUAUAUCAAACAUGAAACGUGUCCAGACGUUUGGAUCGAAUGUGAACAUGAUUGACUCAUUAAGCUUUAUGAAAACCCUUUGAAUAACCAUGCAACCCUUAAUACGUGGUGUCCAUCCUAAGUGAAAUUACAAUUAUUAACCACAAGAAGCCAUCACCAAUUUCAGGGAACCUUUGGAUCAAAAUUGCAUCAAAUUACUUUUCUAAACAUGCUAAUGGGCACGAAUCACUAAGACACUUAGAUAGCUUAAACAUAGUGAUAAAUAAUUCAAAACAUACAUGCAUAAUAUCAUAAGUAAAUUGAAAAGAAACUACACGUUCUUUGUAACAUCCCACAUCACCCAAGGGGUGGAUCCUCUAUGCCUUAUAUGUACAUGUCAAUCUCUUCCUAGCACGAGGCAUUUUGGGAGCUCACUAGCUUCCGGUUCUGUAGGAACUCCGAAGUUAAGCGAGAAAAGGGCCAGAGCAUUUCAAGGAUGGGUGACCUACUGGAAAGUUCUGCUCACGUGAGUUUUCAGAAACAAAACCGUGAGGAUGUGGUCGGGGCACAAGGCGGACAAUAUCGUGCUAUGGUGAAGUCAAGCCCGGGAUGUGGUGUUCCAGUGAAAUUUCAUUAAGGUCCGCCACUUGAAUAGCAUAGAAAUCGAUGAUCCGACAGUUGGAUUGUCACUAAACCUGAAUAUAUUAUAGUACGUAAUAUUUUAGGAUUAUAGGAACUUACGGAUCAGGAAUCUGACGCGCAGAUCUUCUCGAAUUGGAUUUGUAAGUUCAUAAAAUAAAACGUCGACCGCCACUUGGUUUUGGCAAUUGGCGGAGAUCCAACCGUUGGAUCAUAAUGAAACUUUAGUAUGAUGUUUUAGAAGCAUAAUGUGGAUAUUUAGAUGUUACAGAUCGGAAAUCUGAGUUAUGGAUUUUCCGAAUUGAGUUACUUAGGAUUGUGGACCCUACCGUCGAUCUUUGAUCGACGGUUGAAUUUUGGUCAAUGGUUACAAAUCUUUCUAGAACAUCCUUAGGGGAUCUGUUUUAUGUAAGUUACAUGUUCUAUCAAUAAGGAUUCUGAGAUGUGGUUUGAUAAUUGUUCUAGUCGCCGAUCGUUCGUGACGCCUCGAUGUUUAUGCUAGGAAGUUGUAGCGCAGACUCCAGGUGAGUAGGCUUUUGGUUAUAUAUAUAUAUAUAUAUACGUAUAUAUGCUUUACAUUUUCCAAAAAACUAUUUUGAAACGAGCUUAUUCUUUUAAAUGCCAUGUCAUGCUUGCAUUUCAUUCAUUAUACGCAUUAGUAUGUAUAUGCAAACUAUUGUAUCACGAUGCGAAGGCCAGGUAAGUUUCAGGUGUGUACUGUAUGAUGUUAGUAGUUGCAUUGGUUAUCGUUAUACGUAGAGGCAUGUAGAGCUCAUUAUCCUGCACCUCGGUGUUAGUGCUCCCGCCUGUGGCCAGGGCACAAUCAUUCAUGUGAUCGUAGCACUUGAGCGUACUUAUUUACACCCAGCCUUGUCGUACAGACCACAAUCGGUAGUUCCGACUUGUGUGAAGGCAUAUUUGAUGAGCUAUAGGUUCAGCCGUAUAGGUCACGUUAUGUGACUCCGGCUGGCAUAUAAUUUCUAUUGAUUUAUUUCACCUGGCUUAUUUAUUUCAUUGCUGAGAUACUUGACAUGGCAUAUACUUGGUUUUCACUACUCUCAAGCAUGAUUUCUAAAUACGUAUGUAUUAUUAUUUUUUGGGAAAUUAUACGGGUUUUACGAGGGGAUCGUCUAUGCCUUAUAUCUACAUGCUCAUCUCUUCCUAGCACAAGGCAUUUUGGGAGCUCAAUGGGUUUAGAUUCCGUAGGAACUCCGAAGUUAAAUGAGUUCGCACGAGAGCAAUCCCAAGAUGGGUGACCCACUAGGAAGUUCUCGUGUGAGUUCCCAGAAACAAAACCAUGAGGGCGUGGUCGGGGCCCAAAGCGGACAAUAUUGUGCUACGGUGGAGUCGAGCUUGGGAUGUGGUGAGGGCCCGGGUUGGGAUGCGACAUUCUUACUAAGCCUCUUGGCCUCGCCCCAGCCAAAGAAUUUAGUUACAAACAAUCAUAAAACAAAAUAUUAUUAAGAACAUGGAUAAGAAGCACCUUGUCAAAUAAAUUUGAAUCAUAAAAGCUCUCUAAGCUGGAUUCUCCAAAUUAGUGCAUAGAGAACCCUAAUGGUUAAAUAGCCUUAUUUAUACUACUACAUAAUAAAAUGCUACUUAGAAAAGGUCUUAGAAUAAAACUAGAAACCAUAAUAAAAUAAUAAACAAUUUCCUAUUUAAAUUGAUAUUCGAACUGUAUAGAAACUCAAACUUUUGACCGACCAAAUCAACUUCGAUUUAGUCCCAAAAUGUCUCUUUUUAAAUCGUAAGACAUCUCCAAAAUAUCCUCGGAAGGAACCUUUUUCAAAAAAUACCAUUUUGACCUCCAAAUACCCAAAAUGUCCAAAAAAGUCAAUCUGGGAAAGCUGCGCUCUGGGCCUUUAUUUUAUUGCCAUGGUCAAACGGCUUGGAAUUAAAUUCUGGAAAUUGAUAAAAUCAUUUUGAAAGACUCAUGAACCUACUCCAACUAGAAUUACUCCAAAAUUCUUUCGUUUGAUCACUUUAUGCUCAAAAUAGAUUCACAUGUCAUGUAAUGGAACAAUAGAACAAGUAUCAAAAUUCAACCAAAAUAACCAAUAAAUUAUGACUAAGAAUAGAAUAAAAUAUCAAGUAUAAUAUCAACUCAUCAGUCAAACUGUUUGACGGAUCUAUUUGAAGAAUUUGAUAGGUACACAACGUUUACAAGAGCAAUUGCAACAAUGUUGCUGCUGCUAAAGUCUAGAAAAUUUAAGUAGAAGUCGUCCACAAUAUCAUGAGCAUACAUUCUCUUCUUCAAACCUCAAGAAAUAUGUUGAUGGGCCUUUGUAGAUUUGAUCAUUUGGACUCAUGAAGUGGGGCUAAAGGAAUCUCUUCGGUAUAGCUUCAACUAGGGAAGGGGGCUCUCAUUGAAACUAAGCCCUAUUCUUAGUUUGAGAAAAAAACAAUCUAACAGAGAGGAGAAUGAUCAUAGUGCACAAAUUUAGUUUUCAGCUUAAAUGGCUUCUCCAGGUGGGAGUUCUUCAGGUUAGUGCACUACAAUCUUUAUAUGAAUCAAUAUUUUGAGUUUUUGCUAGGUUGUGAUUCUUGUAACUGAAUCUAGAUUGUGGUUUUAAUGUUUAUAUGUGGCAUUAGAGCCAUAAGUUUAAGUUCUUAAAUUCAAUCUACAAAAAUCAGAAGAAUCAAACAUACAAAAUAAAAUAAAAUUCUUCAGUCAUGAGGUUUCGAAACUGGUUCUAGGUUUUUUAUCUGGACAAUAGGGGUUUUAGCGAAAUGUUGUGUUUUAAUAUAAAAGGAUUAUUUAAAAUUUUGAUAGUUGGAACUCGAAAUUCGUUAUGCUUUGGGAUUUUCUGGGUUGGCGAAAACUUUUUCCUCUUCUUCGGUUUUGUGUUUUGGGCAAUCUGAGGGUCUUUCGAAAACUACUCGACUUGUUGAAUAUUCAAUAUCUAUCAAAAUUUCUUUGGCUGCCAGGUGUCGAUACACAUCAAUUAAAAGGUAUGUGAUCUGAAACCUACAUUGGAAACAUGAAGUUCUUGUUUAUUUAUUGCUUGAUUUAUGUAAUGAUUCUUAAUUCUAUUAGUAAUAAUAGAUCAAUAUAAGUGAUAUCAUACUUAAUUUUGAAUAAAACUUGGACAAUAGGAUUUUUACCAAAAUGAUGCGUUUUAAUAUAAAAGGAUUAUUUAAAAUUUUGAUCGUUGGAACUCAAAAUUUGUUAUGCUUUGGGAUUUUGUGGGUUCGGGAAAACUUUUUCCUCUUCUUCGGUUUAGUGUUUUGGGCAAUCUGAGGGUUUUUCGAAAACGACUCAACUUGUUGAAUAUUCGAUAUCUACCCAAAUUUCUUUUGCUGCCAAGUGUCGAUACACAUCAAUUAAAAGGUAUGUGAUCUAAAAGCUAGAUUGGAAACAUGAAGUUCUUGUUUACUUAUUGCUUGAUUUAUGUAAUGAUUCUUAAUUCUAUCAGUAAUAAUAGAUCAAUAUAAGUGAUAUCAUACAUAAUUUUGAAUAAAACUUGGAAUAAUGAAAGUUAUCUAAUCCUGUAAGUAGACAAUCGUUCGAAUUUUUAUGAGAUUAUUGCUUGUUCUUAAAUUAUCAAUAUUUGUGAACUGUGAACAGUUUUGUAGGGAACAAAUAUCUUCUUUUGGGAGAAAUGAUUGUUCAUGAUUACAUAGCUUUUAGUACUCAGCUUAUCAUGAAACUUUUCAUCCUAUAUGUAAUCAACUAUUUGUUGUUAAGAUUGUGUGUAUGGAUAUUAGUUUGGAUAUGGUGGUGUGCAAUAGACUAAGAAUUGAAAUUAGGACUUUAAAAGGUUUAAAUUGUGAUUUCAUUGUUCUUUAGUGUCUGCAAUAUUGAUGAAGACCUUAAAUUUAGCCAACAUUCCAAUGCUCACUGGUGGGAACAAUUAUAAGAAGUGGAGGAGGGAUAUCAAUUUGUUAUUGACUCUUAAUGAGUUUGAAUAGUAAUUGACAACCCUAAGCCAUUUAUCAUUCAUCAAUUCACCUGGGCUGAGAAUUCAGAUCAUGAGAGAUGGACAAGGGCUAAUAAGGUUGCACUCUCUAUGUUGGAAAGUGGCAUGACUAACACAAUCAGAGAAGGAAUCAAGAAACCUAAAUUGAUUGUGGACUACUAGAAAGCAAUAGAGAAAACGUUUAAAGAGUCAGAGAAGACUGAAGUAAGUCAAUAUCUGUCCUUCCUUACAACAUACAAGAUUGUGGGUACUGGAUUUAUCAGGGAUUAGAUCAUGAAGAUGAUAGAUGCCACAGAAAAGCUAAAUUCCAUGGAUGUGAAUAUUGGUGAGAAGCAAUUGGUCUUUAUGAUUCUCCAAGCACUUCCUUCUAAGUACAAACACUAAAAGUAUCCUAUAGUACACAAGAUAAGAGUUGGGAUAUUGAUGAAUUGAUUGCAUGAUGUAUGCAAGAAGAAACUCGAUAUAAGCAAAAGAAGGGCAAAGAGAUUGAGGAAGUCAAUUUUGUGCAACCCAGGAAGGAGAAGUAAACUUGGAACAAUGGAAGCUCUUCUAGUAAUGGGGAGGAGAGUAAAUUGGCAGGUACACUGAGUCUGGGCAACAAAAGGGCCUUUUGCACUCUAUUUGGAGAAGAAUGGAAUAGUAGCACAAUACACAACACCUGGAACACCUCAAUAGAAUGGAGUCUCAGAGAGAAGGAAUAGGUCUCUCAUUGGCAUGGUUAGAAGAACGAUGACAAGAUCCAAGCUGCAAGUUAUAUACUGAAUAAUGUUCCAAGCAAAGCUGUUUCUUCAACAUCAUUUGAUUAAUGGCACGGCAAAGUACCUAAUUUUGGGUAUAUUCAUGUUUGGGGUUGCAAAGCUGAAGUCAGGUUUUGCAAUCCUAGUGAAAGAAAACUAGAUCCAAGAACACAAUCUUUUUACUUUAUUGGUUACCUUAAAGAGUCAAAAGGAUAUAGAUUUUAUAUUCCUUAAGGUCACACUCGAAUUCAAGAGGCACACAAGGCUAUGUUCUUAGAAGAUCAAGAUAUCUUAGACUUAUGUAGGGAAAAUUUUGUUUUUGAAGAGAUUGAUUAGACACAAGAACAUCCUCUACAAGUUGACUACAAUCCAAUCUUGUUGUUCCAUCAUCCAAUGUCCACUUGCAUAGAAGAUUUGACUGCUGAAAUGGAUUCUGAUGUUGGCAACACUAUGGAAAAUGAGCAGUUUGCUACAAUCAUAGAUACUGUCACAUAAUUGAAUUAACAAGAACCAAUGGAAGUGCCACUUCAAUUUGAGCCAAGAAAUCAACUAGAAUUUGAAAAACAACAGUUGUCAGUGACUAUGCUCGUUUACAAGAAGCUGAACUUAAUAUAGGUGAUGUUGAUGACCCACUUACAUACACUCAGGCCAUAGAGAGUUCUUAAUCAUUCUUAUGGCAAAAUACCAUGAAGGUUGAAUUGGAUUCAAUGUUCAAAAACAAUGUUUGGACAUUGGUGGAAUCUAAGUCUCAUAUUUAGCCUAUAGCUUGCAAGUGGGUGUAUAAAACUAAAAGAGAUGCUCUUGGUGGAAUUGAUAGAUACAAAGCAAGACUUGUUGUCAAAGGGUUUACUCAGAGAGAAGGCAUCGAUUACAAUGAUACUUUCUCACUGAUUUCUUCUAAAGAUUCAAUGAGGGUUGUUAUGUCUUUGGCUAUACAUUUUGAUUUGGAGCUACAUCAAAUGGAUGUGAAGAUAGCUUUUCUCAAUGGAGACUUAGAAGAGUAUUUAUAUGAAGCAACCAACUAGAUUUGUUGAAAGAGGGAAAAAACAAUAUUGUAUGCAAGCUUAAUAAAUCCAUAUAUGGCUUAAAACAGGCUUCAAGGCAAUGGUAAUUAAAGUUCGAUCAAAUUGUUUCUUCACAAGGUUUUGUAAAAAUCAAAUUAGAUGACUGCAUAUACAUCAAGUUUGCUGGAUAAAAGUUCAUUUUUCUAAUGCUUUAUGUUGAUGAUAUUCUUCUUGCUAGUUCAUGUCAACAGUUGCUCCAAAGUACCAAAAGAAUGCUGAGUGAGAAUUUUGAGAUGAAGGACCUUGGUGAAGUUUACAAUGUGCUGGGAAUCGAAAUUGUUCGUGAUAGACAAAUGAGACUUCUUGGCUUAUCUCAGAAAGGCUAUAUUAACGGAGUGCUACUCAGGUUUAAUAUGGAAUGUUGUAACAAUGUUCAAGUACCAAUUAACAAGGGAGAUAAGUUUUCAAGAGAUCAGUGCCCAAAGACUGAUUUAGAAGUGAAGAAGAUGAAGUCUAAAUGUUAUGCUUCCUUGGUUGGAAGUCUUAAGUAUGCAACUAUUUGUACAAGACUAGAUAUUGCCAUUAUUGUAGGCAUGCUAGGUAGGUUUCAAUCAAAUACAAGAGAAGCACAUUGGGUAGCUGCUAAAAAGGGUUUGAGAUAGCUGCUGAGAACCAAGGAUUAUAUGUUGGUUUAUGAAAUCAGUGAUUCUUUGGAACUUGUGUGAUACACUGACUCAGAUUUGACAAGAGAUGUGGAUGAUAGAAAGUUUGCAUGGGGUUUUAUCAUGCAAUGGAGGUGCAGUCUCUUGGAAAAGUUCUCAUUGUGGUUUUAAUGUUUACACGUACACCACUACGGAGCAAACAAAUACAAGACCAAUUGAAGACGUGCAAAGUGAAGUACUCUCAAGGCAAUUAACGGUGGGUUUAUUGAGAAUACAAAGGGUUAUUUUAUACUAGUUUGUUGUAGGCCAGUUUCCUAUCCUAAAAACAAACAAAGUCCUAAAUAGGCUAGGAAAAUUUUAAUUCAAAGCUUUUCAAGCCAUGAUAGUAAUAUAGCUUUAAUCCAAAAGAGAAAGGGAGAAAAAAAAAGGCCAGUUGUUAUAAACUUUGUAUUUAAGUAUGAUUGUGUAAAUCAUAUAUUAGAUUUGAUACUAGUUAUUCUUCCUUAUUAGGACUUGUAUUCCUUGGAGGAGAAUGAUUCUUCCCUCCCUUAUUACUAUAAAUAAAGGCAUUGCGUAUGGGGAAUAAAACAUCAUCCUACAAAUACAUACCUCUCCUUAUUUUCUCUCUCUCAGUCGUGCCCUUUUUCUCCCUUGUCAGAUUAAAAUAAGCCACAACACGUUAUCAAUACGCUCCUACCGCUGCGCUUAGGAAUUUGACGUGGAAGUUUUCUGCAUCAAACCAGUUCAUCAAUAUCAUCACACAAUCAGGUUCUUCGAACCCAAACCCGUUCAUCAAUUAUGGAUAUUUUUGCAGCCCUGAUAGCAUGAACAUUCACCAUAAUGCAAGACCCAACUUUACGUUUUUCGAAUUUUAGAUUCUACACAAAUUGUGUAUGCAUUAUAUCUAUAAUUGUUGAAUAAUUGAAUUAUGUAUUUAAUAUACAUGAAAUUAUAUUGAAUUAUAAUAUGGAAAUCAAGAAAAAUUUGAAAAAAAAUCUAGGGUUUGUCGAACCCCAACCUGAGCUUAUGCGAGCCUUUUAAACUGCGAUAAGCUGGAGCAAAACCCCCCAUGCUCCAUCGGAGAAGACGAUGCCAUUUUUGGCAUCGAACCCACAACCCACUACUCCCUGCAAUCAGCCACGGCCUCCCUGCCAUCUUCCAUGAGAAAUCAUGACCUAUAGUCAUGUUUUUUGGACCCAACCAUUGACUGGAUCAAAUAUUUCAAAACCCUGAAACACACUUUAAAUUUGGCUGAGGUGUUCACUCUAUGGUUUGAAGCAAUUCGAAAGAAUGUGGUAUAACCGUCUGAGUGAGUAUUUGACUAUCAGGGAUAUGUGAACAACGAACUAUGCCCUUGCGUGUUCAUUUAGAAGUCAUAUUCUGGUAUUGUGAGUCAUGCGGUUUAUGUUUACGACAUGAACCUCGUCGGAACUCCUAAAGAGCUCGAGAUAACUGUCGCACACUUUAAGUGAGAAUUUGAGAUGAAAGAUCUAGGAAAGACUCGAUAAUGUCUCGGUCUCGAGAUAGAGCACCGUUUAGAUGGAAUCUUAGUACAUCAAUCAAACUACACCCAAAAGGUGUUGUGCCGCUUUAACGAGGAUAAAGUGAAGCCUUCGAGUACUCCUUUGGUCGUUUAAUCGCUAGAUGCAAAAACGAGAUCCCUUAUGUCUGAAUAAGGAUGAUGAAGAGAUUUUGGAACCCGAAGUUCCUUGUCUAAGUGUGGUAGGUGCUUUAUUGUACUUAGCUCAAUGCACUAAACCCGGCAUCUCCUUCGCUGUUAAUGUUUUGACAUGAUGCAUGCACCUAUGCACAAACACUAGGUUGGUGAUAAAGACAUCUUCUGUUACCUUAAGGGUACUACGAAUCUGGGCCUGUUUUAUCCCUAUGGAUCCUCGAGUGAGGCCACACCCCCUUACCACAAGUCAAUUCUCGUCUUGUUCGUUAUGCCGACGCAUGAUACUUAUUUGAUCGGCAUAAGGCGUACUCUCAAGCCGGUUUCAUCUUUACCGUUGGAGGCACCACAAUAUCUUGAAGGUCAACUAAACAGAUGUUAGUUGCCACUUUGUCUAACCAUGCUGAAAUUCUUACCUUACAUGAAGCAGUGUGGGAAUGCUUCUGGCUAAGAGCAGUUGUGGGCCAUAUUCGAAGUUCCUGCAAUCUUUACCCCAUUGUUCAUGUCUCGACGACGAUUUAUGAAGAUAACGUAGCAUGUAUCAAACAGCUCAAGAAAGGUUACAUCAAAGGAGACAACACCAAGCACAUUGCGCUGAAGUUUUUCUUCUCACAUCAACAACAAGAACAUCAAAAGAUUAAAGUCACACAAUCCGUUCACAAAAUAAUCUGACCGAUCUCUUCACCAAAUCACUACUGAAGGCGAUGUUUCAAAAGCUUGUUCAAGGAAUAGUUAUGUGUUAACUUUCUGAGUUGUAACAUUGUUAGUUCUCUUUGGAAUUAUGUGAAACUCAGGGGGAGUAUCCUGAAGUGUACCUGCUUGAUCUUAAUGUACUUUUUUUCCCUACGAUUAGGAGCAUUUUUUCCUUUGGAUUUUUGCUACCUAACAAGGUUUUGGCGAGACACUCAUCUUGGGUUGACCAUAUCCCUAAUGAUGUCCCGUAAACGUGUCAUUUGACUUUGCAUUUCUCACGCAUGUUUCAUUAGACUAGGGGUUUUGUCCUUACCCAGGUUUUACCAUAGCUAUUGAAUUUUUUGUGACACUUAGUUCCAUUUGCAAGUUCUUACUUUACAUUGAGACUAGCGUGUUCCCAAAAUUAGUGUCGAUGAGUCAACUUUUUUAACUCUAUUUGAUGCCGAAUCUACUUGAGUAUUUAUACACUCAAGGGGGAGUGUUAUAAACAUUGUAUUUACGGGUGAUUAUGUUAAUCCUAGAUUAGAUUUUAUAUUAGUUAUUCUUCCCUGUUAGGACUUGUAUCCCUUGGAGGAGAAUGAAUCUUCCCUCCCUUAUUACUAUAAAUAAAGCAACUGCGUAGGGGGAAUAACACAUCCUCUACACAAUCCUACAAACACAUCUCUCUCCUUUCUCUCUCUCUCUCUUCUGUGCGCCCCCUCUCUCCCUUGUCAGAUUAAAAUAAGCUACAACAAAUGUUUCCUUUUUUUGUCUUCUAACUUUAUAUAUACAAAGGAUGUGCUCUUAUUAUCUUCCGCCAGAAAAACCGAGUCAAAUUCCAAGUGUUGCAUUUUCAGUAGUCAUUUGAGAAAUUAAAACAAAUAAGAGUAGUAAAAAGCAGCAGAGCAACGAGAUUUCCUGCUAUCCACCAAAAGAACCAACUGCAUGCACUUUAAAUAGCUCCAUUUCGUUCAGAGCUUCCAUAGAGUAAAAGAAAAACAGUGCAUCUAAUUUGAAAAAAGGAGAAACAAUGGCAGAUCAAUUGACAGAUGAUCAACUGAACAUGCUCAAGACUAAAUUCAAUGCCUUCGACCCGGAUGGCACUGGUUAGAUCCCUCUUUCCAUAUAUUCAUGUAUAUGAUGUGUGUGUGUGUGUGUAUCAUGUCAAGUACGUACUGCCAGGGACGAAGGCAAAAUUUCAAACUUGACUGGGCUGAACUUAUCUUGCGAUCUAAUUUUUCAGUUGAGUACACAUUGGCUUAGCCAACACCAAGGUAAAAGAUGAUUAGCAAUCCCACACAUUCUUACCUUAUUAUGUUAAUGUUGUUUACCGUAAAUAAUGGUAUAGGUAACAGAUGAUAAAUCUCCAGUCAUGGAGGGGCUGAACUUAGCCCCGAACUAUUAUGUUCAGGGACAAAGCCAGAUAUCUAUAUGGAUGGGGUCAUCCUCAAACAAUAAAGUGAAAAAUUGAAAAGCUCAAGAAUUUAUUAAACAAAAUACUUAUGUACUAACCGAUAAGGUUUGUAUACAAUAUAUUACAAUAUCACACAACGUGUGCAUUUUCUUAAUUACCAAUACCAUCAAAUAUCUCUUUAUAAAAAUAAUCUGUUAUUACUCAUCCAUUUAUCUCCCAACCAAUUUUUCAAUCAAUUUUUUCAAAAAUUUUAUUGCUGAAACUGCUCUACAACAUGAGAUUAUGCAUUAUGUGCAUUUUUCCCAUCCAAAAAAAUGAGUGGGGUCUGAACCCAAGGUGGCUCCGUGCGUGAUUAUGUUAAUGUCUUCUAUUUUAUUCUACUAUGUUGGGGUUUGAAUCUGAUUCAAGUAAGCACAAGAUAUUGAUUCAUCUUACUGUUUCAUAAUUUGCCAAUUUUUUUUUUUUUUUUGGUUUUUCAGGCAUAAUCACUAGGGAUCAGCUGGCCGAUGUGUUGAGAUCGUUAGGGCAAGAUCCCACCGAGGAGGAGUUGGAUCAAUUUGUGCAGCAGCUAGGCAGUGAGGAUGGGAAUAUUCACUGGGAUAAAUUCGUCGAACUCAUGGCCCAGACAAUUUCUGCAUUAGCUGGGCAGUGAGGAUGGGAAUAUUCACUGGGAUAAAUUCGUCACAGUCAUGGCCCAGAUUAUCAACCCCAAGUGACCACUCUCACAUUAUUCUAGUACUAUUGUCAAUUUAAAUACUCGCAUUUUGGUCAAGUUAUUGACGAAAAUAAUGUGUCAUUUCUAAGAUAUAAAGAUAUUUAUUUCUUUAUAACUAAUGUGUAUAAUAAAAGGGUAAGUUUAUCCUCCUAUAAAGGUUUAAUGCAAUUUUGUAUUUCUCCAUAUUGAAUUUUAUACAAAUAAUGUUUAAGUGAAUAUUGUGAUCAUUUCAUUUUUAGCUUCAAUUUUCACAUUUUGUGCUUGGGAUUAUGACGAACAUAUAUGGGGGAAUUGAGCGAUGAACACAAUUAGGUGUUUAGUAAAAUGUAUUUGUAAAAGCACUUCUAGUAUAAAAAGUUGUGACAACCUUAUAAACCUAUUAAGUUGCAGAUGAGAUUACUGGGGCCCCUAAAAAUGUCAUAUGUUCUUACCUUUUCUUUCAAUUAAUCGACAAUUGUCAUCCAUGAAUAGAUAAGCUCAGGACCUCUUCCAACAAAAUCAAGGCCAGACACAAUCAGACUGAAUAAUAUAUUGGUGUGUAAUGUGCUUACUUAUGUUAAGUAUUUGAUAUGGGAUUUCAUAGUACGGUAGUCUUUUAAGUUUUUAGUUCAUCAAUACACAUACAAUAUUAUGUAGUGUUAAAUCAUCUCGCUAAAUGAAUCUUGUAAAGAUUUCAAACAAUUGACAAAAAAACAGAAUGAAACAACUAGAUCACUCCCGCUCCCAGUAAUCUAGCUUGGUAGAUGCACAUGCGUACAUAAACAUCCAAGUUUGUGUUGGAUUUAAAUAGACAUUGGUUUUACGGUCUAGUGGAAUUCCUCUACACUUGUAAGUGAGAGGUUAUAGGCUCAAUUCUCAUCAAAUGUGAAUUUGAACCAUAUUAUUGCUAGCUUAUUGUGAGGCUAAGUCUUCCCUUUUAGUGUAGAUAACAUCGUUUUGUUAAAAAAAAAAAAAAGAUUUUGGUUUUAAUCAAAGACUUGAGAAGGAAGAAAUCCUACAUUCAGUUUAAAAUUAAGUCUCUCAUGGCCAGUUUUUGUUUUGUUGUGUUGUGUUGUGGUUCGGUGGUCUCAUAGGACAAGUGUAUGCACCAGAUUACUGUUUUAAAUCAAAGGGCUUAUAUUGCCCUUAAGUAGUUGGAACUUGUGUGGUGAGGGACAAUUAGGAUAAGGUUGUAUGGAGGCAUCCAGUGUUGAUGAAAUAUGGAAAUAUAUAUGAUGUGAUGCAACGAUUAGCACCUCCACAUUCCUUCUAAAAUUCUUUUGUUCUUCCAAAUCUUGUAGAUGGCGAAUUCGAUACCAAAUUAGGUUGCCCAUUGUGUGGCUUUCCCGAACUCCCCGUCCUCUUAGUGUAAACUAUUAUCGUUAUACUUAAAAAAAAAAUAUUAUUUUGUUCUUAUUCUUCGAAUCACGGAAAUACAUCACACAAAAUACAAACCAACAUUUCAAGAAUUUAUCAUGGCCUCAGAGCUGAUCAAACAAGAUUGGACGUUUCGUGUUUGAAUAUCUGAAAGCAAAAAGGAGGAAACAAACCCGGAUUUCGAAGAACUAUAGCUGUCGAUUCAAGGUCUCACAUGGCUACUUCUAGCGGUGGAGAAGAUUUGAGGGCUCCUAUCUUCAAUGGGUCCAACUACGAUUUUUGGUCCAUCAAAUGAAGACCAUAUUCAAAUCACACGAUUUGUGGAAGUUGGUGGACAAGGGCUUUGGAAACUCAGAAACGGAACAUGAGUCCAGAGAUGAAGAACAAUUGUCUAUGAAAAGGAUUUUAGUUGAAUAUUAGAGUGUGCAACGAAUAAGACCAACAAGAAUAAUAGAAUAUUAUUAAAUAAACAAGAAUGCCGAAACGGCUACAAAAAACCUAAGAGACUACAUUGUGAAUGACUUAUUAUUCUACAGAGUUACAAAGUACCAUAUAUAUAGAAAACUAACAUAACCCUAAUAGGCAGGGAAACGAAACCCUAAUACUAACGGGCUAAGCCCAAAAUACCAAACAUUAAAAUAAAUCUAAAUAAUAAUAUUUUCCAACACCCCCCGUCAAACUCAUGGCGGUACACGACAUGAGUUUGCCAACAAGCAGAUGUGGAUGCAAGCCUCCAAAUUCCAAUGCUAAUGUCAAUGCCGAUGCCGAUGCCGAUUUCCAAUGCCAAAUUCCAAUACCAUGCCCAAUGCCAAAUUCCAAUACCAUGCCCAAUGCCAAAUUCCAAUACCAUACCCAAUGCAAGAAUACCCUAGCAACAAAACCUCAAAACAACCAAUUUUUUUUUUUUCCUUCCUUUUUCCCCCCCUUUUUUUUUCCUUCCUUCUUCCUUCCUUUUUUUUUUCUUCUGUGCGAACCAACCAGCAACAUCAGCCUUUCUUUUUUUUUUUUUUCUUCGCAGGUGUACGGUUGUGGAUGGAUCCAGAUGCAAGGUGGGGCUGGGGAAUGCAGAAAUCUUAGUGCGAUGGAGCAUUUUCAAAUUUGGGUGUGAGACAAAUUCACCAAAUUCUUUUUUUACAAAAACAUAAUUUUUUUUUCCUUUCUUGAAGACUGCCAAGGGCAAACUGAAAACCAAACCAGAAAACGUAAAAAAUCUACGGAUGGAAACUGGAAAGAAAUAAAACUAAUACGAACAAACAGAAGCAGAUUAGAUCUCGAAGAAUCAAACCUGCUCUGAUACCAAGUUGAAUAUCAGAGUGCGCAACGAAUAAGACUAACAAGAAUAAUAGAAUAUUAUUAAAUAAACAAGAAUGCCGAAACGGCUACAAAAAACCUAAGAGACUACAUUGUGAAUGACUUAUUAUUCUAUAGAGUUACAAAGUACCAUAUAUAUAGAAAACUAACAUAACCCUAAUAGGCAGGGAAACGAAACCUUACUACUGACAGGCUAAACCCAAAAUAUCAAACAUUAAAAUAAAUCUAAAUAAUAAUAUUUUCCAACAUUUUCAAGUUAAGUGAAUGAAGCCAGAGAUGCAAAAGCUCUUGGUAUCAUUCAAGGAGUAGUCUCAGAUGAGAUUUUUCCCCGAAUCUCAAACCUGGAAACCUUCAAGGUUACGUGGCAUGUUCUACAACAAGAAUUCCGCGUUGACAAAAAGAUUAGAUCAAUCAACAAACUAUGUUUAAGGAAAGAUUUUGAGUAUACUAGAAUGAAUGAUGGUGAAACUCUAUCCUCUUACUUGACAAGAAUCUUGAUAUUGUGAACCAAAUGAAAACCUAUGGUGAGGAACUGUCAAGCCAAAGAUUAGUGUAGAAGAUUCUUAUUAGUCUGCCUAAAUCUUAUGAUUCCAUUGCAUCCAUUAUAUAGGAAACUAGGUACCUUGAUACUAUUGAGGAUCAUGAGGUGUUUGGAAUAUUAAAGGGCUAUGAGCAGAGAUUGCAUAGGCACUCAAAAAACUUGGCUGAGAAAGCCUUUGCUAGUCUUGGUGUGAGCCAUUGAAAGUAAUUAUAAGGGUCAGGGGAGCAAUUCAAACUAAAAGAAGGUUUGGAAAGGAAAAGGAAAGAAAUGGGAUAACAAGUUCACUCUACAGACAAAACCAGAAACAUGUGGUGUUUCUACAAACACCAAGUGUACGAUUUGUGAUAAACUACACUAUGGUGUCUCUUGGUUCAAGGGAAAACCUAAAUGUACCAAUUGUGACAGGUUUGAGCUUCUAGAAAAAGAUUGCAAUCCAAGAGGAAUCCAAGUUGUGAACUAUGCACAUAGGGCAAAAGAAGAAGUAAAUGUCUUCUAUGCUUGUAGCGUGACAAUACUAGACAAGAAGACGGGAACUUGGUAUAUUGAUAGUGAGUGCAGCAAUCAUAUGACAACACAUGAAUCACGUCAACUCAACAUUGACAGAAGCUUCAUUUGUAAAGUUAAAAUGAGAAAUGGAAAAUUGUUGAGACUCCUAGAAAAAUGAACUUUUGCCAUAAAACCUAACGGUUGAAAAAGGUUUAUCAAGGAUAUAAUACUUGUUCCAAGACUUGAUGAAAACCUCCCCAAUGUAGGACAAAUGAUUAUACAUGGUUAUUUCCUACUCUUUGGAGACAAUAUGGUGGAAACCUUUGAUGAUGGAAACUCGCAGAAUCUGUUGACACAAGUGGCGAUGACUUGAAAUAGAAACUUUAACCUUAUGUUAGACUAUCAUGACUCAAUUGCUUUGAAAGCUAAUAUUAUAGAAAACUCUUGGGUAUGGCACCAAUGACUUGGGUUUCUCAAGCUUCACAGUUUAAAGAGCUUGCAGAAGUUACAACUGGUGAGUAGUUUUUUGAGUUGCAAGAAAAUGAAGAACCUUGUGAAAGAUGUAUACUGGGAAAACAUCACAGAGACGCUUUUGAAACUGGAAAGGCAUGGAAUGCUAGUCAACCUCUAUAGCUCAUACACACUGAUGUGUGCGGUCCAAUGAAAACAUCAACACCAAGUGGAAAUAGGUAAUCCUGUUAUUCAUUGAUGAUUGCACAAGGAUGGAAUGGGUGUAUCUCAUGAGGAACAAGAAUGAAGUCUUCACUAUUUUCAAGAAGUGUAAGGCAAUGGUUGAGUUACAAAGUGGUCUUAAGAUCAAAAGGCUAAGGAGUGAUAGAGGAAAUGAAUACACUUCACUAGAAUUCAAGGAGUUUUGUUAAGAAUUGGGAUUACAAAAGUAGUUAGUAGUUGCCUAUACACCACAACAAAAUGGUGUAGUUGAAAGGAAAAAAAGGAAUGUGGUUGAAAAGGCCAAGUCCAUGUUACAUGACAAGAAAAUGCCACUUUCCUUUUGGGGUGUACAAGAAAAUGGCCAUUUGGAUCUCAUCCAAAUCCUCUUUUUGAGGAUCCUAGAGAUCCUCAUAUCCUACUCAUUCAUCAUACAUCGUGCGGCCAAAAAUCAUUUUGAAAUUUUUUAUUUGAAAUUAAACACAAACAGUACCAAACAAAAGUUGUCCGCACGAUGUACGAUGAACAUAUAGGAUAUGAGGAUCUUGGGAUCCUCACAAGAAAGAUCCAGAGAGGAUCCAAAUCCCAUGUUGAAAAGGUUGAUAAGAUAUUUCAUAUAUAAUCGCCCUACUAUUAGGACAAAGGUGUUCUUGACAUUCCCUCAUUGGCUAUCUGUUAGCCUGAAGGUGACCAUUUCAAUCCACAAACUUCCUGUUGGUGACCCGCAUAGGUUCCAACAACGGGGGAAUCUCAGUCGUACAUCACCGUUAAUAAUUCUACUGUUCAAUCCUCAUGUAGUUAAGAUGUGCUUAUUCUGGGCCAAGGAACCUACUCUUGUUUGGUGCCAGCUUCUAUGUUAUUCAUUUAGUUGGGAUUAAAUCCCAUAACUAGACAUAAGAAUUGUUCAAACCAACGACAAUAUGCUGUUCAUCAAGAGCCUAGCUGAUGCGUGUAAUUGGACCCUCUUCGUCAUUGGUAGGAUUUUUACCAUCUACAAAAGUAGGGUUAAAAACACUUAAAAAUACAUGCAAGAGAACAAGGUAAUUGUAGUAUAAACGAGUAAAACAAGAUCGUUCUCCACAUAGAUUAUUUAAAACAAUUUAUGUAAAACCAAAUCUUAAUUAAUUAUUUAAAACAAAGUUUUGAAAAAAAAAUUGAUAUUGUUACUUAAGAUAUUAAAAAGAGUAAAGAUUACACAUAGAGUAUACUUUUAAUACUUAAUUAUAUAUUGACACAACAUUUUUUAAACAUUUCAAGGAGAGGCAAAAGUUUAUACAUGUGAAAAAUGACAUCAUUGCCUUUUUUUUCUCUAGAGUGUAAGUUACAAUAUUACCCUUUAUAGUGGAAAAGUCUUUCUCACACUAAUAUCUCUUCAACCGUUGCUCUUUCUCUCUUCAAGAAAUAUUGGUUCCAUUUAAUUAUUCAAAUGAACUUAUGGAUCUACUACCCUUACCCAGUUUACCUUCCCAUUCCCAUUCCUAGUUGGACAAUUAAAGUUCCUAUCCAGUUUUAAUUAUUUGUUAGACGGGUAUAAUUCCCUUAUUUUUUCCCUUUUCAAGUUCAAUGUGCCUUGAAAUUAGAUUGAAGGAUGUUCUUGCUGCUUUAUAGUAUAUGAUAUUCAAAUCAAACACGAUUUAUCACAGAUAACCUUCUAUUGACCAAUUUAAGAUGAGUUUCAAAUCAAACAAAUUCUGAAUUAGAAGACCUUUGCCUUGCUUCUCUCCCCCAAAAUUCAAUUGUUUUAUUUCAACCUCUGUUAAUGAAAAAAAUUCUAUCAAAAAUUCGAAUUUGUAAAGUGAAAAAAAUUAUACAAGAAUUGGAUUUUGCAAAUGGAAAUUUAUCAUACACACCUACGACUUAAUGAACCAAAAGACGAAUUAGUGAAAUUUUGUAAACAUUGUCAUUUAUAAAAACGAAUGGAACUGAUUCUGCAAAAAUGGUCAAAAACGGUUUGAACUGUUGCAAAAAUUGUCAAAGUUGGGUUUUGAUUAUGCAAAAAUGGUCGAAGAUGGGCACUAGUUCUACAAAAAGGAUCAAGGAUGAGUUGAAUUGAUUAUGCAAAAAUGAUCGAGGACGACUUGAAUUGAUUCAGCAGAAAUGUUGAAUUGGACGGGUUGAAUUGAUUCUACAAAAACGGUCGACAACAGGAUGAACUGAUUCUGCAAAAAUGUUGAACCAAUUCUGCAAAAAUGGUUAAGGACGAGUUGAAUUAGUUUAGCAAAAAUUGUCGAGGACGAGUUGAACUAAUUUUGCAAAAAUUGUCGAAGACGGGUUGAACUGAUUUUGUAAAAAGGGUCAAAGAUGAGUUGAACCAAUUCUGCAACAAUGCUCAAGGAAGGGUUGAACUGAUUUUGCAAAAAUGGUCAAGGACGGGUUGAAUUUAUUAUGUAAAAACAGUCGAAGAUAGGUUAAACUGAUUCUGCAAAAACGGUCGAGGACUAAUUGAACUAAUUCUAUAAAAAUGAUUGACGGCGGAUUGAACUAAUUUUGCAAAAAUGGACGAGGAUAGGUUGAAUUGAUUAUGCAAAAAUGGUCGAUGAAUGAUUGAACUGAUUCUGCAAAAAUGGUGUAGGAUGGGUUGAACUGAUUCUAGUAAUAAAGGAUACAAACUGAUUUUGCAUAUAGUUUCAAAACUGAUUCUACAGAAAUAGUUAAGGAUGGGUUGAGCUUAUGACACAAUAAUUUUGUUGAAGUUGUGAAGGGUGAGUUCUAUUAACAGCCAUAAAGCCUUAGGGGUCCAAUUUUUGGGCUGGGCUUUAUUUGUUUUCAUGUUUUUGUCUUUCUUUGACAUGUUUAAUGACACAGCUCGACCCAGAAUGUCCACUAGGACUCUGCUUCGAGUUGUGCUGGCCGACACCCAAAACAUUCUAACAACUCACGCGCCCUCACACGCCGGCUAAGGCACGACCACACGCGCCAUCACACACAGGCACGUGCCUGGCACACCAAACAGAAUUUUCCCUAACAACCGUGAGGGCGUGGUUGGGGCCAAAAGCAGACAAUAUCGUGCUACGGUAGAGUCGUACCCGGGAUGUGGUAGGGGCCCAGGCCGGGAUGUGGCAGUUAAAAACUAGUGAAGUUCCUUGAAAUAUAGUAAAAGUUUUUCUCUAUAUAUAAAGCUCCUUAUUAAAAACGAAUUUAAAAUAAAAACAAUUAAAUAAAUUGCCAAAGUAAGGAAAACAAAAUGAAACAUUUAAAAAAAAAAUCAAUUUGUAAAUGAAUAGGUUCCCCUGCCACCUGAACAAUCCUGCAUAGUUCUCUCAAUUUACUUAUGAAUUAUCCAUGCAUAUCUUCAAGGUUUGAUUUUCCUAAAAUGUUAUACUAACUCCAACCUAGAACGUAUAUCAAAUAUGCAAUGCGUCCAGACGUUUGGAUCGAAAGUGAACUUGAAUGACUCGUUAAGCUUUAUGAAAACCCUUUGAACAACCAUGCAAUCCUUAAUAUGUGGUGUUCAUCCUAAGUAAAAUUACAAUUAUUAACCACAAGAGGCCAUCACAAAUUUCAGGGAACCUUCAGACCAAAAUUGCAUCAAAUUACUUUUCUAAACAUCCUAAUGAGUGCGAAUCACUUAGACACUUGGAUAACUUAAACACAUUGAUUAUUAAUUCAAAACGUACAUCCAUAAUAUCAUAAGUAAAUUGAAAAGAAAUUACAUGAUCAUGGCCUCGGGCUAGCCAAAGAAAUUAGUUACGAACAAUCAUAAAACAUAAUAUUAUUAAGAACAUGGAUAAGAAGCACCUUGUAAAAUAAGUUUGAAUCGUAAAAGCUCCCUAAGCGGAAUUCUCCAAAUUAGUGCGUAGAGAACCCUAAUGGCUAAAUAACCUUAUUUAUACUACUACAUAAUAAAAUCCUACCUAGAAAAGGUCUUAGAAUAAAGCUAGGAAACAUAAUAAAAUAAUAAACUAGCAAAUAAAAGGUUUCCUAUUUAAAUUGAUAUUCGAACUGUAGAGAAAAUCAAACUUUUGACCAACCAAAUCAACUUUGAUUUAUUCCCAAAAGGUCUCUUUUGAAAGUGUAAGACAUCUCCAAAAAAUUCUCAGAAGGAACCUUCUUCAAAAAAUGCCAUUUUGACCUCCAAAUAUCCAAAAUGUCCAAAAACGUCAACCUGGGAAAGCUGUGCGCUGGGCCUUUAUUUUAUUGCCACGGUCAAACGGCUUGGAAUUAAAUUCUGGAAUUUGAUAAAAUCAUUUUGAAAGACUCAUGAACCUACUCCAAUUAGAAUUACUCCAAAAUUUUUUCGUUUGAUCAUUUUAUGGUCAAAAUAUAUUCACAUGUUAUGUAAUUGAAAUAUAGAACAAGUAUGAAAAUUCAACCAUAAUAACCAAUAAACUAUGACUAAGAAUAGGGUAAAAUAUAAAGUAUAAUAUCGACUCAUUAGUCAUCAACUAUGGUGAGCUUUUGGACAAACCUGUUCGAAGAAUUGGAUAGGCACACAAUGUUUACAAGAGCAAUUGCAACAAUGUUGCUGUUGCUCGAGUCUAGUAAAUUUAAGUAGAAGUCGUCCACAAUAUCAUGAGCAUACAUUCUCUUCUCCAAACCUCAAGAAAUAUGUCGAUGGGGCUUGGUAGAUUUGAUCAUUUGGACUCAUGAAAAGGGGCUAAAGGAAUCUCUUCGGAAUAACUUCAACUGGGGAAGGGAGCUCUCAUUGAAACUAAGCCCUAUUCUUAGGUUAAGCAAAAGACAAUCUAACAGAAAGGAGAAGGAUCACAGUGCACAAAUUUAGUUUUCAGCAUACAUGGGUUCUUCGAGUGGGAGUUCUUCAGGUUAGUGCACUACAAUCUUUAUAUGAAUCAAGGUUUUGAGUUUUGCUAGGUUGUGAUUCUUGUAACUUAAUGUAGAUUGUGGUUUUAAUGUUUAUAUGUGGUAUUAGAGCCAUAAGUUUAAGUUCUUAAAUUCAAUCUACAAAAAUCAGAAUAAUCAUGCAUAUAAAAUAAAAUAAAAUAAAAUCGUUCAAUCAUUAGGUUUCGAAACUGGUUCUGGGUUUUUUAUUUGGACAAUAGGAUUUUUACCGAAAUGAUGCGUUUUAAUAUAAAAGGAUUAUUUAAAAUUGUGAUCAUUGGAACUCAAAAUUUGUUAUGCUUUGGGAUUUUGUGGGUUCGGGAAAACCUUUUCCUUUUCUUCGGUUUAGUGUUUUGGGCAAUCUGAGGGUUUUUCGAAAACUACUCGACUUGUUGAAUAUUCGAUAUCUAUCCAAAUUUCUUUUGCUGCCAGGUGUCGAUACACAUCAAUUAAAAGGUAUGUGAUCUAAAAGCUAGAUUGGAAACAUGAAGUUCUUGUUUACUUAUUGCUUGAUUUAUGUAAUGAUUCUUAAUUCUAUCAGUAAUAAUAGAUCAAUAUAAGUGAUAUCAUACUUAAUUUUGCAUAAAACUUGGAAAAUGCAAGUUAUCUAAUCUUGUAAGUAGAUAAUGGUUUGAAUUUUCAUAAGAUUAUUGCUUGUUCUUAAAUUAUCAAUAUUUGUCAACCGUGAACUGUUUUGUAUGGAACAAAUCUCUUCUUUUGGGAUAGAUGAUUGAUCAUGAUUUCAUAGCUUUUAGUACUCAGUUUAUCAUGAAACUUUUCAUCCUAUAUGUGCUUAUCAACUAUUUGUUGUUAAGAUUGUGUGUAUGGAUAUUAGUUUGGAUAUGGUGGUGUGCAAUAGACUAAGAAUUGAAAUUAGGACUCUAAUAGGUUUAAAUUCUGAUUUCAUUGUUCUUUAGUCUCUGCAAUAUCGACAAAGACAUUAAAUUUAGCCAGCAUUCCAAUUCUCACUGGUAGGAACAAUUACAAGAAGUGGAUGAGGGAUAUCAAUUUGUUAUUAAUUCUCAAUGAGUUUGAUAUAGUAAUUGACAACCCUAAGCCAGUUAACAUUGAUCAAAGUACCAAGGCUGAGAAGUAGGAUCAUGAGAGAUACACAAGGGCUAAUAAGGUUGCACUCUCUAUGUCGGAAAAUGGGAUGAUUGACAAUCAGAGAAGGAAUCAAGAAACCUAAAUUAAUUGUGGACUACUUGAAAGCAAUAGAGAAGAAGUUUAAAGAGUUAGAGAAGGCUGAAGUGAGUCAAUACAAGUCCAUGCUUACAACCUACAAGAUUGAGGAGGCUACUGGAUCUAUCAGGACUCAAAUCAUGAAGAUGAUAGAUGCCACAAAAAAAGCUAAAUUCCAUGGAUAUGAAUAUUGGUGAGAAGCAACCGGUCUUUAUGAUUCUCCAAGCACUCCCUUCUAAGUACAGACAACUAAAAGUAUGCUACAGUAAACAAGAUAAGAGUUGGGAUAUUGAUGAACUGAUUGCACAAUGUAUGCAAGAAGAAACUCGAUAGAAGCAAAAGAAGGGCAAAUAGAUUGAGGAAGUCAAUUUUGUGCAACACAGAAAGAAGAAGAAAACUUUCAACUAUGGAGGCUCUUCAUGUAAUGGGGAGGAAAGUACACUGGCAGGUACACUGAGUCAGGGCAACAAAAGGGGUAUUUUGCACUCUAUUUGAUGAAGAAUGGAACAGUAGCACAAUACACAACACCUGAAACAACUCAAUAGAAUGGAGUCUCAGAAAGAAGGAAGAUGUCUCUCAUUGACAUGGUUAGAAGAAUGAUGACAAGAUCCAAGCCAUCAGGGUUGUUAUUGGGAGAAGCUUUGAAAACUGCAAAUUAUAUACUAAAUAACGUUCCAAGAAAAGUUGUUUCUUCAACAACAUUUGAUUUAUGGCAUGGUAGAGUACCUAAUUUUAGGUAUUUUCAUGUUUGGGGUUGCAAAGCUGAAGCUAGGUUCUGCAAUCCUAGUGAAAGAAAACUAGAUCCAAGAACACAAUCCUUUUAGUUUAUUGGUUACCCUGAGAAGUCAAAAGGAUAUAGAUUCUAUAUUCCUUAAGGUCACACUCGAAUUCAAGAGACACAAAAUGCUGUGUUCUUAGAAGAUCAAGAUAUCUCAGACUUAUGUAGGGAAAAUUUUAUUUUUGAAGAGAUGGACCAGAUUCAUAAACAUCCUUUACAAGUUGACUACAAUCCAGUCUUGUUGUUUCCUCAGCCAAUGUCCACUUGCAUAAAAGAUUGACUGGUGAAAUGGAUUCUGAUCUUGGCAACACUAUGGAAAAUAAGCAAUCUGCUACAAUCAUAGAUACUGUCACAUAAUUGAAUUAAUAAGGACCAAUGGAAGUGCCACCUCAAUUUGAGCUAAGAAAUCAGCUAGAAUUCGAAAAACAAUAGUUGUCAAUGACUAUGUUUGUUUACAAGAAGUUGAAUCUAAUAUUGGUGAUGUUGAUGACUCGCUUACAUACGCUCAGGCCAUAGAGAGUUGUGAAUCAGUCUUAUGGCAAAAUACAAUGAAGGAUGAAUUGGAUUCAAUGUUCAAAAACAAUGUUUAGACAUUGGUGGAAUCUAAUUCUCAUAUUAAGCCUAUAGUUGGCAAGUGGGUGUAUAAAACUAAGAGAGAUGCUCUUGGUGGAAUUGAUAGAUACAAAGCAAGACUAGUUGUCAAAGGAUUUACUCAGAGAGAAGGCAUCGAUUACAAUGAUACUUUCUCACUGAUUUCUUCUAAAGAUUCAAUGAGGGUUGUUUUGUCCUUGGCUGUACAAUUUGAUUUGGAGCUACAUCAAAUGGAUGUGAAGACAGCUUUUCUCAACGGAGACUUAGAAGAGUAUUUAUAUGAAGCAACCAACUGCAUUUGUUGAAAGAGGGAAAAAUAUGGUAUGCAAGCUUAAUAAAUCCAUAUAUGGCUUAAAACAAGCUUCAAGGCAAUGGUAUUUAAAGUUUGAUCAAAUUGUUUCUUCACAAGGUUUUGUAAAAAUCAAAUUAGAUGACUGCAUAUACAUCAAGUUUAUCGGAUAAAAGUUCAUUUUUCUGGUGCUUUAUGUUAAUGAUAUUCUUCUUGCUAGUUCAUGUCAACAGUUGCUGUAAAGUACCAAAAGAAUGUUAAGUGAGAAUUUUUAGAUGAUGGACCUUGGUGAAGCUCACAAUGUGCUAGGAAUCGAAAUUGUUCAUGAUAGACAAAGGAGACUUCUUGGCUUAUCUCAGAAAGACUAUAUUGAUAGAGUGAUACUCAGGUUCAAUAUUGAAAGUUGUAACAAUGGUCAAGUACCAAUUAACAAGGGAGAUAAGUUUUCAAGAGAUCAUGCCCAAAGACUGAUUUAGAAGUGAAGAAGAUACAGUCUAAACCUUAUGCUUCCCUGGUUGGAAGUCUUUUGUAUGCAACUAUUUGUACAAGACUAGAUAUUGGCAUGAUUGUAGGCAUGUUAGGUAGGUUUCAAUCAAAUACAGGAAAAACACAUUAGGUAGCUGCUAACAAGGUUUUGAGAUAGCUGCAGAGAACCAAGGACUAUAUGUUGGUUUAUGGAAAAAGUGAUUAUCUGGAACUUGUGGGAUACCCUUACUCGGAUUCGACAAGAGAUAUGGAUGAUAAAUAGUCUACAUGGGAUUAUAUCUUCAUGCAAUAGAGGUGCAGUCUUAUGGAAAAGUGCAAAACAAAUUGUCAUUGCUACAUCUACUAUGGAGGCUGAAUUUGUAGCUUGUAUUUAAGUGUGAUUGUGUAAAUCCUAUAUUAGAUUUGAUACUAGUUAUUCUUCCCUACUAGGACUUGAAUUCCUUGGAGGAGAAUGAUAAUGAUUCUUCCCUCCCUUAUUACUAUAAAUAACGACACUGCAUGGGGGGAAUAAAACAUCUCCCUACAAACACAUACCUCUCCCUAUUUUCUCUCUCUCAGUCGUGCCCCUUCUCUCCCUUGUCAGAUUAAAAUAAGCCACAACACGUUAUCAACAUGCUCCUACCGCUGCGCUUAGGAAUUUGACAUGGAAGUUUUCUGCAUCAAACCAGUUCAUCAAUAUUAUCACACAAUCAGGUUCUUCAAACACAAACCCGUUCAUCAAUUAUGGAUAUUUUUCCAGCCCUGAUAGCAUGAACAUUCACCAUAAUGCAUUACCCAACUUUACGGUUUUCAAAUUUUAGAUUCUAUAUAAAUUGUGUAUGCAUUAUAUCUAUAAUUGUUGAAUUAUGUGAAUUGAUUUUGCCAUGAAUUGGAUCAUAUAUAUAUAUAUAUAUAUAUAUAUAUAUAUAUAUAUAUAUAUAUAUAUAUCCAUGCAUUGAAUUAUAUAUUGAAUAUACAUGAAAUUAUAUUGAAUUAUAAUAUGGAAAUCAAGAAAAAAUUGAAAAAAAUUUCUAGGGUUUGUCGAAACCCAACCUAAGCUUACGCGAGCCUUUUGAGCCACGAUAAGCUGGAGCAAAAACCCCAUGCUCCAACUGAGAAGAUGAUGCCAUUUUUGGCAUCAAACACACAACCCAGAGCUGCUUGCAAUUGACCACGACCACCGUGCUGUCUUCCCUAGGAAAUCACAACAUGCAGCUGUGUUUUUGGGACCCAACCAUAGUAGGUAACAAUGGGUUUCUUAAUUAAUUCGAUGAACAUCGUUGAAUUUUUUAAGGAUUCUACAAAUCCACACGACUUCUCAAACCGCCUCCCCUAAUGUCGACAUUUAAUUUUCUGUCCAAAAUUAGGGUUACAGUCGAACCCCAGUGCAUCGCCAUGCCGUGACCCACCAAGGGAAGUCGCCUGAAGCGGAGCCGAAGAUUUUUCCAAUUCGAAUCCCACACCCAAUGCCGCUGAGGUGUUUUGGGUUUCUCGACCCAAGCCCUAGUGGGCCUUGGACCCUCUGGCCUACUUCGCUCAUAACCCACACUUUAAUUUUGGCCUAAAGUCCAAAUAAUUAAUUCAAUUAUAAUUCUAGACCUGAAGAUCUAUUUACAUAUUUUCUUGCUGCAUAUUUAUGUAUAUAUAUUUGUGUUUGUCUAUAGGAACAUAUGAACCUCAAGUUUAUAAUUAUUUCAAAACCCGAACUUUCUAGAAACAUGCCAUCUUUGAAAACCUGAAGUUUUCAUUAAAAACAUCGCCCAUGAAAAGCCAAAGUUUUUUCAUGUAAAUUUAAACCAAUAAAUGUCUAUUAGAACCUCAAUGUCCUACUCCUAUGUGAAUGGAUGGGUUUUUCACCAUUACACUAUCCCCAUUCUUGUCUAUUUAUUUUGUGAUAGGGACAUGUUGAAUUGGAAUAAACUCAACUUUACAACUUUAAAGGUCUCUGGAAGAAACUAACUCAAGUGGGUCCAAAAUGUAAGACUCCACCUCACCGCAAAGAAUUUGCUUCUUGCCAUUAAAGAUGAGAUGGACAACCCGGUUGGCGAAGUUAAAAAGGCCACUGCCAUGAUCUUCAUCUGAAGACACAUUCAUGAUGCACUGCAAAUCGAGUACCUUGUUGAAGAAGAUCCGCUAACAUUUUGGGUUGCUUUGGUUGAUCACUUUGAUCUCCAAAAGGAAAUCUUCUUGCCUAAAGUAAGACAUGACUGGCAGCAUCUACGCUUGAAGGACUUUAAGUCCGUGAAUGAGAUUAAUUAUGAAGUUUAUCGAAUCCGAACACUUCUCAAGUUCUGUAACGAGAACUUGACCGAAGAGGAUCUCCUGGAGAAGACCUAUUCAACCUAUUCGCCACCAAAAUUUUCCAGGAACAAUAAUAUAGCGCUCAAAAGUUCACCAAGUUUUCAGAUUUGGUCUCUGUUUUACUUCCACCUAAUGGCCAAACCCUGCCUUGUUUUAUGGUUUAACUUUGAACAAUUUUUCCUUUAGGUUUGGAUUAUUUAUUGGUGAUUUCUUUUUGGAUAUUAAGUUUUGUAUUUACCAUCAUUGAAUAUUUAAAUUAUUUUGAAUGGAUACUUGUUUUAGAACUUUUAUGCAUGUGACCGAUUCAAAUUCAUUUUUAUUUGUAGGUAUGCAUAGUGGGAAAGUUAGUUGUCUGGCAGAUAGUGCAAUCACACUCAACCUGUUCACCAUUUUACAUGAACGCAUCUAUUUCACUAACUUCAUACCUAAGAAUGCACCUCUGACAACUCUCUCAAGCUUAUCCAACCUGAUCGAAGGAUACAGUAAGGCAUGUACAAUGUUGUCCAAUGGUAUAAUCUCGACCAUUGAUGAGGCACUCUGUUCUCCACGUUCUGAAUGAAUGUUGUUGAGUUUCAAGGACAUUAGAGAUAAUAAUUACCAUGCUGAAACCUAUGUAGAAAAUGGAGUUGAAUUUCUAUGCAUCACUUUCUACAAAUAUAUCCAAAAGCAUAUUCUAGAGAAUAUGGUGCAUAUCUUGAGCGGUCUAUAUACUACAACCAUACGCCUUAUAAAGAGCCACUAUGUGGUUGUCCCUACCUCACGGAUCGCGCACAAAAUUACACCUUGGCAUGAUCGUCUGAGACACCCUGGACGACUAACGAUGCGCCGUAUCCUCAAAUCAUCACACAUGCAUCCACUAACUUGAAGUUUAGGUUUGAUUCAAGGAAUCGCAUGUCAAACCUGCUCCAUGGGAAAGCUUAUUAUUAAGUCUUCAUAUGAAAAGAUUCAUGCGAAUCUUCCUACUUUUCUACAAAGGAUUCAAAGGGAUAUUUGUGCCAAGCUCUUGAUUGUUGCUUGGGGUCAUGCAAUAUUGCACAUAGCCAUGUUGAUCCGCCUGAGGCAUGUUGCGACCCAACCAUAUAACGCCAUUUAGUUAGUUAUUGGAUACGAAUCCAACAUAUCGCAUUUGCGCAUUUUUAGUUGUGUGGUGUAUGUGCCUAUUUCGCCGCCCUUACGUAAAAAAUGGGGCUUCAGCGAAGGAUGGGAAUCUAUGUCGGAUAUGAUUCUCCUUCAAUUAUACAUUACUUAGAACCUUUGAUAGACGAUCUAUUUAUAGCUCGUUACGUGGAUUGUCACUUUUAUGAGACCGUCUUCCCGUCGUUAGGGGGAGAUAAGAACAUCACCGUUCCUGAAUAAUGACGCUAUUCGUGUACAACUCUCACUUUGUCUUAUUUAGUUCCCCGCACUACUUAAUUUGAAACUAAAGUGCAUGGCAUAUUAGAUCUCUAGAGCAUAGCUUAGAGGACACCAAAUGCUUUCACAGAUUUAGCGUGAGUGACAAGAUCAUAUAUUCCAGCUACGAAUGUGCCUAUAAAGAUGGAUGUACCCAAUGUACGAUGGACUUCCGUCCUAGAGGCCUGGGACGCCAAUUUGGCCGAUCCACGUACAUUAGCGGCUAGCCAAUCUUCUGCCCUUACACAAAAGCCUGGGACGCCAAUUUGGCCGAUCCACGUUCAGAAGUGUAAUGAGAAGAAUGAAAUUGUGCGUUUCAAAGCUCGUCUUGUUGUGCAAGGCUUCUCACAAUGCCUCGGGAUUGAUUAACAAAACUUAUUCACCCAUUAUGGAUGUGAUUACUUUUUGCUACCUUAUCAGUUUGAUAGUUUCCGAAAAACUGAUUAUGCAGCUGAUGGAUGUAGUAACUGCAUAUCUCAAUGAGGAUCUUGGUACGAAAAUUUAUAUGAAAGUUCCCAAAUGACUUACAUUGACUGGAUCAAAUAUUUCAAAACCCUGAAACACACUCUCAAUUUGGCUGAGGCGUUCACACUACGGUUUAAAGCAAUCCAAAAUAAUGUGGUAUAAUCAUCUGAGUGAGUAUUUGACUAUCAAGGAUAUGUGUACAACGAACUAUCCCCUUGCAUGUUCAUUAAGAAGUCACAUUUCGGUUUUGCGAGUCAUGCAGUUUAUGUCGACGACAUGAACCUUGUCGGAACUCCUAAAGAGCUCGAGAGAACUGUCGCACACUUUAAGUCAGAAUUUGAGAUGAAAUAUCUAGCAAAGACUCGAUAAUGUCUCGGUCUCGAGAUAGAGAACCAUUCAGAUGGAAUCUUAGUACAUCAAUCAAACUACACCCAGAAGGUGUUGUGCCGCUUUAACAAGGAUAAAGUGAAGCCUUCGAGUACUCCUUUGGCCGUUCGAUCAUUAGAUGCAAAACGAGAUCCCUUCUGUCAGAAGGUGGAUGAUGAAGAGAUUUCGGAACCCAAAGUUCCUUAUCUAAGUGCGGUAGGCGCUUUAUUGUACUUAGCUCAAUGCACUAGACCUGACAUCUCCUUCGCUGUUAAUGUUUUGACAAGAUACAGAAAUGCACCGACGCACAGAUACUAGACAGGUGUUAAAGACAUCUUUUGUUACCUUAAGGGUACUACAGAUCUGGGUCUGUUUUAUCCCUAUGGAUCCACGAGUGAGGCCACACCUCCUUACCAUGAGUCAAUUCCAGUCUUGUUCGUUACGCCGACGCAUGAUAUUUAUAUGAUCGGCUUUAGGCAUUCUCUCAAAUGGGUUUUGUCUUUACCAUUGGAGGCACCACGAUAUCUUGACGGUCAACUAAACAGAUGAUAGUUGCCACUUUGUUUAACCAUGCUGAAGUUCUAACCUUACACGAAGCAACUCGGGAAUGCUUCUGCCUAAGAGCAGUUAUGGGCCAUAUUCGAAGCUCUUGCAAUCUUUAUCCCGUCAUUCAUAUCCCGACGACAAUUUAUGAAGAUAACGUAGCAUGCAUCAAUAGCUCAAGAAAUGUUACAUUAAAGGAGACAACACCAAGCACAUUGCGCUGAAGUUCUUCUUCUCACAUCAACAACAAGAACAUCAAAAGAUUAAAGUCACACAAUCCGUUCACAAGAUAAUCUGACCAAUCUCUUCACCAAAUCACUACUGAAGGUGAUGUUUCAAAAGCUUGUUCAAGGAAUUGGCAUGCAUUAACUUUCUGAGUUGUAAUAUUGCUAGUUCUCUUUGGAAUUAUGUGAAACUCAGAGGAAGUAUCCUAAAGUGUACUUGCUUGAUCUUAAUGUACUCUUUUGCCUACGAUUAUGAGCAUUUUUUCCUUUGGGUUUUUGCAACGUAACAAGGUUUUGGCGAGGCACGCAUUUUGGGUUGACCAUAUCCCUGAUGAUGUCUCGUAAACAUUUCAUUUGACUUUGCAUUUCUCACGCAUUUUUCAUUAGACUAGGGGUUUUAUCCUUACCUAGGUUUUACCAUAGCCAUUGAGUUUUUUGUGAGACUUAAUUCCAUUUGCAAGUUCUUACUUUACAUUGAGAUUAGCGUGUUCCCAUAAUUAGUGUCGACGAGUCGACUUUUUUAACUCUAUAUGAUGCCGAAUCUACUUGAGUAUUUACACACUCAAGGGGGAGUGUUAUAAACAUUGUAUUUAAGGGUGAUUAUGUAAAUCCUAGAUAAGAUUUGAUACUAGUUAUUCUUCCCUAUUAGGACUUGUAUCCCUUGGUGGAGAAUGAAUCUUCCCCCCCCCUUAUUACUAUAAAUAAAGGCACUGCAUAGGGGGAAUAACACAUCCUCUAUGCAACCCUACAAACACAUCUCUCUCCUUACUCUCUCUCUCUCUCUCCCAUGCGCCCCCUCUCGUCCUUGUCAAAUUAAAAUAAGCUACGACAAAUAUUUCACUUUUUAUGUCUUCUAACUUUAUAUAUAUAAAGUAUGUGCUCUUAUUAUCUUCCGCCAGAAAAACCGAGUCAAAUUCCAAGUGUUGCAUUUUCACAAGUCAUUUGAGAAAUUAAAACAAAUAAGAGUAGUAAAAAGUAGCAGGGCAACGAGAUUUCCUGCCAUCCACCAAAAGAACCAACUGCUCGAACUUUAACUAGCUCCGUUUCGUUCAGAGGUUCCAUAGAGUAAAAGAAAAACAGUGCAUUUAAUUUGAAAAGAAGAGAAACAAGGGCAGAUCAAUUGACAGAUGAUCAACUGAACAUACUCAAGAUCCCACCGAGGAGGAGUUGGAUCAAUUUGUGCAGCAGCUGGGCAGUGAGGAUGGGAAUAUUCACUGGGAUAAAUUCGUCUAACUCAUGGCCCAGACAAUUUCUGCAUUAGCAGGGCAGUGAGGAUGAGAAUAUUCUCUGGGAUAAAUUCGUCAGUCAUAGCCCAGAUUAUCAACCCCAAGUGACCACUCUCACAUUAUUCUAGUACAAUUGUCAAUUUAAAUACUCGCAUUUUUGUCAAGUUAUUGACGAAAAUAAUGUGUCAAUAUGUAUAAGAUAUAAAUAUAUUUAUUUCUUGAUAACUAAUGUGUAUAAUAAAAGGGUAAGUUUAUCCUCCUAUAAAGGUUUAAUGCAAUUUUGUAUUCCUCCUUAUUGAAGGAUUAUGAUUCAGCUUAAUUGUACACUAAUAAUGUUUUAAGUGAAUAUUGUGAUCAUUUCAUUUUUAGCUUCAAUUUUCAUAUUGUGCUUGGGAUUAUGACGAACAUAUAUGGAGAAUUGAGCGAUGAACACAAUUAGGUGUUUAGUAAAAUGUAUUUGUAAAAGCGCUUUUAGUAUAAAAAGUUGUGACAAUCUUAUAAACCUAUCAAGUUGCAGAUGAUACUACUGGGCCCCCUAAAAAUGUCAUAUGUUCUUACCUUUUCUUUCAAUUAAUCGACAAUUGUUAUCCAUGAAUGGAUAAGCUCAGGACCUCCUCCAACAAAAUCGAGACAAAAUCGAGGCGAGACUCACUCAGACUGAAUAAUAUACUAGUGUGUAAUGUGCUUACUUAUGUUAAGUAUUUGAUAUGGGAUUUCAUAGUACGUAGUCUUUUAAGUUUUUAAUUCAUCACUAAACUUACAAUAUUAUGUAGUAUUAAAUCAUCUCACUCGAUUAAAUAAACGAAUCUUGUAAAGAUUUCAAACAAUUGACAAAAAACAGAAUGAAACAACUAAAGCACUCCCGCUCCCAGUAAUCUAGCUUGGUAGAUGCCCAUGCGUACAUAAACAUCCAAGUUUGCGUUGGAUUUAAAUAGACAUUGGUUUUACCACUUAGUACUAUGGUUUAGUGGAAUUCCUUUACACUUGUAAGUGAGAGUUCUUAGGUUCGAUUUUCAUCAAAGGUGAAUUUGAUCCAUAUUAUUGCUAGCACAUUGUAACGCUAAGUCCCCCUUUUAGUGCAAAUAAUAUCGUUUUGUUAAAAAAUAAAAAAAUAAAAAAAAUUUGGUUUUAAUCAAAGACUUGAGAAGGAAGAAAUCCUAUAGUCAAUUUAAAAUUAAGUCUCUCAUGGCUUGUUAUUGUUUUGCUGUGUUGUGGUUUGGUGAUCUCAUAGGACAAGUGUAUGUAGCUUAUUACUGUUUUAAAUCAAAGGGCUUAUAUGGCCCUUAAGUAGUUGGAACUUGUGUGGUGAAGGACAAUUAGGAUGAGCUUGUAUGGAGGCAUCCAGCGUUGAUGAAAUAUGAAAAUAUAUGUGAUGUGUUGCAGCGAUUAGCACCUCCACAUUCCUUCUAAAAUUCUUUUGUUCUUCCCACUUAGUACUACGGUCUAGUGGUAUUUCUCUUCACUUGUAAGUGAAAGGUCUUAGGUUCAAAUCUCGCAGAUGGUGAAUUCGAUACCAAAUUAGGUUGCCCAUUGUGUGACUUUCUCGAACUCCCCAUCCCCUUAGUAUAAAAUAUAUCGUUGUACUUAAAAAAAAAAUUAUUUUGCUCUUGUUCUUCGAAUCACGGAAAUACAUCACACAAAAUACAAACAAACAUUUCAAUAAUUUAUCAUGGGCUCAGAGUUGAUCAAACAAGAUUGGGCGUUUCGUGUUCGAAUCUCUGAAACCAAAAAGGAGGAAACAAACCCAGAUUUCAAAGAACUAUAGUUGUCGAUUCAAGGUCUCACAUGGCUACUUCUAGCGGUGGAGGAGAUUUCAGGGCUCCUAUCUUUAAUGGGUCCAACUACAAAUUUUGGUCCAUCAAAUGAAGAUCAUAUUCAAAUCACACGAUUUCUGGAAGUUGGUGGACAAGGGUUUUGGAAACUCAGAAACGGAACAUGAUUCCAAAGAUGAAGAACAAUUGUCUAUGAAAAGGAUUUUCAAGUUAAGUGAAUGAAACCAGAGAUGCAAAAGAUCUUGGUAUCAUUCAAGGAGCAGUCUCAUAUGAGAUUUUUCCUCGAAUCUCAAACAUGGAGACCUCCAAGGUUGUGUGGCAUGUUCUACAACAAGAAUUCCGCGGUGACAAAAAGGUUAGAUCAAUCAACCUACAAUGUUUAAGGAGAGAUUUUGAGUAUACUAGAAUGAAUGAUAUUGUGAACCAAAUGAAAACCUAUGGUGAGGAAAUGUUAAGCCAAAGAUUAGUGCAGAAGAUUCUUAUUAGUCUGCCUAAAUCUUCUGAUUCCAUUGCAUCCAUUAUAUAGGAAACUAGGUACGUUGAUACUAUUAAGGUUCAUGAGGUGAUUGGAAUAUUGAAGGGCUAUGAGCAGAGAUUGCAUGGGCACUCAAAAAACUUGGCUGAGAAAGCCUUUGCUAGUCUUGGUGUGAGCCAUUGAAAAUAAUUAUAAGGCUCAUGGGAGCAAUUCAAACUAAAAGAAGGUUUGGAAAGGAGAAGGCAAGAAGUGGGAUAACAAGUUCACUCUACAGACAAAACAAGAAACAUAUGGUGUUUCUACCAACACCAAGUGUACGAUUUGUGAUAAAAUACACUAUGGUGUCUCUUGGUUCAAGGGAAAACCUAAAUGUACCAAGUUUGACAGGUUUGAGCUUUUGGCAAAAGAUUGCAAUCCAAGAAGAAUCCAAGUUGUGAACUAUACACAUAAGGCAAAAGAAUAAGUAAAUGUCUUCUAUGCUUGUAGAGUGACAAUACUGGACAAGAAGACGGGAACUUGGUAUAUUGAUAGUGAGUGCAGCAAUCAUAUGACAGCACAUGAAUCAUAACGUAGGCAAUGUUCUUCGACGGAUCUGCACGAGCAGACGGAGUGGGGACAGGAGUAGUAUUUAUGUCACCACAAAGACAAGUACUACCCUAUUCCUUCUAAUUAAGCGAGUUGUGCUCCAACAACGUUGCUGAGUACCAAGCACUGAUUAUUGGACUCCAAAUGGUGAUAGACAUGGAAAUCACAACGCUAGAAGUGUAUGGCGACUCCAAGCUCAUAAUCAAUCAACUCUUGACUGAAUAUGAAGUGAGGAAAGAUGAUCUCAUCCCAUACUUCUGGCUAGCAACUGAACUGCUACAAUAGUUUGAGGCUAUGACGCUAGAACAUGUGUCAAGAAAAGAAAAUCAAAUGGCGAACGGUCUUGUUAACUUAGCCUCAAGUAUGGCGCUAGGAAAAGACGAAGCUGCAGACGUGCCAGUUUGCCAAAGAUGGUACAUCAUCUCAAUACUUCCAGUCGACACUGAAGAGUGGAAACAGUCAAUGAUCGACUACUUGGAGCAUGGAAAGCUUCCGAACGAUCAUAGACACCACUCUAAAAUACUUUGACGAGCACCUCGCUUCCUUUGCUACAAAGGAACACUCUACCGACGCUAUUUUGAAGGGUACUUCUAAGAUGCCUAGGUAAGGAAGAAGUCAAUCAAGCCAUGGAAGAAGCACACUCAAAAGAAUGGAUUACUACUGGCCAAGAAUGGUGAAUGAUUGCCUGGAGUACGCCAAAAGGUGCUAAGGCUGCCAAUUCCGUGCCAACUUCAUACAUCAACCGCCUGAACCAUUACACCUUACAGUUGCUUCAUGGUCGUUUAAUGCAUGGGGAUUGGACAUCGUAGAACCAAUCACACCUAAGUCAUCUGUAGGAUAAGCCUACAUCUUAGUUGCAACGGACUACUUCUCUAAGUGGGCUGAAGCCGUACCGCUAAGGGAAGUCAAGUAGGAAACUGUCAUUCGUUUCAUCAAGGAGCAUAUCAUCCAUCGAUAUGGUGUGCCUUGACACAUCAUCAUUGAUAAUGAAAAACAGUUGUCCAACCGACUCAUGGAUGAGCUCUGUUAGAAGGCCGACCAUUCAUCGCUACUGCCCAGACACAUAUUGAUGUGGAAUCUUUAACCUUAAGAGGAGAUUCAGUUGUAUUCAAACUCUUUGAAGCUAUCAAGCGUCCUCUUCAACCUGAAGAGUGUUUUUGUGUUGAUGUUUUGGAUGGGAUUGUGCAUGCAAACUUUGCCUCACGAUCGUCUAACGAUGAGCUGUUAACUUGCCUCACCAACCAUGAUGCUUCUUUAUCUAUGUAAGAAAAUGUGGUGGACUUCAUUGUUGCAUUAGAUAGUGCACCAAUUCAUAAACCAAAGUGGCGACAUGUUUAUGAAAGCCUUGGAGUGCCUACGCAGCCUCUUCUUCCUUCAAGUAAGCAAGCUCCGAAGUUAGAGCUCAAGCUACUGCCAAGCCACCUCAAGUAUGCUCAUCUCGGGGUGAACGAAACCUUGCCUGUUAUUAUUGCUACUGAUCUUAGUGACACAGAGGAAGAGAAAUUACUGAGAGUUCUUCGCAAGUAUCAAGAUGCUUUGGGGAGGACACUCGCUGACAUUAAGGGCAUUAGUCUAGCUUUAUGCAUGCAUAGAAUUUUUAUGGAGGCUAGGACUAAACCAAUUGUUGAAGCUCAAAGAUAUCUAAAUCUGAUCAUGAAGAAAGUUUUAAGAGUUAAGGUGAUGAAGUUACUCGAUGCAGGUAUCAUUUAUCCAAUCUCGGAUAGCAAAUAGGUGAGCCCGACUUAGGUGGUUCCAAAGAAAACUAGUAUUACUGUGGUGAAAAAUGAUAACAACGAGCUUGUGCCUACAAGGAUGACCACUGGAUGGCGAAUGUGUUUUGACUAUAGAAACUCAAUGACACCACCAGAAAGGAUCAUUUUCCACUGCAAUUCAUUGAUUAGAUGCUUGACAGACUACCCGAUCAUUCUUUCUAUUGUUUCUUAGAUGGUUAUUCAGGGCACAACCAAAUUCCAAUUACCCCUGAGGAUCAAGAGAAGACAACGUUUACAUGCCCUUUUGGUACAUUUGCAUACAAACGAAUGCCAUUUGGAUUGUGUAAUGCCUCUGCCACUUUCCAACGAUGCAUGAUGAGUAUUUUUUUUCCGGAAUGGUUGAAAAUAUUGUUGAGGUUUUUAUGGAUGACUUUUGUGUCUUCGGUGAUUCUUUUGAUAUAUGUUUGGAUAACUUAUCUUUGGUUUUGGAAAGGUGCAGUGAGACGAAUCUUGUGUUAAAUUGGGAGAAAUGUCAUUUUAUGGUUAAGCAUGGCAUUGUGCUAGGACACCUAAUUUCAAGCAAAGGAAUAGAGGUCGACAAGGCCAAGAUUGAGGUGAUAACCAAUCUGCCACACACCCACUUCAGUGAAGAGUGUGAGAUCUUUCUUGGGACAUGCGGGUUUCUAUCGAAGAUUCAUCAAGGAUUUUUCCAAAAUCAGUCAUCCUCUUGGUAAUUUACUUGCUAAAGAUGCUACUUUUGAUUUUGAUGCAGCUUGUCAUGAAACUUUCAACAAAUUGAAGGAUCUUCUCACAUCAGCCCUAAUUAUAAUAGCUCUGAAUUGGACCUUUUCUUUUGAGCUCAUGUGCAAUGAUUCUGAUUACGCUAUGGGUGCUGUCCUUGGUCAGCGAAGUGACAAGCUCCCCCAUGUUAUAUAUUAUGCCAGCCGCACUUUGCAUGAUGCUCAGCUGAAUUAUGCCACUACGGAAAAAUAAUUACUUGUAGUGGUAUUUGCUCUUGAAAAGUUUUGAUCGUACUUAAUUAGUGCUAAACCCAUUGUGUAUUCGGAUCAUUCUACUCUGAAGUACUUACUGUCUAAAAAAGAGGCUAAACCACGAUUGAUUCGAUGGGUCGUUCUCUUGCAAGAGUUUGAUUUGGAGAUCCGAGAUAAAAAGGGACGUGAAAAUGUUGUGGCAAAUCAUCUCUCAAGAUUAGUAAAUGCAAGCACUGAUGGAGCAGAUUCAUUGCCCCUACAAGAAAGCUUUCUAGACAAGCAAUUUCUAGUGGUUACUCAUCAAGUACCAUGGUAUGCUGACAUUGCAAAUUAUUUGGCAUCUGAAGAAAUACCAUCAGAUCAUUCGUCAGUGUGUCCCCUGUAAAACACUACUUUUGGGAUAAGCCAUACCUUUUCAAGCAUUGCCAAGAUCAAAUCAUUCGUCGGUGUGUCCCCUUAGAAGAACAAGAAAGCAUUUUGAAGUUUGCUCACCAAUAUGCAUGUGGUGGUCAUUUUAGACCAAGAAGGACUGCAUCCAAGAUCUUAUAGAGUGGUUUCAUUUGGCCAUCUUUAUUCAAAGAUGCAUACCUAAGGUGCCAGGCUUAUGAUAAGUGUUAAAGAGUUGGCAAUCUUUCUUAGAGAAAUGAGAUGCCCCAACAAAGUAUUUUGGUGAUCAAACUAUUUGAUGUGUGGGGUAUAGAUUUCAUGGGACCUUUCUCUUCUUCACAUGGCAAUCUUUACAUCUUGAUGGCGGUUGAUUAUGUCUCAAAGUGGGUGGAGGCAAUAGCUUCUCCAACAUGCAAAAAUUAUGCGGUGUUAGGUUUCUUGCAGAAUACUAUUUUUCCCUAAUUUGGAGUACCUCGUGCUAUCAUCAGUGACGAAGGUACGCAUUUCUUAAACCGCACCAUAGCUGGCCUUUGUGCCAAGUACCAUAUUCACCAUCACAUAGCCACCCCAUACCAUCCACAGACAUUUGGACAAGUUGAAGUAUCUAAUCGUGAGCUCAAGAGGAUUCUUGAGAAAACUGUAAGUUCAUCUCGAAAAGAUCAGAGUUUAAAGCUUAUUGAUGCUUUGUAGGCGUAUAGGAUAGCUUAUAAGACACCAAUUGGGAUGUCUCUUUUUUGUUUAGUGUGGGAAAGCUUGCCAUCUGCCUAUGGAACUUGAGCACAAGGCAUAUUGGGCUAUUAAGCACCUUAAUUGUGACUACCAGGCAACGGGAGAGAAGCGGAAGCUGCAGUUGAAUGAACUGGAAGAAAUAAGGAAUGAUGCUUAUGAGAAUGCAAAGAUUUACAAGGAUAUGACCAAGAAAUUUCAUGAUGCUCACAUCCUUCGUAAAGAGUUCCAUCCGGGUCAGAAGGUUUUACUUUUUAAUCCAAGACUGAAACUAUUCCCAAGAAAGCUCCAAUCACGUUGGAAUGGUCCAUAUCGUGUUGUACAAGUCCAUCUUCAUGGGGCUGUGGAUAUCCAAAACAUGCAAACUAGUUUUGUCUUCAAAGUUAAUGGGCAUCGCUUGAAGUUAUACAAGGAGUCUCCAUAUGAUCUUGUCAAGGAUUCCAUCACUUUGAAGGAACCUGUUAUUUGAAUCAAACUGCCAACAUGAUGUCUAGCUCUAGACAUUAACUAAAGUGCUUCUUGGGAGGCAACCCAAGCUUUCUAUCUUUCAUCUUUAGUUUGAAUAAUUUUAAAUGUUCUUGUUCUGUUUUUCUCCUGUUUUCUGGUCUGUGUGUUAGGUCCUACUUUUGGUCUCCUGAUGCAGGUAAUACUUCUGCAGUCUCUACCACAACUUCUAGCAAAGUUUCUUAAUCCCACAGGUUACUCACACAUCUAUUAUGGAUAAUGAGAUGUGUUGAAGCAAGUUUGGGGGUCUUUUGGAAUUACACCAUGGAACCAAAAUGCAUUUUUACUGCUGCUACCUCGCCAACACAAAUUGGUGUGUUCUUUCCUUUUCUUUAUUUAUCUUUAUUUCAUUUUGUGUUUCUUUCCUUCCAUUUUUAUUUCUCAUUGUUCAAAAUUCCUCUCAUUAUCAUUGGGGACAGUGCUAGAACUAAGUUUGGGGGUGGAAAUACAUAUUUCGUUUGUUUACUUCGUAUAAAAAUAAAAAUAAAAUAUUUCUUGCAUUUUUGUUGUUGUUUGUAGCUACUUCUCAAUUCAAUGAUGAGAUUUGAUCUUAAUUUUCUUCUUACUUUUGAGAUGUCUAAGCAUAGCAAUAGUUCUUUUCAUUUUCUUUGUGUUAACCAUACUUUCUAGCAAACAUCCUUGAAAAAUAAAUGUGCCUAAUCUUGUCAAUGUGAAACUUGAGCAUGAUUUAACGUUUAAUAUGUGAGUCAUGUGAGAUUUUGUAAACCUUGUAAUCUUUUGAGCCUUUACAUGAUUGAACCAUUAUACUUCAGUCACAUUUAUUGUUGUGUGUUUGAUCUCGUUUUUACAUGUAUCUCUAGAACUUGCUUUAUACUUCUCGAUUCAUUUAUCAAUUCAUGUAAUAACUUGGAAGUGAUAUAGGCCAUCUUUGGAUCAUUUGAAUCUUUCAUGCCUACCUAUAUGCUAUGUUUAUCCAUAGUAGCCCGUUGAGCCGUUAACUAAACUAUUUCUUUGUUAGCCAUAUCUCUUUACCGAGCUCCAAUAUUGGAGUUGAGCCCAAACACAGAAAUCGAUUCUGUAUUGUUUUAAGAGUAUUACAUGGGUUGUGCUUUUGGGGGUUUCGUUUAUGUAGAAAAAUGGAUGGAGCAUGUAUAUUACAAUGAAAUGUGAAUUUGAUGGGUGAUGUAGCUUUGCAGAUUUGUGCAAUGUCUCUUUCAAUAUAAAAAACAAAAAAAAUAAAAAAAAUAAAAAAUUGGAGAAUGUUGAUUUGUUGAAGAUGUGCCUGCAGAAGCUUACUCUUAUUCCUAAGUUUCAGUGAUAUCAUAAGUACAUUUUGUGAUUGCAGAGUGAUCGGAUGAUAUUUAUAUAUAUUUUUACUUCGAAUUCACUCGUCUUUUCUUAGUUAGUUCCUUAUAUUUUUGAGCUAUUUACGUUAUUUUGUGUUUAUAGGAUUUGUUAUGCAAAGAAAAUAAAAAUAGAACAAGUGAAAUUUUAUGUAAUAAAUUCGUCAAAACUGUCUGUGUAGAUCAGCUUUUAAAUAAAAUUAAAAAAAAAUAUAUAUAUAAUAAUAAUAACAAGUCAUGAUGAUGUUUGAAACAUCAUCAUGAUUCAUGUUUUGUAGAAGAAGAAAGGAACGGCAAAGAAGAAAAGAAAAAGAAAGAAAAGAAAAAGAAAGGAAAAGGAAAAGAAGGAAAAGGAAAAGAAGAAAAAAAAAAUAUAAACAAGCAGAAAAAGGGAGAGAGAAGCAGCAAGCAGACAGCUGCCUUGCGGCAGCAGAAAGAGGAUAGAGAGAAGUGGGAGCGGGAAAAGUCAGUGGAAAGCAGGAGAGACAGCUGGGAGCGCAGUAGGCGCAGAGAAUGUGGUGGACAGCAACAGAAAAAAAUAAAAUAGAAAAAAAAGAAAUAAGGAGGAGGUCAGGAGCAUGAGGAUAUAGACGGGAUUGGCAGAAGAGACGCAAGGAUUGGGCGGUCUUGGAGCGAGAGAAGGGAGCUGCCCUUUGGGCAGCUCGCAGAGACGCAGGAAGAGGACCGAGAGGAGAGUGUUGCCAUUGGGCAGCUUGAGGAAGGGAAGUCAGUGGCGAGGAGGACAGGAGGUCAGCAUGAAAAUGCAGUUCAGAGUCCAUGCAGUUCAGAGUCCAAGCAGCAGAUCCUUUCUUUCGGUUUAAUCUUUCCAAACUCCUAUUUUAUUUUUGUUUUAAUAAUGUGUAAUUAAUUUUAUUUUGGCUAGAGGUUAAUUCGAAACCAUGAAUAUAUUUGUAAUAUGAAUUGAUUACCUUCGGUUGUGAUUUCAUAAGUUGUGAUUUCAAUUUACUUAUCCGUUCGUAUAAAAACUGAUUUGUGUAUGUUGGUUGAGAGUGCACGCUUAAUUUACAUGCAUGAAUUUGAUGCUAGAAUAUAAGUGAAUUUCACCUAAUCGUUAUGAACUUAUUUUCACAAAGUAGUAAAGGUUGCUAGUCACAAUCACGUUAAGUAAAAUUCUUGGCAAGAGUAUCAUGCUUUUCAUAGUUACGAAUGCCUCGUCAAUGCUUAUAGUUUUCACAAAGUUUAAUGAUCUUUGAUUGUAUCGCUAUUGUGCUUUUCACGUAGGGGACUUUUGAAGAAUGUUUUGAAUUGUUGUAUGCGUUUUUCCGUCCAAUUCAAUAACUUAAGGAAAACUUGAAGAUUAAAAAAGUGCUGUUCACGGUUAAUCUGGAGUAUUGAGAUUCACAAUUUAUUGAAAGAACAACUGAAAAUCAAUUUAGGUUGCAUAUGUGUCAUGUGUGGAGAAGAACCCUCUAGCUAGUCCGUCAUUUAUCAUUUUACCUUAAUUUUAUGUUUUUAUCAAUUCUGUAAUUUAAUUAAGUUUAAUUUACUUUUCAUCAAAACCAAACACCCAUCCAUUAUUAAAUUAUAUUAUUUAGUUAGUUUGCUUUAUUGUUAGUCUUUUAAUUUAAUUUCCGUCCAUUUCAGUUCUUAGUGUCUAAUCAGAUCAUUUUCAUUAUUUUGAGUCAUCCUAAGUGUGUUUCGAGUUAUUAGAGUUUUUAGCCUAGUUUUGUAUCAUUGAGUCUUGUUUAAUAUUUUUAAAUUAAUUUAGAAUAGAUUAGCAAUCCCUCCUAAUCCCCGGCCUAGAACGAUACCCUACUUACAUCUAUACUACAAUUGUCAAAAAGAGGGUUUAAUUUGUGUGUCAAGUAAUUUUCGCAUCACAGAGUAUAAAUUUCCUUUCGAAGUUGAAUUUGGGGAGUAACAGGUGCUCAUGGUUUUAUUAUUUUGCUUUCAAUUUGAGGUGGUGUGAUAUCGAGGUGUUGGAAAACUACUAAAGUGUACUUUCUCAAAUUUUUUGAUUUCCACAUCCUUUCUUUCAUGAGCCUAUCUCCUUUAACCCCAUUACAACCGUAAUAAAGUCCUAUUGAUCCAAGGCAUUACCUAAAUAUUAAGCUAGGUGGACAAACAAGCAUAUGGCGGCAUGUACAAUGAGAUCACUUAAGUGAAACACAUCAACCAAAACUUAUGAGUGAAUGAGCGUAUGUCUUGUGAGAAGCUCACAAGUUUGCAUAUGAUGAUUUAAGGGAGCUUGGAAUUGCAUUGACAUGACUAGUUCACACAUGACAUUUCAAGCUUUUGUCUGAAGGAAAUUUGGUUAUCUAUUGGAUGAUGUUUUGAGCUCUUGUUGUUUAGUUCUUGGCUGUUUGUUUCAUGGUUGGCACUUAUCUCUGAGAUCGAAAUUGAGAAGUUCACUACUAAGUUGUUGAGUCAAGUCUUAGUUGAGUAGUUUUGUUUUGUUUUGUUUUGCUAGAGGACUAGAAAAAUAUUAAGUUUGGGGGUAUUUUGAUGAACCAAUAUUUAUUCUAUAUUUCCCCAUUUUCUAUUUCUUUUCUUGUCUAGUUUAGUUGGAAGCUUUAAGUUUGUGUGAUAGUUUUGCCAUUUUGUGUUUUUAAGAGCAGCAGGAUCAAGUUUGAUGGAAAAGUAUGCAAACAGUGAAAGUUUUGAGCGAUUCCAAUUGAUGUUGAUUCACAAGAGAUUGAAGCUGAUUCCCAGCCAAUUGUUCCGAAUUUAAGAAUGAAGAAAGCAGACGUGUCAAGCUUUCUAAGGACAUCUCUCAUUCAUUGAAAUCUAAGGACUUUUGGUCUACCAAACGUUAUGGCCAAUUCUGCCCACUCUAGCUAAUAAAAUAAGAAAGUAAAUGCACCUUGAACUUUGCUUUGUCAUUAAUACUUGGCAGAAAAUUAGUUUUUAAUUCCACUCAUUAGACUUUGGAGCAAAGAAAAAGCCCAGAGGAAAAAGUGGAGAGAACAACUGCCCACUCCAUUAACUAAUAAAAUCAGGCAACGCACGGCAACAAAGGAGUGGGUAGAAGACGGAAAAACGGAUGGGAGUUUUCUAUGAGUAUGUAGAGCACGACAGAGGGAGUGGGAUAGCAGGAGAAGUGGAAUGGGGACAAAAACAGAGGGAUGGCAGAGAGCAAAAAAGAGGAAAAAGGGAAAAAGGUGCCGCAACUCAAAAGGGAGAAAAGGAAAAGAAGAUGCAGGCUCCUCUCUUCAAGGGGAAGAUGAUCAAUGAGCUCCUCUUGUAAAAAAAGGGUUGUUUUCUUUCUUUGAUUUUUAAUGGAUAAUUCCUUAUGUAUUAAAAUAAGUAUGUGUGACUAAUUUCUUUUUUGCUAGAGUGAGGCCAUGAGCCUCAACAUGAUUACGUAGAUUUCUCUUUCAAUUGCUUAAGUGUUGUUACAUGCCUGCUUUGAUGUUUUCAAUCACUAAAUUAAACUAUCUAUGUGUCUUGAUGCUUGAUCACCAUUAGGAUGCUUAGAAAAGUCAUCGGAUGCAAUUUUGAACGAAUGUCACGUUAAAAUUGGUUAUGCUUCUUGUGAUUGAGGAUUGUAAUUUCGCCUAAGGUAAAUAUCAUACUUUUAGGGAUUACAUGGUUUAACAAAAGCAUUUUCACCAAGAUUAAUGAAUCACUCAUGUUUAUAUUUAAUACAAAUGUCAUGGAUAAAUUGCAUGUAGUGGCAUGCCUUAUAGCUUGAAUGUCACAAGUAAAACAUACACAAGGAAAACCCAACCUUCAAAGCAUGUGUGUUUUCAAUUACUUAAGCAAUUGGAAGAGCUACGUAGGAGUGUUGUUGGUAAAUGUUGAACUCUAGCUCCUUGUCAAUCUAAGUUUCUUCAAUUAUUUGUAUUAUCUUGAGUUUCUAGAUUUACUUGCUUUGUUUAGUUGGAUCACUAUUCCUAUAAGGCCAAUUCCCAUUUUAGAUAUUUGUUUAAGUCACGUACAGUAGUAUUUAGUUUCAUCGAAUUAGUGUAGUUCUUAGAGUUAACUAAGUUAAAUACACAAAAACUCGUAAAUUGUUUAUAUCAGUCCCUGAGGAGAUUGACCUUGCUUGAGCCAUUCUAUGCUACAAACACUUGUUCUCUUGCAAGAAAUUUCUAUGGUUUAACCCAUGUGAGUUCAAUUCAAAAAACAUGUGAAAAUGUAUUGUGACAAUAAUUCAGCAAUGUUCUUUUUUUUUUUUCUUUUUUUUUUUGCCAAGAACCUAUGUUGCUUACUGAUCCACUGACUAAAGCAUUGCCUAUUGGAGAAUUUAAACGACAUAUUUCUCAUAUGGGAGUGCUAGAGUAUUUUGAUCGGUGGGCGUAGUCCAUCAUCUUUCAAUGGCUUGGGAUUGCAGUUAUAAGACAACAACUGUAGUCCUAAUGAAGCUAAGGUUAGUUUCUUUUAUAGCUAGUGUUUGGGCUUAAACUUAAACUUUGGGCUUAGAAGGGAGUUGGCCCAAAAAGAGAAGGAAAAGCCGAAAGGGCCUUUCCCGACUAGGUGUAGAUCAUUUGCACCACUUGCUCACCUACCCAAGGGCCAAGUGGUAUAGACCAGCCAGCUAAUCAGCCCAAAAGUACUUUAUGAUGGCAGUACAAGUAAAUAGCUGAUGAGUCACUAUCCUUCAAACUGCAUUCGGGCAAGAUUAUUGCUACAAGAGGCCAAGCCAAGGUGGCUAUAAAAGGAGAAAGAGAAGUCAGAAUCAAGGACACUCAAACAAACAAACAAAAGCACAAAGUCUGCUCAAAGCCAGAUUUGCCUUCAAAACGAAGCUGCAGUCAGCCUAAGCCUUUAUCCCUUUCGGGACAAACCCUUUGUAAUAGCUCUGCUACCCUGUUCAACGCCUGCUGUAGUAUUGAUUUUCUUUCUGCAAACUCACCUCCCAACCCCUUUUCUAAGCUUUCAAACCUUCUGUUAACCCACAAAGAUAGGAAGUUGCAAGACGAUCAGCCUUGCCCGACCUUCUUUGUUUUUGUCUUUUCAUUCAUUAGCCUAGCAAUAUGUUGUAUACUUCAAGUUGUAUCCAAGUUAUUUCUAGUAAUAUGGCUAUUAAAAGACUCUUUCAGCGCUUGAAUCCGAUUUGAAUAUGUCUUCACAGUUCGAGUCAGAUCUAAGUUCUAAGCCCUCGGUCAUAUAAGAUUUGAUCACCCUAAAAAGUCAUUGGCCUCAAGGCAUAAAAAAGAACCUGAUGUGGACUUAACCCAUCCACGACAAGCUUUGAUAAACAAGAAGUCCGAAGUUACUCGGGGCGCAAGUAAUCGACCUGCAACUUAGUUUUAUUUCUGUUAUAUUAUGAUGACCAUAUAAUGUUCGAGUACGGGAUGAAUUCUGAUGGGAAGCCUCAAGGCCUAUUCAAGGCCCCACAAAGGCACCUAUUUGGAUUCAUCCUAUUUCUCGGGCAAGAACAUCGAGUACGGGAUGAAUUCUGAUGGGAAGCCUCAAGGCCUAUUCAAGGCCCCACAAAGGCACCUAUUUGGAUUCAUCCUAUUUCUUGGGCAAGAACAUUGAGUACAGAAGGGGUUCUGAUGGGAAGCCUCAAGGCCUAUUCAAGGCCCCACAAAGGCACCUAUUUGGAUUCAUUAUGCUCUUUGAACUCAGGUAAUCAGAAGUAUGAUGGUUAUAAGACUCAUAUAACCAACAAAAGGAACCUUAUGUGUUUGAGUACUAAGUUAGUUAUUUAUGGGAAGCCUCAAGGCCUACACCUAAGGCCCCCACAAAGGCACUUGUCAAUAACUGAUCGGAUCAUAUUUAUAUAUAUUUUUACUUCGAAUUCACUCGUCUUUUCUUGGUUAGUUCCUUAUAUUUUUGAGCUAUUUAUGUUAUUUUUGUGUUUAUAGGAUUUGUUAUGCAAAGAAAAUAAAAAUAGCAUAAAUGAGUUUUAAAUAAUAAACAGAAAGAAUAUUGAUUUUAUUUUUGGAUUGGGUUUUAUUUUGGUUUAUUUUAUAUGCAUUGAAUUGAUUGUUUCAUAGAAUAUUGGUUUUGGAUUUGUUACUUGAAUUUGUUCUUAAUUCCCAAACUGCUACUAAUUUAGAGUUUAUGAUACAAAUCAAUUUUGUAUUAUAUUGUGAAAGGAGAAUCCAAGAAGGUAGGCUGCCAGCGGAAGAAAAGUAAAAGGUCAGAAAAGAAAAAUAGGGAGACAGCUGGGGGAAUAAUUUUGGAACAAGAGGAGAGAUAGAAGGGAUUGAUGCGGGCCCUUGCAGGUGGAAAGCUGUGAAGACCGACAGAAUUGAGGGCAGCGAAGCAGCCAGGAGAAAAAGGAAAAUAAAAUAAGGGAAUCCAAGAGAGAAAAACGUGCAGGACUGAUGAAGUAAAUAAAAAAGAGAGGAAAUGGGCGCGGAAAAAGGCAGCUGCCUUUGGGCAGCGCUAAGAAUAGAAUAGAAAAAUAAAAGGAAGGCUGUCUGGCAGCCUUGAUGGACGGAGGGAAUAAAAUACGAGUGAGAAGUGGGAAAUAAAAGGAAAGAAAAGCCAGGAGAGAGGGGGGGAGACGGAAAGAUAAGGCGGUCUGGGGAGCGAGAGAAGGGAGCUGCCCUUUGGGCAGCUCGCAGAGACGCAGGAAGAGGACCGAGAGGAGAGUGCUGCCAUUGGGCAGCUUGAGGAAGGGAAGUCAGUGGCGAGGAGGACAGGAGGUCAGCAUGAAAAUGCAGUUCAGAGUCCAUGCAGUUCAGAGUCCAAGCAGCAGAUCCUUUCUUUCGGUUUAAUCUUUCCAAACUCCUAUUUUAUUUUUGUUUUAAUAAUGUGUAAUUAAUUUUAUUUUGGCUAGAGGUUAAUUCGAAACCAUGAAUAUAUUUGUAAUAUGAAUUGAUUACCUUCGGUUGUGAUUUCAUAAGUUGUGAUUUCAAUUUACUUAUCCGUUCGUAUAAAAACUGAUUUGUGUAUGUUGGUUGAGAGUGCACGCUUAAUUUACAUGCAUGAAUUUGAUGCUAGAAUAUAAGUGAAUUUCACCUAAUCGUUAUGAACUUAUUUUCACAAGUAGUAAAGGUUGCUAGUCACAAUCACGUUAAGUAAAUUCUUGGCAAGAGUAUCAUGCUUUUCAUAGUUACGAAUGCCUCGUCAAUGCUUAUAGUUUUCGCAAAGUCUAAUGAUCUUUGAUUGUAUCUCUAUUGUGCUUUUCACGUAGGGGACUUUUGAAGAAUGUUUUGAAUUGUUGUAUGCGUUUUUCCGUCCAAUUCAAUAACUUAAGGAAAACUUGAAGAUUAAAAAAGUGCUGUUCACGGUUAAUCUGGAGUAUUGAGAUUCACAAUUUAUUGAAAGAACAACUGAAAAUCAAUUUAGGUUGCUUAUGUGUCAUGUGUGGAGAAGAACCCUCUAGCUAGUCCGUCAUUUAUCAUUUUACCUUAAUUUUAUGUUUUUGUCAAUUCUGUAAUUUAUUUAAGUUUAAUUUACUUUUCAUCAAAACCAAACACCCCCCCAUUAUUAAAUUAUAUUAUUUAGUUAAUUUUCAUUGUUUUUAGUCUUUUAAUUCAAUUUCCGUCCAUUUCAAUUCCUAGUGUCUAAUUUAAUUGUUUUCAUUAUUUUGAGUCAUUUUAAGUGUGUUUCGAGUUAUUAGAGUUUUUAGCCUAAUUUUGUGUCCUUGAGUCUUAUUUAAUAUUUUUAAAUUAAUUUAGAAUAGAUUAGCAAUCCCUCCUAAUCCCCGGCCUAGAACGAUACCCUACUUACAUCUAUACUACAAUUGUCAAAAAGAGGGUUUAAUUUGUGUGUCAAGUAAUUUUGCGCAUCAAUAACUAACAUAGUCUCUCGAAUAUAUAUAAUUAAAACUCAAACAUCCGUUCUACAUCUGCCAUGCUGAAGAUGGUAGUGGCACACCUGAGCAAUUCAAAGUUAAUCUUGAUCGUGAGCCUCAAGGCCUACACCCAAGGCCUCACAAAGGCACCUUUUGAAAGUUAACUAUGUCCUUCUCUUUUAGCCUUGCCCGACAAGCCCGCCAGUAAAACAGAAGCCCGACAGAAAGCAUCAACCGGCGCCAACCUCUCGGGGAGCUGUGUGCUCGUCGGCCAGGAAGCAUUCCCCACGGAAAUUCCCGCCUCGAACAUAGUUUUGGCACGCUCGGUAGGAUUCUUUGAUCAAAGCAAUAUGUCAAAAGGAUCAGAAGAUUUCCAAAUUGCUUUAUUGCACAUGCUACAAAGACUAGAGAAUGCUUCUGCAGGCUCCAAAAAAGAAGAUGACCCGGUUCUAAGACCACCUAUCCCUAUGUCUUUACCUCAUCUUGGGGAGAAAGAUGAUAAAGAAAAGAAGGGGCUUAAAACCAAUCAACUAGAAGAAGUUACGGUGACGGAUAAACAUACGGAUCCCUUCUCAGAGGCCCCUAUAAAUAUGAUCAGUAUGGCCUGGGCAGAGAAGGGAACAGAGAAGGUCACAGGAGAAGAAGAAAGAAGACUGGUUGACAAACCCAUAGAGGGGGGAUUAACUUGCUUGAAUAUCCAAAAGCCGCCAUAUUCAAAGGAAGGGUGCUAUGCAGUAAGUGCCAAUGCGAGUGUGAACUCGAAAUACCGCUCGCGAGAGCCCUUAUAGAUCAUGAACUGCUCAGGAGGAAUGAAGAACAAAAGAGAAAAGAGGCACAAGAGAAAGCUCGGCGGCCUGCAGGAAGAGAUACCUCCUGAAGUGUCUUUCAGCGGUUAGGAGGCGAUUCCCAACCAAGGGCUUUAUCAGAAAUAUUUCAUGACCAUGAAGUUUCUGAGGAGGCAGAGGAUAAAGAUGCCAAGAAGCCAAAAGAGAGAAGUGUAGGGCACUCUCAGUACGGCCAUAUAGGAAGAGAGGUCAGGAGGAAUGACAGGAUAACAAACCCCGUCACAAAAGAUAAUCCUGCCCGCCUCGGGCAAAAAUGGUAUGUGGUCAGGAAGAAUGGACAGCCCGUUAAGCAAAUGGGUGCCUCUAUGGUAAGAAGGGUUCAGAGGCAACACAAAGCCUACAUGAAUUCCUUGAAAACCCCAACGAUGUCGGAAGCUUCCAAAAAUCAAAAGUUAGAGAAAACGUCAUCUGGGGGGAGCAGUCAGCUCCGCUGGAGAAGUAAGAAGGAGGUGGAAAAGGUGAAGGAAAUCAUGUGCCACAAAGCCUACACCCUGGGAAAUAUAGAAUCUUGAGGAGAGCUCAAGAAGAUAUGGUUAUGGUGCCGACUCCCGGAUGGAAGGCAGAGCAACCUAUUUGUUUUGGAACUAUCUCCCUUGAGAAAAAACAACCUUCUCUAUCAUUAGAGGAUCCCUUUGGGGAAGUUCCAAAACAAACACCAUGUUCAGAUGUGAAUCAGCUAGAGGGGGCACCAGAACCAUUGCUUCCACCAGAUGCUAUGGCAUGGUUGGAUGAGUUCAUAGACCAGAUUAGGAGCAAAAAAGAGGAACUGCCAGAGCCUAGCAACUUUCAUAUAAACAUGGCGUAUGUGUUCUAUCUGCUAUGUUUGUUGCCCAACCUAAUCAACCCGCCGCCAUGGAAGGAGAUUAUGUAACAACUGAGCCAAUGAUGGCUCAUGUUAAUAUGGAGAUAGCAGAAGAAUGAGAGUCAGGAAAAGCUGCAUCAUCUGAAGCAUCCAAAGAGGGUCCUUUAAGGAUCUACACAGACAAAAUGGUGUUCAGUCGCCCAAACAUUUCACUUGCCAAUCAUCUAAAGCCCAUAUAUGUAACAGCUCAUUUGGAAGGAGUGCCCUUAAAAAGGAUUUUGAUUGAUGGAGGGGCAGCUGUUAAUGUAUUACCAGCCAAGCAGAUGAAAAAGUUGGGGAGAGGAACAGAGGAUCUUAUUCCUACAGACCUCACAGUUUCUAGUUUCUCGGGCGCUAUCACCAAGACUCUUGGGAUAUUGCCUUUGGAAGUAGAUCUGGGGUCUAAACAGAUCAUGCUGGCGUUCUUUGUGGUGGACUACACCUCCACCUAUGGAGCCUUACUUGGAAGAGAUUGGAUCCACCAAAGUCUUGCUGUACCCUCCACCCUACAUCAACAAGUGGCUGUGUAUCAUGAGGCAAGCGCAGAAGGGCCAGACUUUUGGGAGAUGGUAGAGGCCGAAUCACGGCCAUUUCUUCCCACAACCAAUAUAGCGGAAGCAAGUUUCUACAAUCCCAACAUAGGAAUCUUGAAGUGUUUGGGAGCAGAUGAGAACGGCCGCCCUACCAAGGUGACGGCCCAAAAGCUCCUAGAACAAGGGAUGCUCCUUACUAGAGAGGAGUGGGACAGACCUUAUAUCAUCCAAACACCCCUACACCAUCAAUGAUAGAACAAAAAAGGAAAGAUCAGGUAAUGGCAGUCAGAUCCUUGAUUAAACGACUGUUGGUGUAUGGGAAAGGAAGAAGACAAGAAAAUGAGCUCUUAGACAGAGAAGAGCAAGAAUGGCAGGUGGGAGCUAUAACCAGCCAGGAUGAAAGCAACGAGGAAUCUUGUCAAGAAGAAUUGGAAAGGGCUAUUCAAAUGGCCGAGUGUAUAUAUGACCUAGAUGAGCCAGAUGACUUGCCCGAGAGCCUGGAGCUAGUCGAAUUUUUGUGUGCAGAACCUGAUAAGCCACCACCGGAGGUCCAAGAUCCUUUCGAAGUUAUUGAGCUAGGAACAAAGGAUGACCCAAGACCAAUACAAAUCAAUGGUUUAUUGGAGAGUGAGGAUCGGGCACAAAUUAUCUGUCUCUUGCAAGAAUUCAGAGAUUGUUUUGCUUGGCAUUACACUGAGAUGCCGGGUUUAGAUGCAACCUUGGUGGAACACAGAGUGCCCAUCAAGGAAGGAUAUAAGCCGGUUAAGCAAGCACCACGAAGGAUGUCGAAGGAGAUAGAAGAGAAGGUCAAAUAAGAGAUUGAGAGGCUCGUAAAAGCUGGAUUUAUCAGGCCAGCCAAAUAUGUGGAGUGGUUAGCCAACAUUGUACCCAUUUUAAAAGCCGUAACAAAAGCGGUACGAUGUUGUGUUGACUACAGGAAUAUUAAUGGUGCUACACUUAAAGAUGAGUAUCCCAUGCCCAUGGCAGAUCUAUCCAUAGAUGCAGUGGCAAAACACAAAGUCUUAUCUUUUAUGGAUGGAAAUGCAGGUAUAAUCAGAUAAAGAUGGCCUCGGAGGAUAUACAUAAAACAGCUUUUAGGUGCCCUGGGCAUGUGGGGGCAUAUGAAUAUCUGGUCAUGCCCUUUGGGCUCAAGAAUGCUGGUGCAACCUACCAAAGGGCGAUGAAUGCCAUCUUUCAUGAUCUGAUUGGCCAUAAUAUGGAGGUGUAUAUUGAUGACAUCGUGGUGAAAUCCAAGACGGAAGAACAGCAUCUGAUAGACCUCAGGCAGGCAUUAACAAGAAUAAGGAUCCACAAAUUGAAGAUGAAUCCAAAGAAGUGUGCGUUUGGAGUGAAAGCGGGCAAUUUCUUGGGAUUCCUGGUUCAUCAAAGAGGGGUAGAAGUGGACAAAAAUAAAGCUUGGGCAAUAAUGGAGUCGCCUUCACCACCAACAAAGUGCAACUUCAGAGGUUGCCGGGCAAAAUUAAUUUCUUAAGAAGAUUCAUUGCCAAUCUAGCAGGCAAGAUCCAGCCGCUAACUUCUUUGUUAAGAUUGAAGGAUAAGGAGAAUUUUGAGUAGGGACCACCGCACCAAGAGGCUUUCGAUGGUAUCAAAGCUUAUUUGACUUCCUCGCUAGUAUUGAUACCACCUCAGAGGGGAAAACCCUUAAAGCUAUAUAUCUCCGCUUCAGAUAAAUCAAUUGGGAGUUUGCUGGCUCAGAAUAAUGAAGGCGGGAAAGAGCAAGCAGUGUACUACCUCAGUAGAAUUCUGACCGAGGUAGAAACAAGGUAUUCCCCAGUAGAGAGAUUGUGCUUAGCUCUGUAUUUUACUGCCAAUAAGCUGAGGCAUUCAUGUUACCUUGUCACGUGCACAUCAGCGCCAAGACAGAUGUGAUAAAGUACAUGUUGUCAAAGCCAAUGUUAACAGGAAGGAUUGGGAAGUGGAUUCUAGCAUUAUCAGAAUUCAGCUUCCAGUAUGUCCCCGAAAGGGCAAUAAAAGGCCAAGCAAUUGCUGACUUCUUGGCAGAGCAUCAAGAAUCUCGAGAUGAGAUAAUCAAUAUACCGGGAACCCUGGAAGUUACUAAUGUUUGGAUCCCGCCAGGCAAAGGGAUCUUAGGCAAAGAGGAGUGGAUCCAGCAGGAGAUAAGAAGAGUGGCUGGUUUAUGGAUUACUCCUUGGAAGCUGUAUUUCGAUGGUUCUUAUACUCAGAAGGCUUCAGGAGCUGGGAUUGUGAUUAUCAACCCUCAAGGGAUUUAUCAUUAUUACUCAUUUCUCUUGGAUUAUCAAGGGAAUACCAACAAUUGGGCAGAGUAUGAGGCCUUAAUAAUUGGUUUGGAAAUCUUGAUAGAUCUGGGGGUAAUGGAAGUUGAGGUGUUUGGUGAUUCAGAAUUGGUAAUAAACCAGCUAAAUGGGGAGUUCAAGUGCAGACAUAUCACCACGGCCGGAUACUAUUUGGCGGCCACACAAUUGUUGAGUUAUUGGGAUUCUGAUAUAUCGGUGAGUCAUGUUCCCAGGGGAGCCAACCUAGCAGCUAAUGAGAUGGCGUAAUUGGCCUCAGGCAUGCCAAUACAGAAAAGAAGAUAUAGGUUGGAUGUCGAGAUUCAAAGGAGAAAUCUUCUUUUUAUCCUGGAAAGGGGAUUCAGCCUGGAUGUAAUGGUUCAGGAAACUGAGAUAGAAGAUUGGAGAUCGCCCAUCAUCCAUCAUUUGAAAGAUCCCUCUUCACCCACCAGCAAAAAGAAUAGACAGCAAGUAACUAAGUAUGUCUUAUGGGCAAAAGACCUACUAAGGAAGACUCCAGACGGGUUAUUAUUGAAAUGCUUAGGCCAAGAGGAGUCCAUGAGAAUGAUGGCCGAAGUACAUGAAGGAGUAUGUGGAGCACAUCAGGCGGGGACAAAGAUGAGGUGGUUACUUAGGCGAUAUGGUUAUUUUUAGCCCGACAUGGAAAAAGAUUGUAAGUCCUAUGCCCGAGGGUGUGAGGAAUGUCAAAGGCACGGUCAUCUCCAACAUGUACCCUCUAUGCCUUUAAAUCCAAUAUUGAAGCCCUGGCCCUUCAGAGGACGGCAAUGGACUUCAUCGGGCAGAUUUACCCGGCUUCUAGCAAGGGGCACACUUUUAUCAUUGUAGCAACGGAUUACUUUACAAAUGGGUGGAGGCCUCGGCGAUAAAAACCAUAACCUCAGCUGCGAUCAAAAAUUUUAUUGAGACCAAGAUUCUGCAUAGAUUUGGGGUGCCCGAAACCAUCGUGACAGAUUGAGGGCCAUCUUUUAUUUCAAAAGAAGUUGAAGAAUUUGCAAGCAAAUACAAAAUAAAGAUGAUCUGGUCCAGUCCUUACUACCCGCAAUCAAAUGGCCAGGCAGAAUCAAGCAACAAGAUUUUGGUAAACAUUAUCAAAAGAAUGGUGAUAGAUAGUCCGGAAAAAUGGCAUGAAAAGCUGGGGAAUACUUUGUGGGCAUACAGAACUUCCAAGAGGGCAGGUACAUGGACAACUCCUUAUGCUCUAACCUUUGGGCAAGAUGCAGUGCUUCCCAUGCAGAUCAAUGUGAGUUCUGUCAGAAUUCAAAAUCAGUUUGGGUUACACAGCGAAGAAUACAUCGAAGCCAUGUGUCAAGGGAUUGAAGACUUAGAUGUAGCCCGAAUUGAAGCUCUGAACCAGAUUCAGGAAGGAAAGAGAGUUGUUGCCCGAGUGUAUAACAAAAGGGUGAAAGCAAAAUCUUACAAGGAAGGAGAUUUGGUGUGGAAGACAGUUCUUCCUCUAGGAGCUCAGCUUAGGGGCUUUGGAAAGUGGAGCCCGACGUGGGAAGGUCCUUUCAUAUUUAGUCAAGUAUUAGAUAAAGGGGGAUAUUACUUGGCGGACCUCGAAGGGAAUUGGCAGAAACAUCCCAUUAAUGUUAAAUUCUUAAAAAGGUAUUGUCCUACAUUAUGGGAUGUUAGGGAUUGUUACAUCGAAGAGGAUGCAAAGUAAAGCAGGUUUCGGGAUGCUAAAGUAUAGUGUAUAUUCAUCAAUCAUUCAAGAAGACAGAAAGACACAAGAUUGUUAAGAUAUUGUUUAUUUCAUUUUCGACAAACUGGUGAAGUUUACAACAAAUUCAAUUCAAUCCCCGAUGUACUACGUACGACUCUUUCCAGGUGCAAUGACGUCUCAACUGGUUUUCUGGUAUCUUCAUGGGUAGAAUCCGGUCAGGUGAUCAGGUUGUACGGCCAAGACGCGCCUGGUAGAGGAUCCUCAGGCAGAGUCAUCACCAUAUACGAUGGUGAAGCCUGACUUAUCAUGGCGACGAGCGGGAAGGUAAGUCUUCAUGGGAGCAUCACCUGACCAAGGGUAUUGGAGAUAGCGGGGUGCCUGACCAAGGGUGUUGGGGAUAUUGGUUAUUUGAUGAAAACUCUUUUUCUCACGAAAAUGGAGUUUUAGGAAACCCCAUUUGAAUCUUGAAGAGCUCAUUUCUCAGUCUUGGGGAGAAAAACUAAGAAGGCAAAAAUACUCAGGGUUAAUUGAAGCGAAGGUUGAAGGAAUUUGGUUGACUGAGCAAAAGGCAAAAUCAAACCUGAAUUUAUAGAAACCUAGAGGGUAACCCAAAGGUCGUGAGAAGAGCAAGAGAUGCAUGGUCGUAGGCCUCCUGUCCAGAAAAACACAAGUUUUAAGAGCGGGUAUACAAGCAUGCGGAUAUUCAAUCAAUAUUGGCGCCAGGAAUUCCAGUCUGAAUAUUGAUUGAAGGGGGCACUGUUUGGGCUUAAACUUAAACUUUGGGCUUAGAAAGGAGUUGGCCCAAAAAGAGAAGGAAAAGCCCAAAGCUCAGCCCAGACCUAGAAAGCAGAAAGGGCCUUUCCCGACUAGGUGCAGAUCAUUUGCACCACUUGCUCACCUACCCAAGGGCCAAGUGGUAUAGACCAGCCAGCUAAUCAGCCCAAAAGUACUUUAUGAUGGCAGUACAAGUAAAUAGCUGAUGAGUCACUAUCCUUCAAACUGCAUUCUGGCAAGAUUAUUGCUACAAGAGGCCAAGCUAAGGUGGCUAUAAAAGGAGAAAGAGAAGUCAGAAUCAAGGACACUCAAACAAACAAACAAAAGCACAAACUCUGCUCAAAGUCAGAUUUGCCUUCAAAAUGAAGCUAUAGUCAGCCCAAGCCUUCAUCCCUUUCGGGACAAACACUUUGUAAUAGCUCUGCUACCCUGUUUAACGCCUGCUGUAGUAUCGAUUUUCUUUCUGCAAACUCACCUCCCAACCCUUUUUCUAGGCUUUCAAACCUUCUAUUAACCCACAAAGAUAGGAAGUUGCAAGACGAUCAGCCUUGCCCGACCUUCUUUGUUUUUGUCUUUUCAUUCAUUAGCCUAGCAAUAUGUUGUAUACUUCAAGUUGUAUCCAAGUUAUUUCUAGUAAUAUGGCUAUGAAAAGACUCUUUCAGCGCUUGAAUCCGAUUUGAAUAUGUCUUCACAGUUCGAGUCAGAUCUAAGUUCUAAGCCGUCGGGCAUAUAAGAUUUGAUCACCCUAAAAAGUCCUUGGCCUCAAGGCAUAAAAAAGAACCUGAUGUGGAUAUAACCCAUCCACGACAAGCUUUGAUAAACAAGAAGUCCGAAGUUACUUGGGGCGCAAGUAAUCGACCUGCAACUUAGUUUUAUUUCUGUUAUAUUAUGAUGACCAUAUAACGUUCGAGUACGGGAUGAAUUCUGAUGGGAAGCCUCAAGGCCUAUUCAAGGCCCCACAAAGGCACUUAUUUGGAUUCAUCCUAUUUCUCGGGCAAGAACAUCGAGUAUGAGAUGAAUUCUGAUGGGAAGCCUCAAGGCCUAUUCAAGGCCCCAAAAAGGCACCUAUUUGGAUUCAUCCUAUUUCUCGGGCAAGAACAUUGAGUACAGAAGGGGUUCUGAUGGGAAGCCUCAAGGCCUAUUCAAGGCCCCACAAAGGCACCUAUUUGGAUUCAUUCUACUCUUUGAACUCAGGUAAUCAGAAGUAUGAUGGUUAUAAGACUCAUAUAACCAAUAAAAGGAACCUUAUGUGUUUGACUACUAAGUUAGUUAUUUAUGGGAAGCCUCAAGGCCUACACCUAAGGCCCCACAAAGGCACCUGUCAAUAACUAAUAUAGUCUCUCGAAUAUAUAUAAUUAAAACUCAAACAUCCGUUCUACAUCUGCCAUGCUGAAGAUGGUAGUGGCACACCUGAGCAAUUCAAAGUUAAUCUUGAUCGUGAGCCUCAAGGCCUACACCUAAGGCCUCACAAAGGCACCUUUCAAAGUUAACUCUGUCCUUCUCUUUCAGCUUUGCCCGACAAGCCUUGCUCGACAGGCUUUGCCCGACAAGCCCGCCAGUAAAACAGAAGCCCGACAGAAAGCAUCAACCGGCGCCAACCUCUCGAGGAGCUGUGUGCUCGUCGGCCAGGAAGCAUUCCCCACGGAAAUUCCCGCCACGAACAGCUAGUUUGUUCAUUUUAUGUUUCAAUAAAUGUCUCGAGGCUCAUUACUUCAAACUUUUGAGGUUUUGUGGUUUUGGAUGACAAAUUAGGUAGUAAGUUAGAUUCCAUUGAUGCGUUCAAAAUUGUUUCUCUAUUUUAAAGUUUUAGUUAUGAAUUGGUCUUUUUGAUAAGUAAUUAAUGUGUUGCUCUCUUCGGUUAUUAAUAUUUGGAUCUUUUGAAAAGUGGGAGCAAGAUUGUUGGUUGAGUAAAUCAUAUCAGUUUGAAUCAUGAGUUAUAAUUGCAGAUUGGAUACAUGUGAACUUUGAAUCAAUACUACAUUUUGUUUGUUGUUCAUGAUUCCUAGUUUCUGUAUUUUGAAAUGUAAUGGUGCAUUGAUCAUGAUUUGGGUUCUUGAAUAAGGUUAAGUGAUCACUCCUUAUACUUGGUGGAGCAAUGUUUGAAAUUGAUCUCAUGCUCAAGUGGGAGAACGUAAAAGUAUGGACAUGAGAUUGGAUACUUUUGGCAUUGUCUGCUGGAAUUCAAUUUAGACUUGGCAAGCUAAGGGUUCAGUGAUUGCUUUGAAACUGAUAUGUGAUGGAAACACACAAGUUGUUUUCAAUAUGGAUUAUAAUAGGGAGUCCUCAUUGUGGUUUUAAUGUUUAUAAGUACACCACUACGGAGCAAACAACCACAAGAACAAUGAAGACGUGCGAAGCGAAGUACUCCUCAUGGCAAUUAGCGGUGGGUUUAUUGAGAAUACAAAGUCUUAUUUUAUACUAGUUUGUUGUAGGCUAGUUUCCUAUCCUAACAAACGAAUAGGCCAGGAAAAUUUUAAGUCAAAGCUUUUCAAGCCAGGAUAGGAAUAUAGCUUUAAUCCUAAAGAGAAAGGGAGAAAAAAAAAGGCUAGUUGUUAUAAACUUUGUAUUUAAGUGUGAUUGUGUAAAUCUUAUAAUAGAUUUGAUACUAGUUAUUCUUCUCUAUUAGGACUUGUAGUCCUUGGAGGAGAAUGAUUCCUUAUUACUAUAAAUAAAGGCACCGUGUAGGGGAAUAAUGCAUUCUCUACACAAUCCUACAAACACAUACCUCUCCUUAUUUUCUCCCUCUGCCGUGCCCCUUAUCUCCCUUGUCAGAUUAAAAUAAGCCACAACACAUUAUCAACACACUCCUACUACCGUGCUUAAGAAUUUGAUGUGGAAGUUUUCUACAUCAAACCAAUUCAUCAAUAUCAUCACGCAAUCAGGUUCUUCGAAUCCAAAUCCAAACCUGUUCAUCAAUUAUGGAUAUUUUUGUAGCCCUGAUAGCAUGAACAUUCACCAUAAUGUGUAAUAUCCCGAAAAUCUUAGGUGGUGAUUAAGAGUGGGUUACUUGUGACCAUUGUUAGAAAAAUAAAUUUGCAUUAUUUGAGGCUUGUAUAAAUUGCCCUUUAGUCCAUUAAAUGAUCUUUUACUAUUGAGACUAACCCUUGGAUAGAAAAGAGAGAAAAAAGAGAAAAAAAAAAAAAGAAAAAAAAAGAUGCUUGCGUUAUUAAGUAUGGAGAAAAAGGGAAGGGGCUUUCUACAAACCCUCUUUCUUGCUGCUAUCUUCUCCAACCGAGAGUGAGAGGACCUUUUUAGUUCUUUUGGUUGCCAAAUUCUCAAGGAAGAAGAAUUUAAUAUCCGGUUGUCAUGCUUGUGAAGAUUAGGACAAGUGAGGAUCCUCCUUUGUCUCCAUUAGAGGUAUCUAUUUCUUACUUUUGAAAUCUAAUUGUUAUUUGGUUUGUUAACCCAUGAUUAAGAUUGGGUGGGAGUAGGGAAAUUUAAAGUAUCUUAUUUCAUGUUAGUUUUAAAGUUGAGUACCAAGUGUUUGGUUAAAGGCCCCAAUUAACCUAGAAUUAGGGUUUGUCGUUUGGCCUUUUGUACAAGCAUAGUGUAAUUUUGUCUUACUUAUAGGUAAGGAAGAGAAGGACAAGAUGACUACUGAGCAAGUCGAUGAACACCAUUGGAGUUGAAUAUCAACAAAUCUUGUUGAGGUAGGGGAAUUUCAACCAUAAAAAUAUUUAGAUUUUCCAUUCUUACUUGAUAAAGAAUUGUUGGCAUUUGAGCACUAUUUCCACCUUACUUUAAAUGUUUAGAAAAAGUGAAGCAAAUGUUUCUCUAUGGUUUGGUUUCUAAUGAUUUUAAUUUUCUUCCUACAACUUUGGUGAGUUUAAAGUAAUUUCGAAGACCUGUCAAGAUUUCGUUUUUAACGUGCAUGCCUUUUAUGUUACUCAUUAUGAGAUUUUGAAGUAUGUUGAGAUGAAUGUUUGAUUUUGAAAGUAGAUGGAAAGUAGUAUAAUACCUGGGCAAUGAAAACCAUGUAUUUAUGAUCACUUGUUUUUUUUUUUUUUGCUUGUAUAAAUUGCACUCAUGUGCACUUUCAUCAAAUGACAUGAACAUGUGUUUUCUUGUAUGCAAGAAGCCUUGAAGUUCUUUUGUGAACUCUUUAUGAUCUGGUGACUUGAUGCUACUGAAAUUUGGUUUUUUUAUAUAUAUUUUUAGUGAAACGGCAACAUGCCUGUUUUAGAUUUAAAUUUUUCUAAACUUCCCGAACUUGAAAAUCCUUGAAAUUUUAACAUAACUUCGUUUUAGGUGUCUACUUUGAAUCUGGGAAUUUUCAUACUUUUUGGUUAAGCGAGUUAUUUUCGGUGAAUUUUACGGUACAGGUCAUUUCUGCAAUUUGUAUUACCACAAUAAGUCUUUAACUUUAUUUCUUUGAGUUACCUUUGUAGUUGGUGUAAUUUAAUUGUUGAGUUUAAAUUUUCAUUGACUAAAUCUUAAGCUAAUAUUUGUUUUACACCCUUAAAGAACCACUUGUUCUAUUUAUUUCUCUUAACCUCACACCUCAAGUUGUGGGGUGUGACAUAAUGGAUGACCCAACUUUACGUUUUUCGAAUUUUAGAUUUUACAUAAAUUAUGUAUGCAUUGUAUCUAUAAUUGUUGAAUUAUGUGAAUGGAUAUUACCUUGAAUUGGAUCAUAUAUAUGUCCAUGCAUUGAAUUAUAUAUUGAAUAUACAAGAAAUUAUAUUGAAUUAUAAUUUGGAAAUCAAGAAAAAAUUGAAAAACAAUUCUAGGGUUUGUCGAACCCAAACCUGAGCUUAUGUGAGCCUUUUGAGCCACGAUAAACUAGAGCAAAACUUGCAAUGCUCCAUCUGAGAAGACAACGCCAUUUUUGGCAUCAAACUCACGACCCAGUGUCGCCUGCAAUCAGCCAUGACCUCUAUGCCGUCUUCCCUGGGAAAUCACAACCUGUAAUCCUAUUUUUGGGACCCAACCAUAGUCGGUAAUAAUGGGUUUCUUGAAUAAUCCGACGAACAUAGUUGAAUUUUCGAAGGAUUCUUUAAAUCCUCACAGCUUCUCAGACCCCCAGACGUCAAAACUUAGUUUUCCGUCCAAAAUUAGGGUUACAGUCGGACCCCUGUGCUUCGUCGUGCCGUGACCGACUAAGGGAAGUCGCCUAAAGCGGAGCCGAAGAUUUUUCCAAUUUGAAUCCCACACCUAGCGCCACUGGGUUGUUCUGGGUUUCUAGACUCGAGCUCUAGUGGGCCUCUGACCUUUUGUCCUGCUUUACAUAAACUCAAAUAACCCAUUAUACUGAAUUGGACUGUCAGCCUGCAAACGACACCAGCCUGUAAGUCUAUGGUGUCCUUGCACCCGUAUUACACAGAAUCCCAGCCCAUGCAUUGGUCCAUUCGUGUCCUCGCCCGCACCCGCACCUGAUCCUAGCCCGUACCCAAUCCCAACCCGCAACUAGAGUACUGGUGCACCACACAGUGUAGCACCAAAUGAAAGCCCAUGUGGGCCUUUAUUUUGGGUCUAGUUCUGCACCCUAUCCUUUGACCUUAGGCCAUCAACCCUAGGCUUGCUACUUGAGCUUACUCUAGCCUAAUUUUGCCCUGGACCAUGUGACAUAUAUUUUCUAAGCCCACAUGUGGGCUUUGGUCCAUGUUUUUGGGCCCCGAGCUUAAUUGUUUAUUCUUUUUAGAUAAUUAAGGUUUUAUAAUUUUUCACCCACACUUUAAUUUUGGCCCUAAGUCCAAAUAAUUAACUCAAUUAUAAUUCUAGACCUAAAGAUCUAUUUACAUAUAUGUGUAUAGAUAUUUGUGUUUGUCUACAAGAACAUAUGAACCUCAAGUUCAUAAUUCUUUCGAAACCCGAAAUUUCUAGAAACAUGCCUUGUUUGAAAACCUGAAGUUUUCAUUACAAACAUUACCCAUGAAAACCUGAAGUUUUUUUCAUGUAAAUUUAAACCAAUAAAUGUCUAUUAGAACCUGAAUGGUCUACUCCUAUGUGAAUGGAUGAAUUUUUUUCUAUUACACUAACCACAUUCUUGUCCAUUUAUUUUGGCAUAAGAACAUGUCAAAUUUGAAUAAAGUCGACUUCACCACUUUAGAGGUCUCUGGAAGAAGCUACCUCAAGUGGGUCCAAGAUGUAAAGCUCCACCUCACCGUAAAGAAUUUGCUUUCCACCAUUAAAGAUGAGAUAGACAACUUGGUUGGUGAAGCUGAAAAAGCCACUACCAUGAUCUUCAUCCGAAGACACAGUCAUGAUGGAUUGUAAACCGAGUAACUUGCCGUAGAAAAUCCACUAGCACUUUGGGUCCCUUUGGCUGAUCACUUUGAUCUCCAAAAGGAUAUCUUCUUGACUGAAGCAAGACAUGACUUGCAGCAUCUGCACAUCCAAGACUUUAAGUCUUGAAUAUAAUUCUGAAGUUUGUCGAAUCUGAACACUUCUAAAGUUUUGUAACGAGAACUUGACUGAAGAUGAUCUCUUGGAGAAUACCUAUUCGACCUUACCUGCUACCAAUAUUGUCCUACAACAACAAUAUAAGGCUCAAAAGUUCACUAAGUUUUCGAAUUUAACCUCUACGUUACUUCUCAUUGAAAAGCAGAAUCAGUUGUUGAUGAAAAAUCAAUAAGCUCGACCUACUGGGGCAACUGUUGUGCCUAAAGCACACUACACCACAAACCAAUGCCCCAAACACCAACAUAGGCAUGGUAGGGGGGACUAGAAGCCACCCCGUCAAGGUCAACAAAGCCAAGGCCCAUCUAAGGGAAGAAGAUGAGCCUAGAAGUGCUCUAACCUCGCUCCUAAGGCCCCAAACUUCAAGAAUAAAGGCAAACCACCUAACACCAUGGAUGCAAACAUGUGCUACCAUUGUGGUUCAAAUGACCAUUGGUCUCAUAUUUUCCGUGCUCCCUAAAAGUUGUAGCUAAAGAUCAUACUCAUUGUAAGAAGUUUGAAUCAAACUUUUUACAAGUGGAUGAACCAGAGAGUACCAAAAUGGAGGUUUCUGACUUUCACGAGGCUAUUACCCCUAUGGAAGAUUAGAAUCUUAGACAUGAACGAUUUUUAGUUCAUUUGAGAACCUUGGGGGCUGAAUUCCACCUAAUGGCCAAAGCUUCCCUUGUUUUAUUGUUUAAGUUUGAACAACGUUUCCUUUAGGUUUGCAUUAUUUGUUGGUGAUUUCAUUUUGGAUAUUAAGUUUUUAAAUACCAACCUUGAAUACUUAAAUUAUUCUGAAUGGAUAUUUGUUUUUAGAACUUUUAUGCAUGUGAUCGAUUCAAAUUAAUUUUUAUUUCUUGGUAUGAAUAGUGGGAAAGUUAGUUGUCUGGCAGAUAGUGUAACCACACACACCAUUUUGCGUGAACACAUCUAUUUCACUAACUUCGUACCUAAGAAUGCACCUCUGACAAACCUUUCAGGCCCAUCCAACCUAGUCGAAGGAUACGGUAAAGCACGUACAAUGUUAUCCAUUGGUACAAUCUUGACCAUUGAUGAGGCACUUUAUUCUCCACGUUCCGGAAGAACGUUGUUGAGUUUCAAGGGCAUUAGAGAUAAUAAAUACCAUGUUGAAACCUAUGUAGAAAAUGAAAUUGAAUUUAUGUGCAUCAUUUCCUACGAAUAUAUCCAAAAGCCUAUUCUAGAGAAGAUGGUGCUUAUCCCGAGUGGCCUGUAUACUACAACCAUACACCUUGUGGAGAACCACUAUGUGGCUGGUCCUACCUCAGGGACCACGCACAAAAUUACACUUUGGCAUGAUCAUCUGGGACACCCUUGACAAAUAGCAAUGCGUUGUUUCCCCAAAUCAUUAUACGGGCAUCCACUAACCCGAAGUUUAGGUUCGAUUCAAGGAAUCGCAUGUCAAACUUGCUCCAUGGGAAAGCUUAUUAUUAAAUCUUCUUAUGACAAGAUUCAUUCAAAUCUUCCUACUUUUCUACAAAAGAUUCAAUGGAAAUUCAUGGACCGAUUCACCCUCUUUGUAGACCAUUUAGAUAUUUUAUUGUAUUGGUUGACGCUUCCACAUGUUGGUCACACAUGUGCUUAUUGUCCAUAAGGAACGCUGCAUUCUCCAAAAUGUUGGCUCAAGUUAUCAAGCUCAAGGUUCACCACCUUGAUUAUCAGAUCAUAUUUAUUCGAUUGGAUAAUGUUGGAAAAUUAUUCACAUCUAAAAUUUUUUAUGACGGUUGGGGUUAAAGUUGAACAUCACGUACCCAUGUUCGCACCCAGAACGGCCUGGCAGAGGCAUUAAUUAAGUGCUUACAAAUGAUUGGUCGAUCGUUGGACAUAUGUAUCGAGCUCUCGAUCGCUGCUUGGGGUCAUGCAAUAUUGCAUGUAGCCACGUUGAUCCGCCAGAGGCAUGUUGCAACCUAACCAUAUAGCGCCCUUUAGUUGGUUACUGGAUACAAACUCGACAUAUCACAUCUGCAAGUUUUUAAUUGUGCGAUGUAUGUGCCAAUUUCGCCGCCCUUACUUACAAAAAUGGGGCUUUAACAAAGGAUAUGUUGGAUAUGAUUCUCCUUCAAUUAUUUGUUACUUAGAACCCUUGAUAGACGAUCGAUUUAUUGCUCAUUUCAUGGAUUAUCACUUUUAUGAGAUCGUCUUCCCGUCGUUAGGGGGCGAUAAUAACGUCACUGUUCUUGACGAAUGAUACUAAUUAUCGUGAACGACUCCCACUUUGUCUUAUUUAGUUCCCUGCACUUCUCAGUCUGAAACUGAAGUGCAUGGCAUACUAGAUCUCCAUAGUGUAGCUCAAAGCCUGCCAGAUGGUUUCACAGAUUUAGCGCGAGUGACAAGAUCAUAUAUUCCAGCUGCGAAUGUGCCUACAAAGAUGAAUGUACCAAAUGCACGACAAACUUCCCUCCUGGAGACCCAAGACUCCAAUUGGGUUGAUCCACGUACAUUAGCAACUAGCCAAUCCUCUGCCCCUACACAAAAGCGUGGCAGACUACUUGGUUCAAAGGAUUCACACCCCAAGAAAAGCAAACCCACGGUACAGGCCUCUGUCAAGCCUACAAUGAAUUCGACUGUUGCCUACUCAUUCUAUUCAACUCAUGGGAAAAUUAUAGAUUACUGAAGUGUCAUUGAAGAGACGAAUUGACCUCCUGAGAAUCGUGAGAUAUUGGUCCAUUAUGCUAGAUUGGAUGAUGUUUGGUGAAAAAAUGAGAUGAUCAUUAAUGAUGCAUUAGCAUAUGCAAUAGCUGCUAAGAUCAUGUUGAGCAAUGACAUUAAACCCCAUUUUGUUAAUGAAUGUUGACUUUGAACUAAUUGGUCAAGUUGGAAACAUGCAAUCCAAGUCGAACUUGAUUCACAAUGCGAAAUGUAAGGUGUUUAGACCUUUAGCUCCUACUUCUCCACAUGUGAAACCCGUUGGCUACAAGUAGAUUUUCGUUCGGAAGCAUAAUGAGAAGAUUGCAAUUGUGCGUUACAAACUCGUCUUGUUGCACAAGGCUUCACACAACACCCCAGGAUUGACUAACAAAACUUAUUCAUCCGCUAUGGAUGUGAUUAUUUUUCGCUACAUCAUCAGUUUGGUUGUUUUUCGAAAAAUUGAGCAUGUAACUGAUGGACGUAGUUACUGGGUAUCUCUAUAUUGAUCUUGAUACGAAAAUUUAUAUCAAAGUUCCCGAAUGACUUACAUUGAUUGGAUCAAAUAUUUUAAAACCCCGGACUUACAUUGAUUGGAUCAAAUAUUUUAAAACCCCGAACCACUCUCUUAAUUUGGCUAAGGCGUUCACUUUACGGUUUUAAGCAAUUUGAAAGAAUGUGGUAUAACCGUCUAAGUGAGUAUUUGACUAUCAGGGAUAUGUGAACAACGAACUAUGCCAUUGCAUGUUCAUUAAGAAGUCACAUUUCGGUUUUACGAGUGUUGCAGUUUAUGUCGACGACAUGAAUCUCAUCGGAACUCCUAAAGAGCUUAAGAGAACUGUCACACACCUUAAGUUAGAAUUUGAGAUGAAAGAUCUAGGAAAUAUUCGAUAAUGUCUCGGUCUUGAGAUAGAGCACCAUUCAGAUGGAAUCUUAGUACAUCAAUCAACAACACCCGGGUGUUAUGCCGCUUUAACGAGGAUAAAUUGAUGCCUUCGAGUACUCUUUUGGAACCCAAAGUUCCUUAUCCAAGUGCAGUAGGUGCUUUAUUAUACUUAGCUCAAUGCACUAGACCCGACAUCUCCUUCGUUGUUAAUGUUUGACGAAAUACAGUAAUGCACCGACGUGAUGACACUGGACUGGUGUUAAAGACAUUUUAUGUUACCUUAAGGGUAAUAUGGAUCUCAGCCUAUUCUAUCCCUAUAGAUCCUCGAGUGAUGCCGCACCCCCUUACCACGAGUCAAUUCCAGCCGUGUUCAUUAUGGUGACGCAUGAUACUUAUAUGAUCCGCACAAGGCACGCUCUCAAAUAGGUUACGUCUUUACCAUUGAAGGCACCACAAUAUCUUGUAGGGAAACUAAACAAACCUUAGUUGCCACUUUGUCUAACCAUGCUGAAAUUCUCACCUUACACAAAGCAACUAAGGAAUGCUUCUAGCUGAGAGCAAUUGUGGGCCAUAUUUGAAGCUCAUGCGAUCUUUACACUGUUGUUGACAUCUCGACAUCGAUCUAUGAAGAUAACGUAGCAUGUAUUGAACAACUCAACAAGGGUUACAUCAAAGGAGACAACACCAAGCACAUUGCGCUAAAGUUCUUCUUUUCAUGUCAACAACAAGAACAUCAAAAGAUUAAAGUCAUGCAAUCCGUUCACAAGAUAAUAUGGUCGAUCUCUUCACCAAAUCACUACUGAAGGUGACGUUUCAGGAGCUUGUUCAAGGAAUAGGUAUGCGUAAGUUGUAACAUUGUUAGUUCUUUUUGAAAUUAUGUGAAACUCAACGGAAGUAUCCUGAGUAUACCUGCUUAAUCUUAAUGUACUCUUUUUCUCUAUGAUUAAGAGCAUUUUUUUUCCUUUUGGUUUUUGCUGCCUAACAAGGUUUUGAUGAGGCACCCACCUUGGAUUGAUAAUAUCCCUGAUAACGUCCUAUAAACAUUUCAUUUGACUUUGCAUUUCUCACACAUUUUUCCUUAGACUAAGGGUUUUGUCCUUAAUUGGGUUUUACCAUAGCCAUUGGUUUUUUUGUGAGACUUAGUUCCAUUUGCAAGUUCUUACUUUACUUUGGGUCUAGCGUGUUUCCAGAAUUAGUGUCGACAAGUCGACUUCCUUAAGUCUAUAUGAUGCCAAAUCUACUUAAGUAUUGAUGAAGCAAUGAUGGCUAGUUCAUUUAUGGAUCAUUGAGAUAAAUUGAAUGCUUAACAAUAUUAAGUAAAACUUAAUAAACUUAAAAUCUAUAAUAGCUUGGGGCGUUUUUUUGGCUGCUCAUAACUGCCAGGACUUUUGAAUUCUAAAUGUAAGUUACAAAUUAGUGAUAAAACCCACUUCUUGCUAGAAGGUUGGUGAGUUGAACAUUGUUAUUGAUGAUUGAAAUAUUCAGAGAAGUUUCUCAAUUUGUGCCUUUCUCUUUGUGAGAUUUUUUUUUUGUUCUUCUAGUUGUCUGUGUUAUAGGCUGGUACUAGAGACGGGGCUUUAGGGUUUUCAGGUCUCUCCUCACACUAGGAGAUAGUGGACCCUAUCUAUUAGUUUUCUUUCUUCAUUUUAUUUUUAUUUUUUCUAGCUGCUGCACCCUGCAUCAAUUGGUUAUCAGAGCUCAGUUUACGUUCUUCAGGAUGUUUCCAAGGCGAAAUGUUCAUUCCCAAGGAGAUGAAAUGGAAUAAAUCAAGCAAUCUUUGGCUCGACAUGACAAUCAGUUUGCAGAAAUGAUGCAUACGAUGGAGGAAAUCAGACUUCGACUUCCUGAUAAUCUGCCACCAAAUCGUUGAGAAAGACAAAAACAUUCCACCACCACCAGAGGGUUACGAGGAAGAUUAUGAAGAAGAACUUCGAAAUGUUAAUCCAUUUGCAGGUUUUAGGGCACGAAGGAGACCAUAUAUUCCCCACAGAGCAGCUGCUUAGGUGAUUCAAAAUAACAAUAAUCGCUGGGAUUCAGGGUUCAAAUUUGAAAUCCUCGAGUUUUAUGGUGGGAUGCAACGGAUGAUCUCUUAGAUUGGUUAACAACAGUAGAGGAUAUCUUUGAUUUCAGGUAGGUUCCAGAAGACAAAAAGGUGGGAUUGGUAGCCACUCGUUUACGAGGAAGAGCAUCAGCUUGGUGGCAACAAGUUAAGGCCUUCCAGAUUCAAAAGGGAAAUAAUGUUUGAAACAUGGGAAAAGAUGAAGAAAUACAUGUGUACUGAAUUUUUGCCUCACAAUUACGCUAGAUCUUUGUAUAUGCAGUUACAAAAUGUUUAGUAAGGCAAUAAGUCAGGAGUUCUUAUACAGAGGAAUUUUACAAUCUGCUUGCAUGAAAUGACUUGGAUGAGAUCGGUGACCAAUUGGUGGCACGUUACAUUGGUGGAUUGUGCCAAAUAUUUAGGAGACACUUAAUCUGUAUGAUCCUUAUAGUGUAUCUGAAGCAUAUCAAAAGGUUCUCUAAAUUGAGAAACAAACUAGUCGACGGAGUGCUUCUUCAUAGGGUUCUACAAUAACAGGCCCUCCAACAGCUUCCAAGCCUAUUGUCCCAGUACCUACUGCCCCAAAAGUCACUUUUAGUGCAAGCUUCAAUUCCAAGAAUGCUCUUACUUUUUGUGGAAGGUGUAAUAAGUGUGGUGAACUUGGUCACAAGUCCAGUGAAUGUCGAAAAUCUAAUCGUUCAGGUAAAAACUUAUUUGUGGAAAGCAAAGACACAAAUGAUGAUUUUCAUGAUUUCUCACAAGAAGCAAUAUAUGACGGUGAUGAAAAUAAAAACCUGGAAGAGAUAUUACAUGGGGACCAAUGGGAGGCUCUUCUAGUUAAAAGAGUUUGUUUUACUCCACACAAUGAGGAUGGUCAUUGGUUGCGUAGCAACAUUUUUCAUUCAACCUGCAUAAUUGGAGGGAAGGUUUGUAAGCUUAUUAUUAAUGGUGGGAGCUGUGAGAACGUAGUGGCAAAGGAGGCAGUGCAAAAGGUUAAGCUUGAAACAAAACCACAUCCAAAUCCUUAUUAGCUUUCUUGGUUAAAUCGUGGCAAUGAAGUAAAGGUUUCCAAACGUUGUCUGAUCCAUUUCUCUAUUACUAACAAGUAUAGAGACAAGGUUUGGUGUGAUGUGAUUAACAUGGAUGCUUGACAUCUUCUUUUAGGGAAACCAUGGCAAUAUGAUCGAAAUGUUUCCUAUGAUGCGCGGAACAAUACCUACAAUUUUUCGUGGGAUAAUAAGUGUAUUGUGCUUGCUCCUUCUAAGGAUUUUGAGCCGAAGCAAUCUGAUGAGGGUUCUAAUUUCCUUACUAAUCAUAAUUUCAUAACUGAAAUGAAGCAAAGUGAUGUGGUUUAUGUGCUGGUUGGCAAAGAGAAAGGGCAGAUUGAUAAUCCAGUUCCAGAAUUGGCUAAGCCAUUGUUAAAAGAAUUUGUAGAUGUGAUUCUGGAAGAUAUUCGAGAUGUUUUACCACUAUUGCGAACGAUUCAGCACCAAAUUGACUUGGUACCCAGAUCGAGCCUUCCAAACAAAGCACACUACCGGAUGAGCCCUACUGAACAUGAGGAGUUGACAUGAUAAGUGGAGGAGUUGCUCACAAAGGGUUUUAUUCGGGAAAGCUUAAGCCCUUCUGCGAUUCCUGCCUUGUUGAUGCCAAAGACUAAUAAGACAUAGAAGAUGUGCAUUGAUAGUCGAGUGAUCAACAAAAUCACAAUUACGUAUCGAUUUCUGAUGCCAAGAUUUGAUGAUCUUCUUGACCAAUUGUGCGGUGCCAUCGUAUUCAGUAAAAUUGAUUUGAAAAGUAGGUAUCAUCAGAUACGCAUUAGAGAGGGCAAUGAAUGGAAAACAGCUUUUAAGUCCUAAGAAUGCUUAUAUAAAUGGUUGGUCAUGCCAUUCGGGUUGACUAAUGCUCCGAGUACUUUCAUGCAAGUUAUGAAUCAGGUACUUCGGCUUUUUAUUGGAACUUAUGUGAUGGUAUAUUUUGAUGACAUUCUUGUCUACAGCACAUGUCAUGCCUUACAUGUUCAACACUUGCGGGAGGUGUUGUUUGCAUUGCGAAAGGAGAAAUUUUAUGCAAAUUCAAAGAAGUGUUCAUUUAUGACUGAUUACGUGCUGUUCCUUGCAUAUAUUGUAUCUAAAGAUGGAAUUUCUAUGGAUAAUAAAAAGGUUGAAGCGGUCACCAUAUGGCCUACACAACAAUCCAUACAUGAUGUAUGAAGUUUUCAUGGAUUUGCCUCAUUUUACAGGAGGUUUAUUCCACACUUUAGCAUAAUUAUGGCUCCAAUCACCGAUUAUAUGAAAGGUGGAAAGUUCUCUUGGAAUGGAGAAGCAGUAGUUGCCUUCAAUCAAAUCAAGAAAAAGUUGAGUUUGGCUUCAUUGCUCGUGUUACCUGACUUCUUAAAAGUUUUUGAGCUAUCUUGCAAUGCAUCCAAGAUUGGGAUUAGAGCUGUUCUAAGUCAAGAAGGGAUGCCUAUUGCUUAUUUCAGUGAAAAACUGAGUAGUUCAAGAUUCAAUUAUUCCACAUACGACUUGGAAUUCUAUGCCAUUGUUCAAGAAUUGAAAUAUUAUAGGCACUAUCUAAUCUACAAAGAGUUUGUUAUGUUCUCUGAUCAUGACUCUCUGAAGCAUAUAAACAGUCAGGAAAAAUUGUAAGCAAGGCAUGCUAAGUAGGCAGUAUACUACAAGAAUUUACAUCCGUCUUCAAGGACAAAGUCGGUGUGCAAAAUUAGGUUGCAGAUGCCUUGAGUUGGAGGAGAUAUUUACUUGGUUCGAUCAGAAUUCAAGUAUUGGGGUUAGUCUCUUUGAAGGAUUUAUUGAAAACUGAUCCUUUCUUCUCUACAAUUGUAGAAAAUGUUAAGGAUGGAACUAGAGCAAAUUAUGUUUUGCAUGAAGGGUUUCUCUUUAAAGGAAAUCAACUUUGCAUCCCAGAGUCUGGUUUGAGAUUGAGGAUCAUACAAGAGUUACAUAAUGAAGGCCACGUUGGAAGGGACAAGACCUUUGAGCUUGUUUCUUUCUCUUAUUUUUGGCUUACCAUGCACAAAGAAGUAUAUUAUUUUGUGGAACGAUGCCGAAUCUGUCAAGUUUCCAAGGGCAAGGUGACUAACACUAGAUUGUACAUGCCAUUACCCAUUCCAUCACAACCAUGGGUGGAUAUAAGCAUGGAUUUUGUUUUCGGUUUGCCUCGUACUCAGCGUGGUGUAGACCCUAUUUUUGUUGUGGUGGAUCAAUUUUCUAAAAUGGCUCACUUUAUUGCCUGCAAGAAGACAACAGAUGCAUUGAAAGUUGUUGAUCUAUUCUUUUGUGAUGUAUACCGAAUUCAUGGGUUUCCAAGUUCAAUUGUCUCUGAUCGGGACACCAAAUUUCUUAGUCAUAUUUGGAGGAGCCUGUGGAAAUUAGCUAAUACACAAUUGAAUUUCAGCAGCGCCUAUCAUCCUCAAACUGAUAGGCAAACGGAAGUUAUGAAUCGCUUAUUGAGGGAUCUUUUGCGAUGCUUAGUUCGUGAACAUCGGAAGUCAUGAGACCAAAAGUUAUGUAUUGCAGAGUUCACCUACAAUUGUUCUGUCAAUCGUAGCACUGGAAUGUAUCCACUGAAAGUACUAACUACAUGCACUUUAAAUAGCUCCAUUUCUUUCAAAGCUUCCAUAGAGUAAAAGAAAAACAGUGCAUUUAAUUUUAAAAGAAAAGAAACAAUGGCAGAUCAAUUGACAGAUGAUCAACUGAACAUGCUGAAGGCUAAAUUCAAUACCUUCAACCCGGAUGGCACUAGUUAGAUCCCUCUUUCCAUAUGUACAUGUAUAUGAUGUGUGUGUGUGUGUGUAUCAUGUCAAGUACGUUCUGCCAGGGAUGAAGGAAAAAUUUCAAACCUGACUGGGCUGAACUUAUCUUGUGAUCUAAUUUUUCAAUUGAGUACACAUAAGCUUAGCCAACACCAAGGUGAAAGAUGAUUAGCAAUCCCACACAUUCUUACCUUAUUAUGUUAAUGUUGUUUAUUGUAAAUAAUGGUAUAGGUAACAGAUGAUAAAUCUCCAUGACUAAACUUAGCCCCGAACUAUUAUGUUCAGGGACGAAGCCAAAUAUCUAUAUGGAUGUGGGCAUCCUCAAACAACAAAGUCAAAAAUUGAAAAGCUCAAGAAUUUAUUGAACAAACACUUAUGUACUAACCGAUAAGGUUUUUUUUUGUACAAUAUAUUACAAUAUCACUCGACACGCGCAUUUCCUUAAUUACCAAUACCAUUAAAUAUCUCUUUAUAAAAAUAAUUUAUUAUUACUCAUCCAUUGAUCUCCGAACCAAUUUUUCAUUCAAUUUUUCAAAAAUUUUAUAGCUGAAACUGCUCUAUAACAUGAGAUUCCUAUAUGCAUUAUGUGUUAUUUCCCACCCAAAAUAAUGAGUGGAGUCUGAACCCAAGGUGGCUCCGUACAUGAUUAUGUUAAUGUUGUUUAUUUUAUUCAGUGUUCUAAAAAUCAGCCUAAGCGCUGGGCGGCGGAGCUCCGACCCGAUUUAGACCAAAACGUUCAGUUAGGCGGGGAGGACUUCGACGGCCGCCUAGGCGCUCGCUAGGCACCUUAGGCUGGCUAGGCGACAGUCUAGGUGAUGUGAAUCUCGCUGCAAAUCCCAAACUCGCUACAAUUUUGCAGAGACCAGGUGAAUUUUUGCAGCUUCUCUAUGAAGAUGAGGGAAGAGAAAGUGCGAAGAGAAAGAGAGAGAGAGACUAUUAAACAUUUAAUUCUGUGGUGGCGCAAGUUGGAUUUGAGAUCCAAUUUUGAGGUUCUGAUUUUUCUGAAAGGGCGAAGAAAAAGAACGAAGAUGAGGGAAAAGAGUGCGAAUAGAGAGAGAGAGACAGAGGGACUAAAAGAUCCAAUUUUUGAAAAGGCAAGGAAGAAGAAAUGAAUAAAUUAUAGACAUUUCACUUUCCAAGGUAAAAAGCUGGUGAUGACUUGGGUGAUGUGAAAUAGGGUGGAGAGCUGCUACUUGGGUGAUCAGAUGGUUUUAAUUAUGAAAACCACCCACUUGCGUGGGCUUUUAAAUGUUAUGUGUCAUCAUCCACUUACAAGUUUGGGAUAUAUAUUAUAUAUAAGUGUUAAAUUAUUUAGAUAAUAUUUUGUUUUUUUUUCCUAGGCAAGCAUAUUAUAUAUGUACAUAAAACAUUCACAUAUGUAUGUUCUUCUAUAAGAAAUAACAUAUUAUUCAAUAAUUAUUUACAUCUGAUAUAGUAAAUUUAAUUAAUUCAUAUAAUAUAUAAGAAAUUUACCUAAAUCCGCCUAGGCGCCCGCCUAGACCCUGCCUAGCCGCCUAGGCGCUAGGUGCUAGCCCACCACCGAACUAGCGCCUAGCGUUUUUUAGAACCUUAAUUUUAUUCUACUAUGUUCGGGUUUGAAUUUGAUUCAAGUUAGCACAUAUAAGAAGAGAUUGAUUCAUCUUACUAUUUAAUAAAUUGUCAAUGUUUUUUUCUUCAGGCAUAAUCACUAGGGAUCAGCUGGCCGAUGUGUUGAGAUCGUUAGGGCAAGAUCCCACCGAGGAGGAGUUGGAUCAAUUUGUGCAGCAGCUAGGCGGAGAGGAUGGGAAUAUUCACUGGGAUAAAUUCGUCGAACUCAUGGCCCA